This 92923-nucleotide long non-coding RNA is filed under the name Zea mays. Its description in RNAcentral is "long non-coding RNA (ZMAY_LNC003067)". The record is from RNAcentral. Lineage: Eukaryota; Viridiplantae; Streptophyta; Magnoliopsida; Poales; Poaceae.
GAAGCAAGCAUUCGAUUAUUCUAAGUAUAAAUGUGUGAUCCAGCAAGAAUCCAUUAUUGCAAGCUCGGGCUUAACAGCAAGAGCGCCCGAUUCCUUAUACACACACACACACAUACAACCAGGUGUCUGUCUAGGGCUGGAAAAUUAGCUCGAGGCUCGCGAGCCGGCUCGAGCUCGGAGCGGCUCGCGAGCCUCGAACGAGCCGAGCCGAGCCUCUUAUUCGAGCUCGUUUUUGUAGCGAGCCGAGCCGAGCCAGCUCGCGAGCCUUGCAAAAAUGAUCAAUUUAUGGAAUAAUAAUGAAUAUUAGAUAAUUUUAUGGAUAAUACCUCAUUUUUUAGUCUUUGAUGAUGAAUAUAUAAUGUUAAUUCACCAAAUAAUGCAACGAUAAGUACCAGAAUAUGGCUCGCGAGCCGAGCCGAGCCGGCUCGCGAGCCAAGGUCGAGCCGAGCCGAGCCUCCUUCGCCAGCUCGUAAAAUGGAUGAGCCGAGCCGAGCCGAGCCGAGCUCGGCUCGGCUCGUUUCCAGUCUGUCUACACGGUGAGUUCCGUCCUGGAGACAAGAAUGCCAUCAGGGUCGGCGUAGAGCCACUCGCCGUCGCAAAUCCUGGUUCCAGCGAUGUUGACGGGGACGUGCUUCUCGCCCAUCCCCUUCUUGUUGGCCUUCAUAGGGUGCGAGCUGAGAGCCCGGACACCGAUGUCGCAGCCGUUGAUCUCAAUUCUCAUCCACGUCCUUGAUGCAGCCGUUGACCAGGAUACCAGCCCACCCGUUGUUCUACGCAUGCUGGACGGGGUUGUCGCCAAGAAUGGCGCAGCGCAUGCUGCCGCCACCGUCAACCACGAGGACCCUACCGUGGCCUUUCUCCUCGAGGAACUCGCGGACCAGGACGUUGUCCUCCUAGACCUUGAGCGUGACAAUGGGGCCGGCGAAGACCUGGCACCGUCCGUAGAUCUGGAAGAUGGGCUGGAGCGCGCGGAGCUCGCCGUUCAUGAUCAGGUGAGGGUUAGCGUCGCAUACUUCGGCGGUGGCCAGUGGCAGGGCAGCCAUAUCUUCUUUUUUUUUCUUUUUUUACUUCUCACUCCUGCUGCUGUCAUGAGAAGACAGGGAAAUCAGAGACUGGACACCAGGAGAUUGAUUCCCCGUCACUCAGUCAGCGGUGUGCAUUCGAUUCUUGGCCCAGAGGAACAUGUGAUUGUGGUGCAGUCACCGGCGCAAUACGGGCUAGCACUUACUUAUGCAUCUACCUACCUACCUUUCCUUUCCUUUCGCGCUCUGGGUCGUGAUUUCGUUGUUGUCUAUCUAUGAAUAUGACUGGAGUGUAUAGGGAAGGGGAUAGAAAUUGCUACCUUGGAUCUGAUUAGACAAUAAUAAUACAGUAUAAGACCAAAGGACAAGGAUAUCGAUAGGAAGGAUGACUCACCAGCACAAGCACAAACGGAUCGGAUCAGAUCUCCGGCGGCGGCGAGGGGAGGGGAGCGGCGCCAAUGGAGUGCGGGUGGAGGGGACGGGAUUUGGGAACGGACAGGAGGGGAAGUGGCCAGUGGGUGGGGUCAAGACAGGCGGCAGACCUAGGCAGCUGGGACUGGGACUGGGAGGACUGGCCGCCUGGGAGGCUGGGACUGCCGGACUGGCCGGCUCACGGCUGCUGGUGCGCCGUGCGCGUGUGCGCGUGUGCGCGCUGCCGCGGGCCCGCGGUGCGCGUGAGUUCGUGACUGCGGCGGUGCAGCCGCCUGCCGCCUGGAGUGAGGACGCCACCCGAUGCUGGGAAGAUUGGCCGUCUGGGACUCUGGGAGUACGCCGCCGGCCGCCUGGGAAGACUUGAAGCGCGUGGGAGUGGGAGGCUGGGAGCUAGGGUUGCGAGUUGCGACAUCAGGCCAUCAGGGAUAUCAACUGGGCGUGGCCCGUGGGCUGUGCCGCUGUUGGACUGGCGGUUCGUGCAGAAGCGUAGGAUCACUGCCUCUGGCGACCAAGAACGCACCAGAACGGAAACACAUCUCUAACGAACAAGAACGCACACAUGUCACGGCAAUGUCCGUCCAACUGACGAGAAAGAAAAACUUGAGUUCCUGGUAAAGGCAGCUUACCCUGACGCGGUUGCCGGCACCCAAUUUCUCGAGUUUGCGCACGAACUGUUCGAAGGAGUAGUAGGGGAUCAGGCGGGAGUGCCAGUCCGCGUAGAGCUUGAUGAGGUUGGCGAGGUCGUCCACCUCGUGGCCUGGGCGGGGGCGGGGCUUGAACGCCUUGGGAAAGUAGCGGAGCACGAAGCCGAUGCCGCCGUCGGAGAGGAGCAGGUCCGGCGUGAGCUUUGGGCGCGUCGUAAGACCUAAAUGCUUGGUUUCUAUUUGGGGUGGCACAUUUUAUAGAAAAUAAUUCUCCUAUAGGUUUAGUUUCUAUUUAACUAAGCAUGUGCACAACUAUACUUAAAAUAAUUAAUUGUCAAAUAACAUCUAAAUUGAUCUAUACAUCAUGUUGGACUUUAUUUGAUUGUGCACCUAUAAAUAAUAAAAAUAAUAAUAUCAGUGACAAUAUAUUAGUAUCCAAUUUAGGAUUUACUACCUAAUUUACAACUUGGAAAAUUUGAAAUGGCAUAGAAGGAGAAAAGAAGGAAAAAACACUAUACAAGAUAAAACAAAAUAUAUAGAUAAAUAAAAUACUACCAUACUAGUAUGUUUAUUUUGUACAUUUAAUUUAAGUACAAAUUCACAUCCAUAGUUGAAUUCAAAUUGUGAAUUUAAAAUAAAAGGAAAAAUGAAAAUCAUAAAAAGAAAAAGAAAGAGAAACAAAAGAAAAAGAAGAAGUAAGCUUAGCUGGGCCUCAACCCUGAAUUCAGCCUGUCACCUCUUUCUCCCUCGCGCGCGGCGGCCCAAACCCUAGAAUGGGUGCCGACCGGUGUGCCCGGCUUGUCUGCCUCUGCGCGCCUCCACCUCUGCACUACUGGGCCCACAAGUCAGCGGUUGCAUUCGUGUCCGCGUGCGCGCAGGUAUCACCUUUUGUCUCUGACAGGCGGGACCCGCGCUCCAGCGUCUCAGCCGUUCACCAGUCGUCGUCCUCGCGCUAACCACUUCCGUGCGGGUCAUCUUCGUCAGCUCCUCCGUCUUUCUCGUCGUGCUGUAACAGUCACCGUCGAAAUCGCCGGGACGUGCAGCUCGUGCGAACGACUCAACCAUCCCGUCCACGCGUCUAUAUGAAGAAUGUGCUUCCCAGCCGCGCUCACAAUAACCCAGACCACCGAGAGCCUCACCGCAUUUUGGAGGAUUCGACACGGCGCCGCACGCCGUGGAGUUACCUCGGUGUCGCCGCUCCGUGCUCGUAGAGCGGAACCUGGAACCCUCCCAAGCCGUCUGGUGGGUGCUCUCGGCUCUCCCUCAACUCAAUUCCUCCCUGUGCGUCGUGAAUUGUUACCGGUGUGGGCGGAAUUCCACGAAGUCGUACCUCAUCGCGACUCGUCGGCCGCACUACUCAAAACUCUGGUACGAUGUCACCACAUCUUCCGCUUGUUUGUCUUGUAUGUAUAAUUCCUAGAAUGGGGGUCGAUGGUUGUUCUAACCGGGUGGAAUCCCUCACUGGAAUUUGAAAUCGCGGGGGGGGUGGUACGCGGGUCACGUGGCUAGGAUUGUGAGUACUCCCAUUUCAUGUAGGACUGCCCGGAGCAUGUGCAGAUGAGUGUCAGCAACAUAAAACCUCGGUAGAACUUAGGUUCAGAGAGCCAGCAUCGCAGGUCCCCAUCUCCGGUGGGUGCUCCGCCGCGGGAGCGAGUCGGCCGCCACCCGUCAUUUGGGCGUGUAGGAAGACGAUGUAUCGUCCGUAGAUCGGGGAACCGACGACUAUGAUCGGUCGCACAGAUCGUUUGGGAAUGAUUAAAUCCGAGCCGUGGGUAGCGAAUCGGAGGGUCAUAGGCGCGUACCCCUUCGCAUCGAACUCAACCUAAUCUGAUCCGUGGAUGUUAGAUCUAAUGGUUGAAAAGAGGUAUACAUUAUAUGCUGCACGAUCUAAUCAUGCGCGUCGGUUUGUGAUCGGACGGAUCUGGUUUAUCCAUACCCUUUUCGGCCGAGUAAAUAUGCAUAAGAGACCCUGGGUUAUCACUGAAUCAACCUGCAGCCCAGUUUAACUGUGCGCUGAGUCUUAGGAAAACUUGCGAGUUGGCCCUGGCUUCUCUGGAAAUUGAGGCACAGUCCAGACAGUGAGAAAAACCUAUAAAAUCAUUUAGAAAAUGAUUUUUAAUAUGAAAACAAUUUCAGAACUUGUAAAAUUCAUAUAAAAUUCAUUUUAAUUCCUUUUUAGCCCAUUCCAGUUUCUGUAAUUUUGUAAUAAUAUUGUCCAUCACAUAGUGUCUCUCGUUUGACAUGAAAACUAUAUUAAAACUAACCUCUUAAUUAAUCUUGUAUCGAAUACAUAAAACCUUUGAAAAUUCAUAACUUCUCCAUUUUAACUUCGAAUUGACCUGUUCCAGUUGCGUUAGCUUCAUAUGAAUAUUUACUAUGCAAUAACAACAUUUAUUGUACCAUGUCUCAUUCUUUUAUAAUUAGAACUUCAUUUAACUUAUGUUGGUUAGUCUUGUUAAUCUUCUUAUCAUUAUAAUCUACUAAAAUAUGAUCUAUGGUCAAUUUAUAAUUUAGAUUAAAGUUGAAUUAAUUACUACUUUAGGUUAUCUUUUCUUUGGAAUUAUAAAACAAACAUAGAACCUAGUUUUUAAUCAUUUAAUCACAUCAUAACUUGAUGACCGUAACUCCGAUUUUAGUGGUUCUCGAACCCACGAUCUCGUAGCGACGCGUAGAUCAUUAUUAUGCAGUUUGUUUUUAUGUUUGGUGUGAUGUUAAUUUUUUUCUAUACACUGUUUGUUUGUAUUGCUACGACUAGCAUGAGGUUACGAGAAUCCGAGGAUCAUCCUGGUACCUAGAAUCUCAAGUCCAGGCAAGUUGUGCCCAUGACCACUUUUUACCCAAUAAUGUUCUUUAUUAUUACUUAUCAAUGCAUAGGUUUAAUUUUGAUGGGACCCAAUAUGUCACCCUAGACUGGUUAUCCUUUUUACCUUGUUUAUCCCUGAAUCAUUUGGGUAGUUAUGAUAUUGCUUUAUAUGGUUUUGGGUUAAAUAUUACAUUAUGUACAUGUUCCAAUUAUUCUGUUAUUUUAUUUAUGUUCAUGUCAAGAUCAUUAUCUUUAAUUGGAACAUGGAGCUUAACUUGAGAAACAUGUGUGUAACAUCCCAAAAUCCUAACCUAGGUUUGAAACCCUAAACUACUCCUCUCCCCUUUUUCAUCCUCUAAUUCCAAGAACUCCCUUAGAUUUUCUUUCAUCAUAUGCAUACACUUUGUUUGAUCACAAGCACCUCACUUAGAUUUUAUUUUUCAGCACCUAAGAUUAUCUAUUAAAAUUAAUUGUUCAAAGAAAAAGAUAUAAAAAUGGAUAAAGGAAUUAGAAAAUAAAAAGAAAAAGAGAAACCCUCUCCCCUAGCUGGGCUGAAUCCAGCCCAUGCCGCGGCCGCUUCCCCCCCUCGCGCCCGCGACUCCCUCCCCUCGGCCCAUUUCCGGCUUGCUCCCGCGCGCGCGCCAGCCCGCCCUGCGCUCUCUCUCUCUCCCUCGCUGACGAACCGACCCCACCCGCCAGCCGCCCUCUCUCUCGCACGCUCACUCCCACUGGCAGACCGGCCCAGUUGUCAGCCACUUCGUCGUCCUUCUUCCCCCUCCCCGCGUACGGCCCAUCACGGUCACCUCCGGCCAUCGCCUCUGUCCCCUCCUCCGUCUUCUCGCCGCACAAGGAAGUUGGGCACCGCCCCGUCCUCGCCGCAGCGGCCGCGUCCUUGCACGGCACCACCACCGUGUGGUCUCGUCAUCGCCGCUGUGCGGCAUUCACUCCGGUACGGUGCGCCUCACCGGCACCGCGGAGCUCCGCCGCUCCCCUUCCCUCGGGCGCCUAUAAAAGGGCCGCCCCGAGCUCCUCCUUCCCCGCACCGGCCUCAGCCACCCCUCUCCUCCCUCGUCUGAGCUCAAUUCGUGGAAGAACCGCCAUCGUCUUCCUCCCCGGUGAGCCCUUCCCUCUCUUCUCCCUGCCCCUCUGUUGGUCCAUCAAGCGAUUGCUUAAGCCUCCUAGCUUCGCCACACCGCCACGAACGCAGUACACCACUCACCCACCCCGAUUCCUCGCCCAAAGCUCACCGACGGCAACCCCGCCGUGGAGCUCCGCCACCUCCCCGCGGACAACCCCCCUCCCUGCCCCCUCUAGCCAAAUUGAGCCCACCCCCAGGUCCACCAGACCCUCACCAAGCUAGGGCAACCGCCCGUUGCCCGAGAACCGGGCCACCGGCGGCAAACCGCCGUCGAGCCCACCGCCGAUCGGUUUUCCUCCCCUCAAACGGCCGGUUCGCCCCACGCCGUCGACCGUUGGCGCCGUCUUCCCCUCCCGCUCUCUCUGUGCGUGGGCCCCGCGGCGACGACGUUUUCCCCUGCGCCCGCGUUGUCUCCCCGCCUUGGGCCGCUAAUGGGCCAGCGCCCUCGCGCCCGCGCGCCCCCCUGCGUCGGUUGGGCCAGAUUCCCCCUCCCCGGCCCACCAGCACCAAACUCCUUUUCCUUUUUCUUUUUUCAGCCCUUUUUCCUCUAAUUAGUUUUUCUCAAUAUUUUAUGUACCAAAAAUCAUCAAAACACUUUCUAGAGUCACAUGUAAUAAUAAUGACACACUAUGAUGGUGAAACCACUGAUUGAUGUAUUUUUUUAUUGACUGUUUUCACUAGAAGAAGCGGGGACCGAGGGCCCGGAACCCGUAGCCCCGGAAGAAGGGCCGGAGCCCGAUCUCCCGGAAAUAGAUCUUUUGUGCCAGGAAAGCUUCGACGAAGGCAAGUUCAUCCUUCCCUUGAUGCAUAAAUUACCUAUUCUCUCUACCACUGCCUAGGCCGGGAAUUCAGGGGGAAUAUUGCAUUGUGAGUGAGAGAUGGCCCGCAUUAACAUAUACAUUCUGGAUACGAAAUAUGGAUUGAGAAGAAGGGAAAUGUGUUUCUUCAAAUAAAAUCUCUUUUUGAAAAGUUAUGUGAUGAAGGGUACUCACCCUCAUCACCUUGGGAGUGGGAUGAUCAGGGACUCCCUGGUUUAGGGGAGGGCCUAAGGUGUUGGCUCAGCUGGUUUAGGCAUGAGCAGAAGGAUUGUCCCCUCAUAUAAGGACCGGCUUGUCAUUUUCACUACCUGUACUCCUUUGUCGUACAACCACUUGAGACUGUGUGGGCAGUCACUCAAUCCGAACUCGUGCGGUCCAACCCCAGGGUUAAGAAGGCUGGGGAGCACCAGGAGGAUAAGGAGGGGGAAAGUUUUGUCCGGUUUGGACAUGGUGGUGGCCUGACUCCUUCCGGAUAACCGUUAAGGUUAGGACGUACGAGGAAGGAAAGAGAUCCGGCAUUCGGGUCUCGCGACGGUGAGAUCGCAGAAACCAGGCUAGUGGGUAAAGUGUACCCCUCUACGCAGAGUCGAAAACCUAUUCGAAUAGUCCGUGUCCACUGGUAUGGACGGGUCUGGUAUGGCAUGGCAAUUAGAGAUUUUUCUAUGAGUUUCAUGAAAAGGGAAAUGUGUGAUUAAAUGGGUGUUAAGAAAGAAACUAAGGCCACGGGAGCGGGAAGCUCAGUGGUGGUUGAGUUUUGGUUACUUUUAAGACUAUGGGAAAAACCUUACAGCAAGUGCCUUUCUCUAAGAAAAUGAUGAGUGACUUCAACUACACCAAAUAAAGCAUGUAUAUUAUAGGUCUCUUCCUCUCUACGGGAGCGGGGUGGGCUUGCAGAAUACCUAGUGUAUUCACCCAGAUUUAUUUAUGUUUUUCAGCAGCCGAAGACUUCUUUUCUGCUAUGCUUGAUUGAGAGGGCUGUGUCUGCACCCAGUUCUGCCUGUGGCUUGGGCUAGUAUUUCUUUUCCUACUGCGCUUCCUAUUUUGGCUCUCUCGAGCUUGUACCUCGGUAUUGUAAUAACAAUUAUCUAAACUCUGUACUAUUUGAAGUAAGGAAUGUGUUUACUAGCCUCCUGGGACUAGUAAUUGUGUCACAUUUGAGUCCCAAAGGAUCGGGACGUUUCAGGUGGUAUCAAAGCCAUAGGACUGGCCGUAGGUCGCAGCCCUGACCCUAAAACUUGCCCUAAAAAGAAAAUACCUCUUACCCCAAGAAAAGUUUUCUCUCCUCUUCCCCGAUUUUAACAAGACCCUUCUUUUCCUAUUCCAGAUGGAAGACUCUCUGGCCAUUAGGACAUCCUACUGCUCAGAGGUGGAAGGGUUCCCACACCUGUUGCGAAGCUGUGCGCUUCGCAUGGGAAUUCGCAAGAAGCCGGAAUACGUCUGGACGGAGUAUAUUGAGGGCGGAAUGGAAAAAUGCUCUAUGGCAGUCUACCUGGGGGAAAGCCGAAACUAUCCAAACCAUCCUUCCUUCCAAGUCACUUUUACCGGAUACCGCUUUCCAGAUACUUGCCAGAAUGUUGCCCGAACAGCCCUCCGGCAACUAUGCCAGAAUUACAAUAAAGUGAUCUUUGAAACCCCCCUUCGCUACUUUCCACCCAGCAACAAGAAUACCCCCACCUGGAGGAAAAGACUUCAGGCCCUGUCAGGAGGAGAUCCUAUUGAGGAUGAUCCCACCAUCGUCUACAUGGCUAGAUACCUUCACACCCUUGAUAACCAAUAUGAUGACCUCACCCUCCACUGCACCUACCUAACCUCCCGGGUGGAAAGCCUGGAGCAAAAAGUCAGGGAACUUUCAGGGGAAAAGGCGUCCCUUCAAGAGAGCCUCUCAAUAGCUGAAGGCGAGGAAACCAAUACCCGUGAGGCUUACCGCACCCUGAAGAUGGACUAUGACAAGAAACUGAAGAAGCUCGCCCCCGCAAGAAAAAUCCGGAAGAAGACCAAAAGUCAAGGAUGUCAGACUGAGCAGGAGGAAGAAAACUCUCCAACCCUACCCCCUCCCGGGUUAAGGAACUCGUCCGACACCGAGGAGAUGUCCCUGGCCAGCCUUGAUGACCUUCUCAAGGAAUUUGGGGACACUUUAGAGAAGGAGUUCGGGAGUACCCUAGAUAGCACUCGUGGGUGAUGACCUUAUGGUAGCAGUGUGAUGUAUUAUGUAAUGGCUUGAUGUAAUGAAUAAAAUAACUAGUUAAAAAAUGGCAUGUGCAUGAUAGUGACUCUCUUCCCAUGGCAGAUGGCUUCGGAUAAAACCACGCCUACCGCCUUCGGGAUUGGAGCAAGAUUCCCUCUAAGAGCUGAAGGAGAGGCUGGCGGAGAAGGGGGUGAGACCCACCUCCCCGCACCUCCGGAACUACCACUAGACCUAGCCCAAGUUCUAGCCAAUCAAACCCGACUCAUUGAAGUCCUCACUAGAAGUCUGGAAAACCAGCGCCCAGGUGGUGGAAGGCCACAGGACAGGAUGGGAGAAUUUUUGAGACUCAAGCCUCCCACGUUCGCGGGAUCCAGCAAUCCCCUCGAUGCAGAUGACUGGCUUCGCACGAUCAAAAGGAAGCUGGAAGCCAUCGGAUGCCCCGAAAAUCAGCGUGUCCAACUGGCAGCUCAUUAGCUUUCAGGAAUGGCUUUAGCAUGGUGGGACACUUUCAGUGAGGCCGUCAGAGAUGCUACCUGGGCAGAAUUCGAAACAGCCUUCCGUGAGCACCAUGUACCCCAGGGGAUAGUUCAACUCAAGGAGGAUGAAUUCCGGGAGCUAACUCAAGGCGGGAGGACAGUCAGUGAGUAUGUGCACAAGUUCACAGAGCUGGCCCGUUACGCGCCUGAGGAUGUCAGCACCGAGUCCAGAAAGAUGGCCCGUUUUCUGAAAGGACUAAGACCCGAGCUUAAGACCAUCCUCGCCAGCCAAGACUUCCUCAGCUUCUCUCACCUCUCCAACAAGGCUAUCCAAGUGGAAAGGGCAAAAGAGGAAGAAAAAGGGCACCUCAAGAGAAAAUUCCAAGUCCUCCGAGCUCAACAGCAAGAACGUCACCAGAGAGCUCGACCCUUUGGACUCCCACCCAGGGGUCCAAGCUUCAAUAAACCAUCUGGACCCACUCCGUCGCGCUACAGUCAGCAGAGUCAGAGCUCCCUUCAGGCACCCUCCGUUGUAAGCAACCAACCGCCAGCAAAUGCCUGUUGGCACUGCUGGGACCCCAGUCACUUUAAGAAUAACUGCCCUCAGUUAAAGGCACCCGGACCGACCUACUCCAACUUGGUGAAUGGCCCCAAGAUUCUCUCAGCACCUACCUCCAAGGCACCUCCUUCCAACAGCCAGCAGAGCAGGACUCAGUACCAGGGCAGAGCCCGAGUCAACCACGUCGACGCUCAAGAAGCCCAGCAAGCCCCGAGAGUAGUGCUCGGUGAGUUCCUUGUUGAAUUUACUCCAGCUACUGUGCUUUUUGAUUUGGGAGCAUCCCAUUCUUUUAUAGCCGCUAAGUUUGUGGAAAAACAUGGCAUCCCCUCUACACCCCUAGCUGUCCCUUUGGUCACCCGAACCCCGGGAUCAGACCUCCUGUGCAAACUCAGGUGCUCCCAAGUCAGAAUUCUUUUAAGUGGGGUAGUGUUCCUGGCAGACUUAACUAUCUUGCCAUCCCAAGGGAUUGAUGUGAUCCUAGGAAUGGAUUGGCUAGCUAAGCACAAAGGUAUCAUCAGCUGCGCAAGCAAGACUGUUCUUCUCACAGAUCACCAAGGAAAGGCAGUUUCCUGUCAAGCCCAGCCGCCCGCAAAUGAUCCGAUGAUGUUUAAUCUGGUAGCAGAAAACAUGUCUGUAAUCAAAGAGUUUGAAGAUGUAUUUCCAAAAGAGUUGCCCGGGAUGCCACCAGAAAGAGGAGUGGAGUUCUAUAUAGAUCUCAUUCCUGGCACUGCGCCCAUCACAAAGAGACCAUACCGCAUGGCUCCCACAGAGUUGGCGGAAUUGAAACUUCAGAUUUCAGAACUGCAGCAAAAAUGGUACAUCUGUCCUAGUUCGUCCCCCUGGGGAGCACCCGUCCUCUUUGUUACUAAAAAGGAUGGGAGUAUGAGAAUGUGUAUUGAUUAUCGGUCCUUGAAUGAAGUUACAAUCAAGAAUAAGUACUGAGAGCACCUAGAGGGGGGUGAAUAGGUGAUCCUGUGAAACUUGAAAACUUAAGCCACAAAAACUUGGUUAAUCGUUAGCACAAUAAUUGCCAAGUGGCUAGAGAGGAGUCAAAACACAAUAACCACAAGAAAUCAAACACAGAGAUGGCACGGUGGUUAUCCCGUGGUUCGGCCAAGUACAAAACUUGCCUACUCCACGUUGUGGCGUCCCAACGGACGAGAGUUGCACUCAACUCCUCUCAAGUGAUCCAAUGAUCAACUUGAAUACCACGGUGUUCUUCUUUACUUUGAUCUUUUCCCGUUUGCGAGGAAUCUCCACAACUUGGAGUCUCUCGCCCUUACAAUUGAAUUUCACAAAGAAGUACGGAGUAAGGGAGGGAAGCAACACACACAAAUCCACAACAAAAUGCGCACACACACGGCCAAGAAUCGAGCUCAAAAGACUAUCUCAAAGUUCUCACUAGAACAGAGCUCGAAUCACUGAGAAUGACAAAGGAAUGCGCAAAGACUGAGUGUGGAUGAUCAAGAAUGCUCUAAGGUUGCUUGGUGUUCUCCUCCAUGCGCCUAGGGGUCCCUUUUAUAGCCCCAAGGCAGCUAGGAGCCGUUGAGAGCAAAUCUGGAAGGCCAUUCUUGCCUUCUGUCGUCGGGUGCACCGGACAGUCCGGUGCACACCGGACACUGUCCGGUGCCCGAUUUCCUUCCUUAAACAGCGCAGCCGACCGUUGCAGAUCUGGGAGCCGUUGGCGCACCGGACAUGUCCGGUGCACACCGGACAGUCCGGUGCCCCCUUCCGACCAUUGGCUCGGCCACGUGUCCCGCGCAGAUCGCGCGGCCGACCGUUGGCCCGGCCGACCGUUAGCUCACCGGACAGUCCGGUGCACACCGGACAGUCCGGUGAAUUUUAGUCGUACGCCGUCGGCGAAUUCCCGAGAGCGGCUUCUUCGCCCGAGGCAUCCUGGCGCACCGGACACUGUCCGGUGCACCACCGGACAGUCCGGUGCCCCAGACCGAAACAACCUUUUGGCUGUACACAACCAACUCUUCUCUGACUCGUUUUCUCCUGUUUUCUAACACUUAGACAAAUACAUUAGUACACAAAACCAAUGUACUAAAGCUUAGAAACAUACCUUUACUCAUGAUUUGCACUUUGUUCAUCCAUGGGCAUAAACUCACAUUUAAGCACUUGUGUUGGCACUCAAUCACCAAAAUACUUAGAAAUGGCCCAAGGGCACAUUUCCCUUUCAAUCUCCCCCUUUUUGGUGAUUUAUGCCAACACAACAUAAAGCAACUAGAACAAGUGCAAUAUCACUUCAAAUAAAACUAAAUUUGAGUUUUAAUCAAUUUUGGCAUAUAUGGAUCAUCCUUUGCCACCACUUGGUUUGUUUUUGCAAAUCAAACUCAAAUCUCUAUCUCUAAGUCAAACACACAUGUUGAAGCAUAAAUAGAGUCAUUCCAAAAGAGAUUGAUCAAAGAUUUCAAAACCUCCCCCUUUUUCCCAUAAUCACUACUUCUCCCCACAAGAAGCCAACUUUUGACAAACCAAAAGCUCUACUCUACUAUUUUCAAAUCUCUCAAGUGGUAGCUGAUCCAUUUAUUGCUUUGGCCUUUAUUUUCUCCCCCUUUGGCAUCAAGCACCAAAACAGGAUCAAUCUUGGCCCUUUAACCCCAUUGCCUCACCAAAAUCUUCAAUAAGAAUACAAAGGCAAUAAGAGUUCAUGAGAUGGACUUGGAAUGAGUUACCCUCUCAUCGGAGUGCAGUGGAAGUCUUUCAUGGUCCAAGUCCACCUUUUCCCUUUCAAUUCUCCUUCGAGACUAAAACAAGCAAACUCAAGCAUAUGGUUAGUCUCAAAGGGUCAAGUUGUAACACAUCUCCCCCUAAACAUGUGCAUCACUUUGCAACGGACUUGUGAGGUCCAGGGAAUGUUUGUACAACUUGAGCACCACAAUAAGCAACAAAAUGCAGAAUGAACAUGAUCAAAGGCAUAAACACAUGUAUGCUACAGUUCAAUCCAAGUUCCGCGAAUCUAAGACAUUUAGCUCACUACGCAACCUGCAAAAGGUCUUCUCAUCUAGAGGCUUGGUAAAGAUAUCGGCUAGCUGGUUCUCGGUGCUAACAUGAAACAUUUUGAUAUCCCCCUUUUGCUGGUGGUCUCUCAGAAAGUGAUACCGGAUGUCUAUGUGCUUUGUGCGGCUGUGCUCAACAGGAUUUUCCGCCAUGCGGAUAGCACUCUCAUUAUCACAUAGGAGUGGGACUUUGCUCAGAUUGUAGCCAAAGUCCCUAAGGGUUUGCCUCAUCCAAAGUAGUUGCGCGCAACACUGUCCUGCGGCAACAUACUCGGCCUCAGCGGUGGAUAGGGCAACGGAGGUUUGUUUCUUAGAGUUCCAUGACACCAGGGACCUUCCUAAGAAUUGGCACGUCCCCGAUGUACUCUUCCUAUCGACCUUACAUCCAGCAUAGUCGGAAUCUGAAUAUCCAAUUAAGUCAAAGGUAGACCCCUUUGGAUACCAGAGCCCGAAGCAAGGCGUAGCAACUAAAUAUCUAAGGAUUCGCUUCACUGCCAAUAGGUGACACUCCUUAGGAUCGGAUUGAAAUCUAGCACACAUGCAUACGCUAAGCAUAAUAUCCGGUCUACUAGCACAUAAGUAAAGUAAUGACCCUAUCAUUGACCGGUAUGCUUUUUGAUCAACGGACUUACCUCCUUUGUUGAGGUCGGUGUGUCCGUCGGUUCCCAUCGGAGUCUUUGCGGGCUUGGCGUCCUUCAUCCCGAACCGCUUUAGCAAGUCUUGCGUGUACUUCGUUUGGGAGAUGAAGGUGCCGUCCUUGAGUUGCUUCACUUGGAACCCAAGGAAGUAGUUCAACUCGCCCAUCAUUGACAUCUCGAAUUUCUGCGUCAUCACCCUGCUAAACUCUUCACAAGACUUUUUAUUAGUAGAACCAAAUAUUAUGUCAUCGACAUAAAUUUGGCACACAAACAAAUCACCAUCACAUGUCUUAGUGAAAAGAGUUGGAUCGGCUUUCCCAACCUUGAAAGCAUUAGCAAUUAAGAAAUCUCUAAGGCAUUCAUACCAUGCUCUUGGGGCUUGCUUAAGUCCAUAGAGCGCCUUAGAGAGCUUACACACGUGGUCGGGGUACCGUUCAUCCUCGAAGCCAGGGGGUUGCUCCACGUACACCUCCUCCUUUAUUGGCCCGUUGAGGAAAGCGCUCUUCACAUCCAUUUGGAACAACCUGAAAGAAUGGUGAGCGGCAUAUGCUAGCAAGAUACGAAUGGACUCUAGCCUAGCCACAGGAGCAAACGUCUCCUCAAAGUCCAAACCUGCGACUUGGGCAUAACCUUUUGCCACAAGUCGAGCCUUGUUCCUUGUCACCACUCCGUGCUCGUCUUGUUUGUUGCAGAACACCCACUUGGUUCCCACAACAUUUUGCUUAGGACGAGGCACCAGCAUCCAAACUUCAUUCCUCUUGAAGUUGUUGAGCUCCUCUUGCAUGGCCAACACCCAGUCCGGAUCUAGCAAGGCCUCUUCUACCCUGAAAGGCUCAAUAGAAGAGACAAAAGAGUAAUGUUCACAAAAAUUAACUAAUCGAGACCGAGUAGUUACUCCCUUGCUAAUGUCACCCAGAAUUUGGUCGACGGGAUGAUCCCUUUGAAUCAUCGCUCGAACUUGGGUUGGAGGUGCCGGUUGCGCUUCUUCCUCCAUCACGUGAUCAUCUUGUGCUCCCCUUUGAUCACACGCCUCCUGUUGAUGAACCUGUUCAUCGUCUUGAGUUGGGGGAUGCACCAUAGUUGAGGAAGAAGGUUGAUCUUGUUCAUCUUGUUCCUGUGGCCGAACUUCUCCAAUUGCCAUGGUUCGUAUAGCGGCCGUCGGAAUAUCUUCUUCAUCUAUAUCAUCACAAUCAACAACUUGCUCUCUUGGAGAGCCAUUAGUCUCAUCAAAUACAACGUCGCUAGAGACCUCAACCAAACCCGAUGAUUUGUUGAAGACUCUAUACGCCUUUGUAUUUGAGUCAUAACCUAACAAAAACCCUUCUACAGCUUUGGGAGCAAACUUAGAAUUUCUACCCUUCUUCACUAGAAUGUAGCACUUGCUCCCAAAUACACGAAAGUAAGAUACAUUGGGUUUGUUACCGGUUAGAAGCUCAUACGACGUCUUCUUGAGGAGGCGGUGAAGGUAGACCCUGUUGAUGGCGUGGCAAGCCGUGUUCACAGCUUCCGACCAAAACCGCUCGGGGGUCUUGAAUUCUCCAAGCAUCGUCCUCGCCAUAUCGAUUAGCGUCCUGUUCUUUCUCUCUACCACACCAUUUUGCUGAGGUGUGUAGGGAGCGGAGAACUCGUGCUUGAUCCCUUCCUCCUCAAGGAACUCCUCCACUUGAAGGUUCUUGAACUCAGACCCAUUGUCGCUCCUUAUCUUCUUCACCUUGAGCUCAAACUCAUUUUGAGCUCUCCUGAGGAAGCGCUUGAGGGUCCCUUGGGUUUCAGACUUAUCCUGCAAAAAGAACACCCAAGUGAAGCGGGAAAAGUCAUCAACAAUAACUAAACCAUACUUACUUCCUCCUAUGCUUAGAUAGGCGACGGGUCCGAAGAGAUCCAUAUGUAGCAGCUCCAGGGGUCUUGAGGUGGUCAUCACAUUCUUGCUGUGAUGUGCUCCUCCCACUUGUUUACCUGCUUGACAAGCUGCACAAGGUCUAUCCUUUUCGAAUUGCACGUUAGUCAAACCUAUCACGUGUUCUCCCUUUAGAAGCUUGUGAAGGUUCUUCAUCCCCACAUGUGCUAAGCGGCGAUGCCACAGCCAGCCCAUGCUAGUCUUAGCUAUUAAGCAUGCAUCUAGACCGGCCUCUUCUUUUGCAAAAUCAACUAAAUAGAGUUUGCCGUCUAAUACACCCUUAAAAGCUAGUGAACCAUCACUUCUUCUAAAGACAGACACAUCUACAUUUGUAAAUAGACAGUUAUAUCCCAUAUUGCAUAAUUGACUAACAGAUAGUAAAUUAUAUCCUAGAGACUCAACUAAAAACACAUUAGAAAUUGAGUGCUCAUUUGAGAUUGCAAUUUUACCUAACCCUUUUACCUUGCCUUGAUUCCCAUCACCGAAAAUAAUUGAAUCUUGGGAAUCCUUAUUCUUGACGUAGGAGGUGAACAUCUUCUUCUCCCCCGUCAUAUGGUUUGUGCAUCCGCUGUCAAUAAUCCAGCUUGAACCCCCGGAUGCAUAAACCUGCAAGGCAAAUUUAGGCUUGGGUCUUAGGUACCCAACUCAUGUUGGGUCCUACAAGGUUAGUGCAAAUAUCCUUAGGGACCCAAAUGCAAGUUUUAUCACCCUUGCAUUUUGCCCCUAACUUCCUAGCAAUUACCUUUCUAUCCUUUCUAUAAAUUGCAAAGGAAGCAUUCAAAGCAUGAUAUAUUGUAGAAGGCUCAUUAACUUUCCUAGGAAUAUUAACAACAUUUCUCCUAGGCAUAGUAUGAACAACAUCCCUUCUACCAACAUUUCUAUCAUGCACAUAUGAAGAACUAGAAGCAAACAUAGCAUGAGAAAAUUCAUCGUACGCAUUAUAACUCCUAUAAACAUUUCUAGUUUGUCUCCUAUCAUGAUACAAAAAGGCAUGGUUCUUUUUAGCACUAGUAGCCAUAGGGGCCUUCCCUUUCUCCUUGGCGGAAAUGGGAGCCUUAUGGCUUGUUAAGUUCUUGGCUUCCCUCUUGAAGCCAAGUCCAUCCUUAAUUGAGGGGUGUCUACCAAUCGUGUAGGCAUCCCUUGCAAAUUUUAGCUUAUCGAAAUCAUUUUUGCUAGUCUUAAGUUGGGCAUUAAGACUAGCCAAUUCAUCUUUUAAUUUGGAAAUUGAAACUAGAUGUUCACUACAAGCAUCAAUAUCAAAAUCUUUACACCUAGUGCAAAUCAUAACAUGUUCUACACAAGAAUUAGAUUUAUUUGCUAUUUCUAACUUAGCAUUCAUAUCAUCAUUAAUGCUCCUUAAUUUAGAAAUUGUCUCAUGGCAAGAAGAUAACUCACAAGAAAGCACUUCAUUUCUUUUAACUUCUAGAGCAUGAGAUCUUUGAGCUUCUACAAAUUUAUCAUGCUCUUCAUACAAUAAAUCCUCUUGUUUCUCUAAGAGUUUAUCCUUCUCAUUCAAUGCAUCAAUGAGUUCAUUUAUCUUAUCUAUCUUAGAUCUAUCUAAACCCUUGAGUAAGCAUGAAUAGUCUAUGUCAUCAUCAUCACUAGACUCAUCAUCACUAGAGGAAGCAUAAGUGGAGUCUUGAGUACUCACCUUCUUCUCUCUUGCCAUCAGGCAUGUGUGAUGCUCGUUGGGGAAGAGAGAUGACCUAUUGAAGGCGGUGGCGGCGAGUCCUUCAUUGUCGGAGUCGGAGGAGGAGCAAUCCGAAUCCCACUCCUUUCCGAUAUGUGCCUCGCCCUUGGCCUUCUUGUAAUGCUUCUUCUUCUCCCUUUUAUUCCCUUGGUCCUGAUCACUAUCAUUGUCGGGACAGUUAGCAAUAAAAUGACCAAGCUUACCGCAUUUGAAGCAUGAGCGCUUCCCCUUGGCUUUGGUCUUGCUUGACUGUCCCUUGCGACCCUUAAGCGCCGUCUUGAAUCUUUUGAUGAUGAGGGCCAUCUCUUCAUCGUUGAGUCCGACCGCUUCAAUUUGUGCCACCUUGCUAGGUAGCGCCUCCUUGCUUCUUGUGGCUUUGAGAGCAAGAGGUUGUGGCUCGUUGAUUGGUCCAUUCAAGGCGUCGUCCACGUACCUCGCCUCCUUGAUCAUCAUUCGCCCGCUGACGAAUUUUCCUAGGACUUCUUUGGGCGACAUUUUGGUGUACCUGGGAUUCUCACGAAUAUUAUUCACCAAAUGAGGAUCAAGAACGGUAAAGGACCUUAGCAUUAGUCGGACGACGUCGUGGUCCGUCCAUCGCGUGCUUCCGUAGCUCCUUAUUUUGUUAAUAAGGGUCUUGAGCCGGUUGUAUGUUUGAGUUGGCUCCUCGCCCCUUAUCAUCGCGAACCGUCCAAGCUCGCCCUCCACCAACUCCGUUUUGGUAAGCAAGGUAACGUCAUUUCCCUCAUGAGAAAUCUUGAGGGUGUCCCAGAUCUGCUUGGCGUUGUCCAAGCCGCUCACCUUGUUGUACUCGUCCCUGCACAAAGAGGCUAGCAACACAGUAGUAGCUUGUGCAUUUUUAUGAAUCUGUUCAUUAAUAAACAUAGGGCUAUCCGAGCUAUCAAAUUUCAUUCCAUUCUCUACAAUCUCCCAUAUGCUUGGAUGGAGAGAGAAUAAAUGACUACGCAUUUUGUGACUCCAAAAUCCGUAGUCCUCCCCAUCAAAGUGUGGAGGUUUGCCAAGAGGAAUGGAAAGCAAAUGCGAAUUCGAACUAUGUGGAAUACGAGAAUAAUCAAAUGAAAAGUUCGAAUUGACCGUCUUCCUGUAGUCGUUGUCGUCGUCCCUUUGGGAAGAAGAGGAUUCGUCGCUGUCGUAGUAGACGAUCUCCUUGAUGCGCCUUGUCUUCUUCUUCUUCCCAUCUUUGCGCUUGUGGCUUGAGCCCAAGUCGGUAGACUUGUCAUUCUUCGGCUCGUUGAAGAUAGACUCCUUCUCGUUGUUGUCGACCACCAUCCCCUUUCCCUUAGGAUCCAUCUCUUCGGGCGAUUAGUCCCUCCUUGAAGAGAACGGCUUUGAUACCAAUUGAGAGCACCUAGAGGGGGGGGGGGUGAAUAGGUGAUCCUGUGAAACUUGAAAACUUAAGCCACAAAAACUUGGUUAAUCGUUAGCACAAUAAUUGCCAAGUGGCUAGAGAGGAGUCAAAACACAAUAACCACAAGAAAUCAAACACAGAGAUGGCACGGUGGUUAUCCCGUGGUUCGGCCAAGUACAAAACUUGCCUACUCCACGUUGUGGCGUCCCAACGGACGAGAGUUGCACUCAACUCCUCUCAAGUGAUCCAAUGAUCAACUUGAAUACCACGGUGUUCUUCUUUACUUUGAUCUUUUCCCGUUUGCGAGGAAUCUCCACAACUUGGAGUCUCUCGCCCUUACAAUUGAAUUUCACAAAGAAGUACGGAGUAAGGGAGGGAAGCAACACACACAAAUCCACAACAAAAUGCGCACACACACGGCCAAGAAUCGAGCUCAAAAGACUAUCUCAAAGUUCUCACUAGAACAGAGCUCGAAUCACUGAGAAUGACAAAGGAAUGCGCAAAGACUGAGUGUGGAUGAUCAAGAAUGCUCUAAGGUUGCUUGGUGUUCUCCUCCAUGCGCCUAGGGGUCCCUUUUAUAGCCCCAAGGCAGCUAGGAGCCGUUGAGAGCAAAUCUGGAAGGCCAUUCUUGCCUUCUGUCGUCGGGUGCACCGGACAGUCCGGUGCACACCGGACACUGUCCGGUGCCCGAUUUCCUUCCUUAAACAGCGCAGCCGACCGUUGCAGAUCUGGGAGCCGUUGGCGCACCGGACAUGUCCGGUGCACACCGGACAGUCCGGUGCCCCCUUCCGACCGUUGGCUCGGCCACAUGUCCCGCGCAGAUCGCGCGGCCGACCGUUGGCCCAGCCGACCGUUGGCUCACCGGACAGUCCGGUGCACACCGGACAGUCCGGUGAAUUUUAGCCGUACGCCGUCGGCGAAUUCCCGAGAGCGGCUUCUUCGCCCGAGGCAUCCUGGCGCACCGGACACUGUCCGGUGCACCACCGGACAAUCCGGUGCCCCAGACCGAAACAGCCUUUUGGCUGUACACAGCCAACUCUUCUCUGACUCGUUUUCUCCUGUUUUCUAACACUUAGACAAAUACAUUAGUACACAAAACGAAUGUACUAAAGCUUAGAAACAUACCUUUACUCAUGAUUUGCACUUUGUUCAUCCAUGGGCAUAAACUCACAUUUAAGCACUUGUGUUGGCACUCAAUCACCAAAAUACUUAGAAAUGGCCCAAGGGCACAUUUCCCUUUCAAGUACCCACUCCCUCGGAUCGACGACCUCUUCAACCAGCUGCAAGGAGCCAAAUAUUUCUCCAAGAUAGACCUCAGGUCAGGAUAUCACCAACUGAGAAUCAAGGAAGCAGACAUUCAGAAGACUGCAUUCGUCACCCGGUACGAACAAUAUGAAUUCACAGUGAUGCCAUUUGGGCUAACAAACGCACCCGCCUUUUUCAUGAACCUCAUGAAUAAGGUAUUUAUGGAAGAAUUGGACAAGUUUUUCGUAGUCUUCAUAGACGACAUCCUUAUUUAUUCCAAGAAUCGUAAGGACCAUGAGUGUCACCUCCGAAUCGUUCUCGGAAGACUCAGGGCACAUCAACUUUAUGCUAAGCUCAGCAAGUGUGAGUUCUGGUUAGAAAAGAUAGCUUUCCUGGGGCAUAUCUUGACUGCAGAAGGGAUAGAAGUAGACCCAUCCAAGGUAGAAGCCGUUUCAAAAUGGAAGCAGCCAUCCAACGUCAGUGAAGUACGAAGCUUUCUGGGAAUGGCAGGGUACUACAACCGCUUUAUCAAGGGGUUCUCCAGCAUAGCAAAACCUAUGACCGAACUUCUCAAAAAGGACAAUAAGAUUGUGUGGACUCCCAAAUGUGAGGAAAGUUUCCAGAUCAUCAAGGAAAAGCUUACAACUGCGCCAGUUUUGACACUGCCAGAUAUACACCAGGAUUUCGUCAUCUACUGUGAUGCUUCAAGGCAAGGCUUAGGGUGUGUCUUGAUGCAAAAUGAGAAAGUUAUUGCCUAUGCAUCCCGCCUACUCAAGCCACACGAGCAGAACUACCCUACCCACGACUUGGAAUUGGCAGCCAUCGUGCACGCCCUAAAGAUAUGGAGGCAUUAUCUGAUCGGGAACAAAUGCCACAUCUUGACUGAUCACAAGAGUCUGAAGUACAUCUUCACGCAACCGGACCUCAACCUCCAUCAAAGAAGAUGGCUUGAAUUGAUCAAGGAUUAUGACCUCGAAAUCCACUACCACCCUGGGAAGGCCAACGUGGUAAUAGACGCCCUCAACCGAAAACCUUUCGGGAUUAAAGGGACCAACUUUUUAGAAGAUUGGAAGAAAGAAUCAGCUCAGCUAAAUGCAUGUUUGGGAGACAACAGUAGCCUGGAAGUCAAGCCCAAUCUAGAAGAUCUCAUAUGCAAGGCUCAACACCUGGACGCAGAGACAACCAGACUUAUGGAAAGAGCUCGCAAGGAGCAACUUCCGGACCUUAGGAUAGAUGAGCAAGGAGUCCUCUGGUUCAAGAACCGCCUGUGUGUACCAGUGGGAGAGGCACGGGAAGCCCUGCUCAAUGAAGCCCACAACUCAGCUUACUCCAUCCACCCAGGGACCACCAAGAUGUACCUAGACCUCAAAACCAGAUACUGGUGGAAAGGGAUGAAGAAGGAAAUAGCACAGUAUGUGGCCCGGUGUGACACCUGUCAGCGAACAAAGGCCGAACAUCAGAAGCCUGCAGGCCUACUUCAACCCCUCCCAGUACCCGAAUGGAAGUGGGAAGAAAUAGGCAUGGAUUUCGUGACCGGACUGCCCCGAACAUAGAAAAGAAAUGAUUCCAUAUGGGUAAUAAUCGAUCAUCUCACCAAGGUGGCCCACUUCGUUCCAGUAAAGACCACUUUUGGAGGAGUCGCCCUUGCCCGAAUAUACCUUAAAGAGAUAGUCAGGCUCCAUGGCAUUCCGCGGAAGAUAGUAUCAGAUAGAGGAACGCAGUUCACUUCAAAAUUUUGGAAGGGCCUCCAGCAAGCCAUGGGCACCAAGCUAGAUUUCAGCACCGCUUACCACCCCCAGUCAGAUGGUCAAACAGAAAGAGUCAACAAGAUCCUCGAAGAUUUGCUAAGAGCCUGUGUGCUAACAUUCGACAGGGAUUGGGAGUCCAGUUUGCCGUACGCUGAAUUCUCGUACAACAACAGCCAUCAGGCCAACAUCAAAAUGUCACCGUUCGAAGCACUGUACAGAAGAAAAUGCCAAACUCUCCUAAUGUGGUCCAAUGUAGGGGAAAGAACACUAGAAGGACCCGACUUUGUUAAAGAAGCCGAAGAGAAAGUUGCCUUGAUCCACAGGAGGUUACUUGAAGCUCAGAGUCGACAGAAGAGUUACACAGACAAUAGACGAAGGGAACUCAGAUUUGAGAAAGGAGAUUUUGUUUAUCUCAAGGUCUCCCCGAUGCGUGGGGUCAAAAGGUUCCAAAUGAAAGGAAAGCUAGCACCACGUUUCAUUGGUCCCUACCCCGUCAUUGCCCGAAUAGGACCCGCAGCAUACCGUCUUGAGCUACCAGAAUCCAUGUCAGAUAUUCACAACGUGUUCCAUGUGUCUCAACUCUGCAAAUGCUUAAAGGUACCAGAAAACCACAUCGAGGCAGAUGCAAUUCAGAUUCAAAAGGAUCUCCGGUACCGGGAAAAGCUAGUGAAGAUUCUCGAUUCAGCAGUCAGAAGGACCCGCAACUCAGAAGUGAAACUCUGUAAGGUUCAGUGGAGCAGAGAUGGAGAAGAGGAAGCCACCUGGGAAAGUGAGGACUCUCUGAGGAAGAAAUACCCUUACCUUUUCUCAAGCCCCGUCUGAAUCUCGAGGGCUAGAUUCCUUUAAGUGGGGGUAGGUUUGUAACAUCCCAAAAUCCUAACCUAGGUUUGAAACCCUAAACUACUCCUCUCCCCUUUUUCAUCCUCUAAUUCCAAGAACUCCCUUAGAUUUUCUUUCAUCAUAUGCAUACACUUUGUUUGAUCACAAGCACCUCACUUAGAUUUUAUUUUUCAGCACCUAAGAUUAUCUAUUAAAAUUAAUUGUUCAAAAGAAAAAGAUAUAAAAAUGGAUAAAGGAAUUAGAAAAUAAAAAGAAAAAGAGAAACCCUCUCCCCUAGCUGGGCUGAAUCCAGCCCAUGCCGCGGCCGCGUCCCCCCCUCGCGCCCGCGACUCCCUCCCCUCGGCCCAUUUCCGGCCUGCUCCCGCGUGCGCGCCAGCCCGCCCUGCGCUCUCUUUCUCUCCCUCGCUGAUGAACCGACCCCACCCGCCAGCCGCCCUCUCUCUCGCACGCUCACUCCCACUGGCAGACCGGCCCCAGCUGUCAGCCAGUUCGUCGUCCUUCUUCCCCCUCCCCGCGUACGGCCCAUCACGGUCACCUCCGGCCAUCGCCUCCGUCUUCUCGCCGCACAGGGAAGUUGGGCACCGCCCCGUCCUCACCGCAGCGGCCGCGUCCUUGCACGGCACCGCCACCGUGCGGUCUCGUCAUCGCCGCUGUGCGGCAUUAACUCUGGUACGGUGCGCCUCACCGGCACCAUGGAGCUCCACCGCUCCCCUUCCCUCGGGCGCCUAUAAAAGGGCCGCCCCGAGCUCCUCCUUCCCCGCACCGGCCUCAGCCACCCCUCUCCUCCCUCGUCCGAGCUCAAUUCGUGGAAGAACCACCGUCGUCUUCCUCCCCGGUGAGCCCUUCCCUCUCUUCUCCCUGCCCCUCUGUUGGUCCAUCAAGUGAUUGCUUAAGCCUCCUAGCUUCGCCACACCGCCACGAACGCAGUACACCACUCACCCACCCCGAUUCCUCGCCCAAAGCUCACCGACGGCAACCCCGCCACGCAGCUCCGCCACCUCCCCGCGGACAACCCCCCUCCCUGCCCCCUCUAGCCAAAUUGAGCCCACCCCCAGGUCCGCCAGACCCUCACCAAGCUAGGGCAACCGCCCGUUGCCCGAGAACCGGGCCACCGGCGGUAAACCGCCGUCGAGCCCACCGCCGGCCGGUUUUCCUCCCCUCAAACGGUUGGUUCGCCCCACGCCGUCGACCGUUGGCGUCGUCUUCCCCUCUCGCUCUCUCUGUCGCGUGGGCCCCGCGGCGACGACGUUUUCCCCUGCGCCCGCGCCAUCUCCCCGACUUGGGCCACUGAUAGGCCAGCGCCCUCGCGCGCCCCUGCGCCGGUUGGACCAAAUUCCCCCUCCCCGGCCCACCAGCGCCAAACUCCUUUUCCUUUUUUUCAGCCCUUUUUCCUCUAAUUAGUUUUUCUCAAUAUUUUAUGUACCAAAAAUCAUCAAAACACUUUCUAGAGUCACAUGUAAUAAUAAUGACACACUAUGAUGGUGAAACCACUGAUUGAUGUAUUUUUUUAUUGAUUGUUUUCACUAGAAGAAGCGGGGACCGAGGGCCCGGAACCCGUAGCCCCGGAAGAAGGGUCGGAGCCCGAUCUCCCGGAAGUAGAUCUUUUGUGCCAGGAAAGCUUCGACGAAGGCAAGUCCAUCCUUCCCUUGAUGCAUAAAUUACCUAUUCUCUCUACCACUGCAUAGGCCGGGAAUUCAGGGGGAAUAUUGCAUUGUGAGUGAGAGAUGGCCCGCAUUAACAUAUACAUUCUGGAUACGAAAUAUGGAUUGAGAAGAAGGGAAAUGUGUUUCUUCAAAUAAAAUCUCUUUUUGAAAAGUUAUGCGAUGAAGGGUACUCACCCUCAUCACCUUGGGAGUGGGAUGAUCAGGGACUCCCUGGUUUAGGGGAGGGCCUAAGGUGUUGGCUCAGCUGGUUUAGGCAUGAGCAGAAGGAUUGUCCCCUCAUAUAAGGACCGGCUUGUCAUUUUCACUACCUGUACUCCUUUGUCGUACAACCACUUGAGACUGUGUGGGCAGUCACUCAAUCCGAACUCGUGCGGUCCAACCCCAGGGUUAAGAAGGCUGGGGAGCACCGGGAGGAUAAGGAGGGGGAAAGUUUUGUCCGGUUUGGACAUGGUGGUGGCCUGACUCCUUCUGGAUAACCGUUAAGGUUAGGACGUACGAGGAAGGAAAGAGAUCCGGCAUUCGGGUCUCGCGACGGUGAGAUCGCAGAAACCGGGCUAGUGGGUAAAGUGUACCCCUCUGCGCAGAGUCGAAAACCUAUUCGAAUAGUCCGUGUCCACUGGUAUGGACGGGUCUGGUAUGGCAUGGCAAUUAGAGAUUUUUCUAUGAGUUUCAUGAAAAGGGAAAUGUGUGAUUAAAUGGGUGUUAAGAAAGAAACUAAGGCCACGGGAGCGGGAAGCUCAGUGGUGGUUGAGUUUUGGUUACUUUUAAGACUAUGGGAAAAACCUUACAGCAAGUGCCUUUCUCUAAGAAAAUGAUGAGUGACUUCAACUACACCAAAUAAAACAUGUAUAUUAUAGGUCUCUUCCUCUCUACGAGAGCGGGGUGGACUUGCGGAAUACCUAGUGUAUUCACCCAGAUUUAUUUAUGUUUUUCAGCAGCCAAAAACUUCUUUUCUGCUAUGCUUGAUUGAGAGGGCUGUGUCUGCACCCAGUUCUGCCUGUGGCUUGGGCUAGUAUUUCUUUUCCUACUGCACUUCCUAUUUUGGCUCUCUCGAGCUUGUACCCCAAUAUUGUAAUAACAAUUAUCUAAACUCUGUACUAUUUGAAGUAAGGAAUGUGUUUACUAGCCUCCUGGGACUAGUAAUUGUGUCACAUUUGAGUCCCAAAGGAUCGGGACGCUUCAAUGUGCCACCACAAGGGUGGAAUGAGACGCCCUUAGCUGACUAAUUAGGAAAGCUAGUGGAAGACUACCUUACCCGAAAGGGGUAAGGGCAGUAGGGGAGUAGGCAUGCAGGGAGGUUCUCGGGUUGAUUUUGCUGCGAUGGCGGUCAGAUGAGGGAUUCUUGUAAUUGCUCUUCCUAGAAACUAUAGCGGGUUUUCAGAAGCUAGUGAAACUUUGUAAAGGCCUCGUAGUGUUACCCUGCCUCGCUUCCUUGGUAGCGGUGUAUGGGACUUAUGACCCCUUGGUAGAUGGGUAACAUGACUUGUGGGUACAUAGUACAACCUCUGCAGAGUGUAAAACUGGUAUACUAGCCGAGCUCACGGUCAAGAGUAGCUCAGGACUCUCGCAUGAUUAAAUUAUGGAACUAAAUUCAAUUUGUCAUAUGCAUUGCAUGAGAUUAUUUAUUAAUUUUGUUCUAUUAUUUUUAUUAUGGUUUGGUAUUUACUUAUAUUUAGUAACUGCUAAUAAAAAUUUGACCAACUUAUUAAAAUCAAUGCUCAGCUUUAACCCCUAUUGUUGAUCAGCCUUACACAUCACAUGAACUCCCACUUUUGGUGAGUUCAUGCACAUUAUUCCCCACAACUUGUUGAACGAUGAACAUGUGUGAGCUCACCCUUGCUGUCUCACACCCCCCACAGGAGAAGAACAGGUGGUUCAAGAGGAGCCACACAACGAAGAGUUCGACUUGAUCUAGGUGGCGUCUCCCAGUUGAAUUUAUGGCGCCAAGGAUGGACUUUAGUUUGUUUUAUAUUUAUAAUUUAUUUUGUAAGACUUCCGCUAUGUAAUAAGUACUCUGAUGAUAUUAUGACAUUUAUCUCUAUACACUCUGUUAUUAUAUGUGUUGUCUUCUUUGGCGCAUAUAUGAGAUGCACCCGGCUUUGUCCCUUAAAUCGGGUGUGAUAGUGUCCCUCUCCUUCUUCUUCUUCUUCCCCUUGCCGUCCUCGCCAUCCACCGUAGCCGCGGGGGGCUGGGCUUGGCGUUGAAGCGGGAGGCGGCGGAGGGGUGGCUAGGGUUGGUGGGCGCGUCGGCGACGGCAGGAGGGUUGGUGGAGGCGGAGGAGGGGCAGUCGUGGGACCAGUGGCUGGGGCGGCCACACUUGAAGCGUCCCGUGGGCGGCGACGCGGCCAUGGCUGCUUAGGGUUGGGGAAUCGGGGAUGGAUGGAUGAAUGGAUCUUGCUCCUGGUCCUGGGCAAGGGGGGAAAGGAAAUCAAGUGUUUUGGCGGGAGUUGGGAGGCGAGAUGGCGCCAAAUACAGAUCGAAAGGACAAAAAGGAAGAAAAAAGAAAAAAGGGGGCAUUCCGAGAAUUGAACUCGGGACCUCUCGCACCCUAAGCGAGAAUCAUACCACUAGACCAAAUGCCCUUUGGUGAAUGUGGUCUUUGAUCUAUCAUAAUUGAACAACAAACUGGAUAUGUACCAAAACAGGCUAUAUGCUGAGAUGACAUCGUCCCAAGUCCAUGUGACUUGUGAGAUGGAUGGAUGAAUCUUCUGGAGCACGUGAAUGUGUGCUUUUGGUUUGGCUACGUGAUAGUCGCCUAGAGGGGGGGUGAAUAGGCGAAACCUGAAAUUUACAAACUUAAACACACACUAAAGGCCGGGGUUAGAGUUAGAAUUAAAUUCAAGUCAAAAGAAUAUUUCUCUUGCUAAGAGUUGCUCAAAGAAUGUGGAUGAUGUAUGGGAGCCAACUGAAGUCAAUACUAGCAAGGAAAUGUUAGAGGGAAAACAAAUCAAACGAGAAUCAAGGUGAGUGAACACGAUGAUUUGUUUUACCGAGGUUCGGUUCCAAAGAACCUAGUCCCUGUUUAGGAGGUCAUAAAGACCGGGUCUAUUUCAACCCUUUCCCUCUCUCAAACGGUCACUUAGACCGAGUGAGCCUUUUCCUUAAUCUCACGGGUCACUUAGACCCUGCAAGGACCACCACACACUUAGGUGUCUCUUGCUUCGAUUACAAGUUUCUUAAGAAUAAGAAGGGAAAAAGAAAAGGGCCAAACCAAGCGACAAGAGCAACAAAGAACACAAGUGAUCCUCUCACAAGCCCUAAUGCACUAGAGUUGAUUUUGGGGCCUUGAGUGGAUGGAUUGCUUUGAUUGUGUCUUGGAGUGUUGGACUUUUGCUCUUGCAAUGAAUGAGAAUUCAUAAAUGCUUGGAUAGGAGUGGAUGAGGUGGUUGGGGGGUAUUUAUAGCCUCCCAACCACUUCUAGCCAUUGGCUAAUUUCUACUGAUGAUGGGUGCACCAGUGCGCCACCAGACAAUCACUGUGCACUGUUCGGUGCGCGCCACGCCAGCGCAACCGUUAGGGUUCGGAGCAGUUGACCGUUGGAGAUGUUUGUCUUCUAGCUACACCGGACAGUCUGGUGCCCUCUGACUUCUGUGCUUCUGACUUCUGCGCAGCACUGUUCCGCUCUGACAUCUCCAUAGUCGACCGUUGGAUGAGCAGGGAGCCGUUGCUCUGCUGGCUCAGCAGACAAUCCGAUGUCACAUCGGACAGUCCGGUGAAUUAUAGCGGAGCGCGCCCUGGAAUUACUGAGAGUGGCUGGUUCGGAGUUGUACGGCCCGGGUGCACCGGACAGUCCGAUGCGCCAUUUUUCAGCACACUCAAGUUCUUCGCUUCAUUUUUUAUUGUGUCCCUAACCGGAUUUCUUGCUUGGUUUGUGUAGAACCUUAUGCACCUGCAAUAUAUGAUAUCUGGAAAAACUAGUUAGUCCACGUGUUUGUGUUCAUCAUCAACCACCAAAAUUAGUUAUAGGAAAUGGUUAACCCGAUUUCCCUUUCAAUCUCCCCCCUUUUGGUGAUUGAUGCCAACACAAACCAAAGCAAAUAUAAAGUGCAGAAAUGUAACUAGUUUGCAUUUAUGACGAAUGUGCAUAUAUUACUUGGAGUUAAACCAAUUGAAAUUAUCACUAAGAAUGAAUGGUUUGCUUUUCUUUUUAUUUAACAUUUUGGACCACAUUUGCACCACAUGUUUGUUUUUGCAAAUCUUUUUGAAAACCUUUUCAAAAUCUUUUGCAAAUAGUCAAAGGUAUAAGAAUGUGAUUUCAAGAAGCAUUUUUAAGAUUUGAAAUUCCUCCCCCUAUUUCAAAUGCUUUUCCUUUGACUAAAUAAAAACUCCCCCUGAAGAAAUUCUCCCCUUAGCUUUCAAGAGGGUUUUGAAAUAGAUAUGAAGUGAAAUUAUACCAAUUGAAAUUUUUUCCUACUAAAUGUGAAGUUUUGAAGAUGCCAAUUUGAAAUUUUACUUUCACAUAUCAAUUGAAAAUUAGAUACUAAUUGAAAAAUACACCAAUUGAAAAAAUCAUUUUGAAAAUUUUGAAAUGGUGGUGUGGUCCUUUUGCUUUGGCUUAAUACUUUCUCCCCCUUUGGCAUUAAUUGCCAAAAACAGAGAACUUGAGAGCCCUUUUAUACUUCCUCCCACAUUGAUAAAAAACAUAUCAGUGAAAGAUUAUACCAAUUGAGAGUUUGCGGAGUAACGACAAUGGGUAAAUGAUGUCGUCAGAGUUUGGAGUGGGAGCCUUGCCUUUGCUGAAUACUCCAUUGCCCUUUCAAUCUAAGACUAAUCAUAGAGAUAUACUUGAAAGCACAUUAGUCUUAGCCUUGGAACAAGAAGAAUAAGAAAUAUGCAUUUGUACCAAAUGAAAGAGACAUGAUCAAGGUAUAUGCAUGAACUAUGUGUGCAAUGUUUCAAUCAAAGUUCCGAGAAUCAAGUAUAUUUAGCUCAUUCCUAAGUUUGCUAAAUGUUUUCUCAUCUAAUGGCUUGGUAAAGAUAUCGGCUAAUUGAUUCUUGGUGUUUACAUAAGCUAUUUCGAUAUCCCCCUUUGUUGGUGAUCUCUUAGAAAGUGAUACCGAAUGUCUAUGUGCAUAGUGCGGCUAUGUUCAACGGGAUUAUCCGCCAUGCAGAUUGCACUCUCAUUAUCACAUAGGAGAGGGACUUUGCUCAAUUUGUAGCCAUAGUCCCUAAUAGUUUGCCUCAUCCAAAGUAAUUGCGCACAACAAUGGUCUGCGGCAAUGUACUCGGCUUCGGCAGUGGAAAGAGCUACUGAGUUUUGUUUCUUUGAAGUCCAUGACACCAGGGAUCUCCCCGGAAACUGACAAGUCCCUGAUGUGCUCUUCUUAUCAAUUUUACACCCUGCCCAAUCGGCAUCGAAAUAACCUAUUAAAUCAAAAGUGGAUCCCUUGGGGUACUAAAGCCCAAACUUAGGAGUGUAAACUAAAUACCUCAUGAUUCUUUUCAUGGCCCUAAGUUGAACAACCUUAGGAUCAUCCUGGAACCUUGCACACAUGCAUAUAGAAAGCAUAAUAUCUGGUCAAGAUGCACAUAAAUAGAGUAAAGAUCCUAUCAUCGACCGGUAUACCUUUUGAUCUACGGAUUUACCUCCCAUGUCGAGGUCGAGAUGCCCACUGGUUCCCAUGGGUGUCUUGAUGGGUUUGCCAUCCUUCAUCCCAAUCUUCUUAUGUAUGUCUUGAAUGUACUUUGUUUGGCUGAUGAAGGUGCCCUCUUGGAGUUGCUUGAUUUAAAAUCCUAGGAAAUACUUCAACUCCCCCAUCAUCGACAUCUCGAAUUUCUGAAUCAUGAUCCUACUAAACUCUUCACAAGUUGAUUUGUUAGUAGACCCAAAUAUGAUAUCAUCAACAUAAAUUUGGCAUACAAACAAAUCUCUUUGAAUUUCUUGGUGGACUCUUGGGUGUGGCGGUCUUUGACCCUAAGUUUCUUGAUCAUCUUCCUUGUCUUGAUCAUUUUCAUCUCCCCCUUGAUCCAUGUCUUCCUCUUGAGGUGGCUCAUCUUCUUGAUUUUCAUCCUCAUCAUCCCGAGCCUGUUCCUCAUCUUGAGUUGGUGGGGAUGCUUGAUUGGAAGAUGACGACUGAUCUUGUGCUUGUGUGGGCUCUUUGGAUUCCUUAGGACACACAUCCCCAAUGGACAUGUUUCUUAGCGCGAUGCAUGGAGCCUCUUCAUCAUCUAAUUCAUCAAGAUAAACUUGCUCCACUUGGGAGCCAUUAGUCUCAUCAAACACAAUGUCACAAGAAACCUCAACCAAUCCAGUGGAUUUGUUGAAGACUCUAUAUGCCCUUGUGUUUGAGUCAUAACCAAGUAAAAAGCCUUCUAUAGCCUUAGGAGCAAAUUUAGAUUUUCUAUCUCUUUUAACAAGAAUAAAGCAUUUACUCCCAAAGACUCUAAAAUAUGAAACAUUGGCAUUUUACCAGUGAGGAGUUCAUAUGAUGUCUUCUUGAGGAUUCGGUGUAGAUAUAACCGGUUGACGGAGUAGCAGGCGGUGUUAAUCGCCUUAGCCCAAAACCGGUCCGGAGUCUUGUACUCAUCAAGCAUGGUUCAUGCCAUGUCCAGUAGAGUUCUAUUCUUCCUCUCCACUACACCAUUUUGUUGAGGUGUGUAGGGAGAAGAGAACUCAUGCUUGAUGCCCUCUUUCUCAAGAAAACCUUCAAUUUAUGAAUUAUUGAACUCUGUCCCAUUAUCGCUUCUUAUCUUUUUUAUCCUUAAUCCGAACUCGUUUUGAUCCCGUCUUAAGAAUACUUUUAAGGUCUCUUAGGUUUGUGAUUUUUCAUGCAAAAAGAACACCCAAGUGAAGCGAGAAUAAUCAUCCACAAUAACUAGACAUUACUUACUUCCUCCGAUGCUUAUGUAAGCUAUCAGACCGAAUAGAUCCAUGUGGAGUAGCUCGAGCGGGCUGUGAGUCGUCAUUAUGUUCUUGUGUGGAUGGUGGGCGCCAACUUGCUUUCCUGCUUGACAUGCGCUACAAACCCUGUCUUUCUCAAAACGAACAUUGGUUAGUCCUAAAAUGUGCUCCCCUUUAGGAGCUUGUGAAGAUUCUUCAUUCCAACAUAGGCUAGUCGGCGAUGCCAGAGCCAACCCAUAUUAGUCUUAGCAAUUAAGCAAGUGUUUAGUUCAGCUUGAUUAAAAUCAACUAAGUAUAGCUGACCCUCUAGCACUCCCUUAAAAGCUAUUUAAUCAUCACUUCUUCUAAAGACAGUAACACCUAUAUCAGUAAAAAUACAGUUGUAGCCCAUUUUACAUAAUUGAGAAACAGUAAGCAAAUUGUAAUCUAAAGAAUCUACAAGAAAAACAUUGGAAAUAGAAUGGUCAGGUGAUAUAGCAAUUUUACCCAAACCUUUGACCAAACCUUGAUUUCCAUCUCCGAAUGUGAUAGCUCUUUAGGGAUCUUCGUUUUUCUCAUAGGAGGAGAACAUCCUUUUCUCCCUUGUCAUGUGGUUUGUGCACCCGCUAUCGAUUAUCCAACUUGAACCACCGGAUGCAUAAACCUACAAAACAAUUUUAGGCAUUGUUCCUAGGUACCCAAACAGUCUUGGUCCUUUGACGUUAGAAACAAGCACUUGGGUACCCAAACACAAGUCUUUGGACUCUUGUGUUUGCCCUCAACAUAUUUGGCUACUAUUUUGCCUGAUUUGUUAGUAAGCACAUAUGAAGCAUCAAAAGUAUUAAAUGAAAUGUUAUGUUCAUUUGAUGCAGCAGGAAUUUUCUUUCUAGGCAUUUUAACAUGAGUGGUAUGCCUAGAGCUAGAAGCCUCAUUUUUAUACAUAAAAGCAUGGUGAGAAAUAGUAUGAGGUUUCCUAGCGUGAAUCUUCCUAAUCUUGUGUUCAGGAUAGUUAGGAGGAUAUAAGAUAUAGCCCUCACUAUCCUGAACCAUGGGAGCCUUACCCUUAACAAAAUUAGACUAUCUUUUAGGGGCAUGAAGCUUGACAUUGCUUCCCUGUUGGAAACCAAUGCCAUCCUUAAUGCCAGGGCGUCUACCAUUAUAGAGCAUGCUUCUAGCAAAUUUAAACUUUUCAUUUUCAAGUUCAUGCUCUUUAAUUUUAGCAGUUAAUUUAGCUAUGUGAUCAUUUUGUUGUUUAAUCAUAGCAAGGUGAUCAUCAAUAGCUUCUACAUUAAUAUCUUUACAUCUAGUGCAAAUGGAAAUAUGCUCAACAGUAGAUGUAGAAGGUUUGCAAGUAUUUAAUUCUUCUAUCUUAGAUUUUAAUUUAGCAUUCUCAUCUCUAAGACAGGAAAUAGAAUCAUUGCAAACAUUCAAUUUUUCAAUCUUAGAAAUUAAAUUAGUAUUUUCAGUUCUAAGACUAGAAAUUGAAUCAUGGCAAAUGCUAAGCUCCUUAGAUAAAAAUUUUCACAUUUCUCUACUUCCUGAGCAUAAGCAUUUUUCAAUUUAAUAAAUUUUUUGUUCUUUUUAAUUAGGAAGUCCUCUUGGCUAUCCAAGAGUUCAUCCUUCUCAUUAAUUGCUUCAAUUAAUUCAUUUAAUUUCUUCUUUUGAUCCAUGCUAAGGUUGGCAAAAAGAGACAUUAAAUUGUCUUCACUAUCACUAGAGCUACCCUCAUCACUAGAUGUUGUAUAUUUAGGGGUGGCUCUAGAGUGUACCUUCUUCUUGUCGUCCUUAGCCAUAAGACACUUGUGGCCGACAUUAGGGAAGAGGAGGCCCUUGUUGACGGCGAUGUUGGCGGUGUCCUCGUCGGAGGAGGAGUCGGUGGAGCUCUCGUUGGAGUCCCAUUCCCGACAUAUGUGGGCAUCAUCGCCCUUCUUCUUGUAGUACCUCUUCUUCUCCUUCUUCUCCCCCUUCUUGUCAUCGUCCCUGUCACUUUCACUAGAGAUAGGACAUUUAGCAAUAAAGUGAUCGGACUUACCACACCGGUAGCACACCUUCUUGGAGUGGGAUUUGUAGUUCUUCCCCCUCCUUUGCUUGAGGAUUUGGCAGAAGAUCUUGAUGAUGAGCGCCAUUUCCUCGUUGUCGAGCUUGGAGGCGUCGAUUGGAAGCCUACUUGGUGUAGACUCCUUCUUCUCUUCUUCCAUCGCUUUGAACGCGAUGGGUUGCACCUCGGGUGUGGAGGUGGCGCCUUGCUUCAAGUUGACAAUAUGUUUGGAGUCUUUGAUCAUUAGCUCAAAGCUCACAAACUUGCCAAUAACCUCCUCGGGAGACAUCUGUUUAUAUCUAGGGUCUCCAUGGAUUAGUUGCACUUGAGUGGGAUUACGAAAAACAAGUGAUCUAAGAAUAACCUUGACCAUCUCAUGGUCAUCCCACUUGGUACUCCCGAGGUUGCGCACUUGAUUGACCAUCGUCUUUAGCCGGUUGUACAUUGCUUGCGGCUCUUCUCCUUUGUUGAGAACGAAUCGACCGAGUUCUCCCUCGAUCGUUUCGCGCUUGUUGAUCUUGGUCACCUCAUCCCCUUCGUGCGCGGUCUUGAGGACGUCCCAAAUUUCCUUGGCGGUCUUUAAUCCUUGCACCUUGUUAUACUCCUCUCGACACAAGGAGGUGAGAAGUAUAGACGUGUCUUGGGAGUUAAAGUGCCUAAUUUGGGUGGCCUCGUCCAAGUCGUAGUCCUUUUCCCCUGAAAGUCGCCUAGAAGGGGGGUGAAUAGGCGUAAUAUGAAAUUUACAACUUUAAACACACACUACAAGCCGGGGUUAGCAUUAGAAUUAAAUCUGAGUCCGUUAGAGAGGGGGAAAACAAAGCAACCAAGAAAUAAAGCGGAUGAACACGGUGAUUUGUUUUACCGAGGUUCGGUUCUAAAGAACCUAGUCCCCAUUGAGGUGGUCACAAAGAUGAAAGAAAAAUGUGCCCUUGGGCAAUUUCUAUAAGUAUUUUGGUGAUUAGAUGCCCAACACAUUAUUUGAGUACUAAUAUGCUAAAUGUGAGAAAGGUCCAAAUCAAAGUAAAAGGUACGUUUCUAGACUUAGUACAUUGUUUUUUGUGAACUAACAUUGUUUGUCUAAGUGCUAGAAACAGUGCCGAAAAGAGAGGAAUCGGAUUGCAAAAGACUUGGUUGUGAGCAGCAAAACUUCAGCUCAGACUGGCACACCGGACUGUCCGGUGCGCCAGGCUGGUCUCUGGUGAAAGUGCUGCUCUCGGGAAUCGACGGUGGUGUACGGCUAUAAUUCACCGGACUGUCCGGUGGUGCAUCGGACUGUCCGGUGAGUCAUCCGCGGCGAACUCGUCGCUCUCGGGAAACGAAAAAAGAGACAUGGCUAUAAUUCACCGGACUGUCCGAUGUUGCACCGGAUUGUCCGGUGAGCCAACGGUCGCCAGCGCCAACGGUCGGCCGCGAAAUCUGUGGGCAACACAUGGCAGCUCCAAUGGUCGGCGGGGGGGGGGGGGUGCACCGGACAGUGUCCGGUGCGCCAACGGGCCCGAAGCUGCAACGGUCGUCUAUGCCCGAUUUGGAAGGAAAUCACGCAGCGGACAGGCUACAGUGGCUGUCCGGUGGCACACCGGACUGUCCGGUGCGCCACUCGACAGAAGGCAAGGAUGGCCUUCCAAGUUUGCAUACAACGGCUUCUAGCUGUCUUGAGGCUAUAAAAGGGACCCCUAGGCACAUGGAGGACUUACCUAAGCAUUCACUAAGCAUUCUAAGACUCCCACACUCUGCCUCCGCGCAUUUGAUCGAUUGUGUUAGUGAUUUGAGCUUCGUUCGAGUUGUGAACUCUCUGUGCUACGUUUCGAGCUCAAGUCUUGGCUUGUGUGCGUGUGUGUGCUGCAGAUUUGUGUGUUGUGUGUGUUGCUCUCCUAGCCUUACUCUUGUGCAUUCUUUGUGAUCUUUAUUGUAAGGGCAGAGGCUCCAACUUGUGGAGGUUCCUCGCAAAUGGGAGAAAGACUAUAAGGAAGAAAGCCGUGGUAUUCAAGUUGAUCGUUGGAUCACUUGAAAGGGGUUGAGGGCAACCCUCGUCCAUUGGGACACCACAACCUGGAAGUAGGCAAGUGUUACUUGGCCGAACCACAGGAUAAAAUCGCGUGUCUCUUGUGAUUGCUCUCUUUGUGAUUGUUUUGUCCACAAGAACUCGCCUCAAAACUAUUUAGUCGCACUAACACCUCUUUAACUAAGUUUUGUGGCUAUUUAGUGUUUAAUUUUACAGGAUCACCUAUUCACCCCCCUCUAGGUGCUCUCAAUUGGUAUCAGAGCCGUACUCUUCAUCUAAGGGACUAACCGCCCGAAGAGAUGGAUCCUAAGGGAAAGGGGAUGAUGGUCAACGACAACGAAAAGGAGUCCCUCUUCAAUGAGCCAAGGGAGACAAGCCCACUGACUCAGGAUCGAGUCAUAAGAAGAGGGACGGGAAGAAGAAGAGGCGCAUCAAGAAGAUCAUUUACUACGACAGCGAUGCCUCCUCUUCUUCACCAAGAGACGACGACGACGACUCUUCGUCGAAAAAGAGAACGGUUAAUCAAAACUACUCUUUUGACUAUUCUCGCAUGUCGUACAAUUCAAAUGCACAUCUAAUUUCAAUUCCCCUUGGAAAACCUCCACACUUUGAUGGAGAGGACUACUCGUUUUGGAGUCAUAAAAUGCAUAGUCAUUUAUUCUCUCUCCAUCCUAGCAUUUGGGAAAUUGUAGAGAAUGGGAUGCACUUCGAUAGUACGGAUAACCCUGUGAUAAUUAAUGAACAGAUUCAUAAAAAUUCCCAAGCUACUACUGUCUUGCUAGCUUCACUUUGCAGGGAUGAAUAUAAUAAGGUGAGUGGCUUGGACAACACCAAGCAAAUCUGGGACACCCUCAAGAUCUCACAUGAGAGAAAUGAUGCUACGAUGAUCACCAAAAUGAAACUGGUGGAAGGCGAGUUGGGAAGAUUCGCCAUGAUCAGGGGAGAAGAGCCAACACAAACCUACAACAGGCUCAAGACCCUAGUUAACAAGAUCCGAAGCUAUGGAAGCCCCAGAUGGAUGGAUCAUGAUGUCAUCCGACUCAUGCUAAGGUCAUUUACUGUAAUUGACCCCCAUCUUGUCAAUCUUAUUCGUGAGAAUCCUAGGUACACCAAGAUGACGCCCGAGAAGAUUCUUGGAAAUUUUUUGAGCGGGCGCAUGAUGGUGAAGGAGGCUCGAUACAUGGACGAUGCUCGAAACGGUCCACUACCUAUCUACGAGCCUCAACCUGUUGCUCUUAAGGCAACCAGUAGCAGGGAGGUGCUUCCAAACAAGGUGGCACAAGUGGAUGCUGCUGGCCUCAACGAGGAUGAGAUGGCGCUUAUCAUCAAGCGCUUCAAGACCGCGCUUAAAGGACGCACGGAGUACCCCAACAAGAACAAAACAAGGGGAAAGCACUCCUGCUUUAAAUGCGGUAAGACGGUCACUUUAUUGCAAAUUGUCCCGAUAAUGAUAGUGACCAGGGACAAGAAAAGAGCGGGAAGAAGAAGAAAAAGAAGAACUACAGGAAGGCAAAGGGUGAGGCGCACCUUGGAAAGGAAUGGGACUCAGACUGCUCCUCCUCCGACUCUGACGACGAAGGACUCGCUGCCUCGACCUUCAACAAAUCAUCACUCUUCCCCAACGAACGCCAUACAUGUCUUAUGGCCAAGGAGAAAAAGGUACGUGCUCGGGACACACCCAAGUACACUUCAUCUAGUGAUGAAGAAUCCUCCGAUGAUGAAGUAGAUUACACUAGUUUAUUUAAAGGUUUAGAUAGAGCCAAAGUAGAGAAAAUUAAUGAAUUAAUUGAUGCUCUAAAUGAAAAAGAUAGAUUGCUAGAGAAGCAAGAAUAUAUUUUGUAUGAAGAACAUGACAAGUUUAUUAGUGUUCAAAAAUCCCUUGCUCUAGAAAUUAAAAAGAAAUGAAAUGCUAUCCUCUGAGUUGUCUGCUUGCCAUGAAUCUGUUUCUAGUUUAAGGAGUUUAAAUGAUGAAUUAAAUGCUAAACUAGAGGAAGUUAAUAAAUCUAGUUCAUGUGUAGAGCAUGUUGUUAUUUGUAAUAGAUGUAAGGAUUUUGAUGUUGAUGCCUGUAAUGAACAUAUUGCUUCCAUUACUAAAUUAAAUGAUGAGGUGGCAAGUCUUAAUGCUCAACUUAAGACUUGCAAAAUUGAGUUUGAUAAAUUAAAAUUUGCUAGGGAUGCCUACACUAUUGGUAGACACCCCUCUAUUAAGAAUGGACUUGGUUUUCUAAAGGAAACCAAGAACUUAACAAGCCAAAAGGCUCCCGUUCUCAACAAGGAGAAAGGGAAGGCCCCUAUGGCUAGUAGUUCUCAAAAAUGUCAUGCCUACAUUUAUGAUAGAAAAUUUUCUAGGAAUGCUUAUAAUGAUAGAGACUAUGAUCAUGCUAUGAUUGCUUCUAGCUCUACUUUUGUGCAUAGUAGAAGUAGGCCUAGGAAAAAUCAUGUUGUGCAUCACGUGCCUAGGAAAAUGUGUAAUAAACCUACUACCGUUUUUCAUGCUUGCAACACUUCGUUUGUACUUUCAUGUAAGAAUGAAAAAGUGGUUGCUAGGAAGUUGGGAUCCAAAUGCAAGGGAGACAAGACUUGUAUUUGGGUUCCAAAAAUUAUUGUGACUAACCUUGUAGGACCCAACAAGAGUUGGUUACCUAAAACCCAAGCUUAAAUUCCUUGCAGGUUUAUGCAUCCGGGGGCUCAAGCUGGAUUAUUGACAGCGGAUGCACAAACCACAUGACGGGGGAGAAGAAGAUGUUCACCUCCUACGUCAAGAACAAGGACUCCCAGGAAACGAUCAUCUUUGGAGAUGGGAACUAAUGCAAGGUCAAAGGUUUGGGCAAGAUAGCCAUCACCAACGAGCACUCCAUAUCGAAUGUAUUUCUAGUAGAGUCGCUUGGUUACAACCUUCUGUCUGUAAGUCAAUUGUGUCACAUGGGCUACAAUUGUCUUUUUACAAAUGUUGACGUAUCUGUCUUUAGAAGGAGUGAUGUUUCAUUAGCUUUUAAGGGUGUAUUAGACGACAAACUCUACUUAGUUGAUUUUUCGAAAGAGGAGGCCGAUCUAGAUGCAUGCUUAAUAGCUAAGACUAGUAUGGGCUGGCUGUGGCAUCACCGUCUAGCACAUGUUGGGAUGAAGAACCUUCAUAAACUUCUAAAGGGAGAACAUGUGUUAGGACUAACCAAUGUUUUUUUCGAGAAAGAUAGGCCUUGUGCAGCAUGUCAGGCAGGGAAACAGGUGGGAAGCACUCAUCAUAGGAAGAAUGUGAUGACAACAUCAAGACCACUGGAGCUUCUUCACAUGGACCUCUUCGGACCCGUUGCCUAUCUUAGCAUCGGGGGAAGUAAGUAUGGUCUUGUAAUUGUUGAUGAUUUUUCCCGCUUCACUUGGGUGUUCUUUUUGCAGGAUAAAUCAGAAACCCAAGGGACCCUAAAGCGCUUUCUAAGGAGGGCUCAAAACGAAUUUGAGCUAAAGGUGGAAAAGAUAAGGAGCGAUAAUAGGUCCAAGUUCAAGAAUUUGCAAGUUGAGGAAUAUCUUGAGGAGGAAGGCGUCAAGCACGAGUUCUCCGCUCCCUACACACCACAGCAAAACGGUGUGGUAGAGAGGAAGAACAGGACGCUUAUCGACAUGGCGAGAAUGAUGCUUGGAGAGUUCAAGAGGCCCGAGCGAUUUUGGUCGGAAGCUGUGAACACAGCUUGCCACGCCAUAAACCGGCUCUAUCUGCAUCGCCUUCUCAAGAAGACCUCCUACGAACUCCUUACCGGUAACAAACCUAAUGUCUCCUACUUUCGUGUAUUUGGGAGCAAAUGUUACAUUCUGGUGAAGAAAGGUAGACAUUCUAAAUUUGCUCCUAAGGCAGUAGAAGGGUUUUUACUAGGGUAUGACUCAAAUACAAAGGCGUAUAGAGUCUUCAACAAAUCAUCGGGUUUGGUUGAAGUCUCUAGCGACGUUGUACUUAAUGAGACUAAUGGCUCUCCAAGAGAGAAAGUUGAUCUUGAUGACAUAGAUGAAGAUGAUGUUCCAACGGCCGCAAUGCGCACGAUGGCAAUUGGUGAUGUGCGACCACAGGAACAACAGGAGCAAGAUCAGCUAUCUCCCUCCACAUUGGUGCAUCCUCCAACUCAAGACGGUGAACAGGGACCUCAAGAAGAGGGACAAGAUCAAGGGGGAGCACAGGAAGAACAAGUGAUGGAGGAAGAAGCACCACGUGCCCCUCCAACUCAAGUCCGAGCAACGAUCCAAUGACAUCACCCCAUUGACCAGAUUCUGGGUGACAUAAGCAAAGGAGUAACUACGCGCUCAAGAUUAGCUAACUUUUGUGAGCAUUACUCGUUUGUCUCUUCUAUUGAGCCUUUCAGGGUAGAAGAGGCCUUGCAGAAUCUGGAUUGGUGUUGGCCAUGCAGGAAGAGCUCAACAACUUCAAGAGAAAUGAAGUUUGGAACCUGGUGCCAUGUCCAAAGCAAAAUGUUGUGGGAACCAAGUGGGUGUUCCACAACAAGCAAGACGAGCACGGGCUGGUGACAAGAAACAAGGCUCGACUUGUGGCAAAAGGUUAUGCCCAAUCGCAGGUUUGGAUUUCGAGGAGACUUUUGCUCCUGUGGCUAGGCUAGAGUCUAUUCGAAUUUUAUUAGCCUAUGUCGCUCUCCACUCUUUCAGGCUAUUUCAAAUGGAUGUGAAGAGCGCUUUUCUCAAUGGGCCAAUAAAGGAGGAGGUAUACGUGGAACAACCCCCUGGCUUUGAGGAUGACAGGUACCCCGACCAUGUGUUCAAGCUCUUUAAGGCGCUAUGGACUUAAGCAAGCCCCAAGAGCAUGGUAUGAAUGCCUUAGAGAUUUCUUAAUUGCUAAUGCCUUCAAGGUUGGGAAAGCUGGUCCCACUCUUUUUACAAAGACUUGUGAUAGUGAUCUUUUUGUGUGCCAAAUUUAUGUCGAUGACAUAAUAUUUGGUUCUACUAAUCAAAAGUCUUGUGAGGAGUUUAGCAGGGUGAUGACACAAAAGUUCGAGAUGUCGAUGAUGGGCGAGUUGACCUAUUUCCUUGGGUUCCAAGUAAAGCAACUCAAGGACGGCACCUUCAUCUCCCAAACGAAGUACACAAAAGAUCUUCUCAAGCGGUUUGGGAUGAAGGACGCCAAGCCCGCGAAGACACCGAUGGGAACCGACGGGCAUGUUGACCUCAACAAAGGAGGUAAAUCUGUUGAUCAAAAGGCAUACCGGUCCAUGAUAGGUUCAUUGCUUUAUUUAUGUGCUAGUAGACCGGACGUUAUGCUAAGUGUAUGCAUGUGUGCUAGAUAUCAAUCCGACCCAAGGAAUGUCACCUUGUGGCCGUUAAGCUAAUUCUUAGAUAUUUAGUUUCUACGCCUUGCUUCGGGAUUUGGUAUCCAAAGGGGUCUACCUUUGACUUGAUUGGAUACUCAGACUCCGAUUAUGCCGGGUGCAAGGUUGAUAGGAAGAGCACAUCAGGGACGUGCCAAUUUUUAGGAAGGUCCCUAGUGUCCUGGAGCUCUAAGAAACAAACAUCUGUUGCCCUAUCCACCGUUGAGGUCGAGUAUGUUGUCGCAGGACAGUGUUGCGCGCAACUACUUUGGAUGAGGCAAACCCUCCGGGACUUUGGCUACAAUCUGAGCAAAGUCCCACUCCUAUGUGACAAUGAGAGUGCAAUCUGCAUGGCGGAUAAUCCUGUUGAACACAGCCGCACUAAGCACAUAGACAUCCGGCAUCACUUCCUGAGAGACCACCAGCAAAAGGGAGAUAUCAAGGUGUACCAUAUUAGCACCGAGAACCAGCUAGCCGAUAUCUUUACCAAGCCGUUGGAUGAGAAAACUUUUUGCAGGUUGCGUAGUGAGCUAAAUGUCUUAGAUUCGCGUAACUUGGAUUGAUCUAUAGCAUACAUAUGUUCUAUGCCUUUGAUCAUGUUACUUUAUGCAUUUAAAUCCAUUCUUGUGGUGCUCAAGUUGUACACGUGAUCCCCGGACCUCACAAGUCCAUUAGCAAGUGAUGCACAUAUUAAGGGGGAGAUGUGCUACAACUUACCUUUUGAGACUAACCUGGUUGUUUGAGUAUACUUGAUAUAGUCUAAAAGGUGCAUUGAAAGGGAAAUGUGGACUUGGACGAUGCAAAGACUUCCACUGCACUCCGGUAUUAGUGUAAUUAAUUCCAAGUUCAUACUUCUGCUCUUAUUGCCUUUUUGCUCUUAAUUGACAUUUUUGGUGAGGCAAUAGGGUUAAACGGCAAAAAAUGAUCCGUUUUUGUGCUUAAUGCCAAAGGGGGAGAAAUUAAGGCCAAAGCAACUGGAUCAGCCAACCACUUGAGAAAUUUGAAAAUAGUAGAGUUAGUUUUUGAUUUGUCCAAAAUACUCUUAUUGCAAAAUUAGGUCUCUUGUGGGGGAGAAUUUUGAUUAUGGGAAAAGGAGGAGUUUUUGGCACUUGAUCAAUUUUACUCUUGGAAUAACUCUAUAUGUGCCCAAAAUAAGUGUGUUUGACUUAGAGAUAGAAAAAAGAAUUUGAUUUGCAAAAACAAACCAAGUGGUGGCAAAGAGUGAUCCAAAUAUGCCAAAUCAUAAGCAAAAACAAUUUGGUCUUCAAUUUGAAUCGAUAUUGCACUUCUUUUGUUGCUUUUUGAUGUGUUGGCAUAAAUCACCAAAAGGGGGAGAUUGAAAGGGAAAUGUGCCCUUGGGCAAUUUCUAUAAGUAUUUUGGUGAUUAUAUGCCCAACACAUUAUUUGAGUACUAAUAUGCUAAAUGUGUGAAAGUUGCAAAUCAAAGUAAAAGAUAUGUUUCUAGACUUAGUACAUUGUUUUUUGUGAACUAACAUUGUUUGUCUAAGUGCUAGAAACAGUGCCAAAAAGAGAGGAAUCGGAUUGCAAAAGACUUGGCUGUGAGCAGCAAAACUUCAGCUCGGACUGGCACACCGGAUUGUUCGGUGGUGCACCGGACAGUGUCCGGUGCGCCAGGCUGGUCUCUGGUGAAAGUGUUGCUCUCGGGAAUCGAUGACGGUGUAUGACUAUAAUUCACCGGACUAUUCUGUGGUGCACCGGACUGUCCGGUGAGUCAUCCGCGGUGAACUCGUCGCUCUCGGGAAACGAAAAAGGAGACGUGGCUAUAAUUCACCGGACUGUCCGGUGGUGCACCGUACUGUCCGGUGAGCCAACGGCCGGCCGCGAAAUCUGCGGGCGCCGUGUGGCAGCUCCAACGGUCGGCGGGGGGCACCAGACAGUGUCCGGUGCACCAACGGGCCCGGAGCUGCAACGGUCGUCUGUGCCUGAUUUGGAAGGAAAUCGCGCACCGGACAGGCUACAGUGGUUGUCCGGUGGCACACCGGACUGUCCGGUGCGCCACUCGACAGAAGGCAAGGAUGGCCUUCCAAUUUUGCAUACAACGGCUCCUAGCUGUCUUGGGGCUAUAAAAGGGACCCCUAGGCACAUGGAGGAGUUACCUAAGCAUUCUAAGGCUCCCACACUCUGCCUCCGCAUUUGAUCGAUUGUGUUAGUGAUUUGAGCUCCGUUCGAGUUGUGAACUCUCUGUGCUACGUUUUGAGCUCACGUCUUGGCUUGUGUGAGUGUGUGUGCUACGGAUUUGUGUGUUGUGUGUGUUGCUCUCCUAGCCUUACUCUUGUGUCGUCUUUGUGAUCUUUAUUGUAAGGACGAGAGGCUCCAACUUGUGUAGAUUCCUCGCAAACGGGAGAAAGACUAUAAGGAAGAAAGCCGUGGUAUUCAAGUUGAUCAUCGGAUCACUUAAAAGGGGUUGAGUGCAACCCUCGUCCAUUGGGACGCCACAACGUGGAAGUAGGCAAGUGUUACUUGGCCGAACCACGGAUAAAAUUGUGUGUCUCUUGUGAUUGCUCUCUUUGUGAUUGUUUUGUCCACAAGAACUCGCCUCAAAACUACUUAGUCGCACCAACACCUCUAUAACUAAGUUUUGUGGCUAUUUAGUGUUUAAUUUUACAGGAUCACCUAUUCACCCCCCUCUAGGUGCUCUCAAAAGACCGGGUCUCUUUCAACCCUUUCCCUCUCUCAAACGGUCACUUAGACCGAGUGAGAUUUCUCCUUAAUCAAACGGGGCACUUAGACCCCGCAAGGACCACCACACACUUAGAUGUCUCUUGCUUUGAUUACAAGUCACUUGGGAACAAGAAUGAGGAAGGAAGAAAGCAAUCCAAGCAACAAGAGUGCAAGAACACGAACAAACACUCUCUCAAGUCACUAGGUGGUUGUAAUGAGUUUGGGACUUGGAGAGGCUUUGAUCUUUUGAUUUGUGUCUAUGAGUGAAUGCACAAGCUCUUGUAUUGAAUGAAAACUUUAGAAGACUUGGAUGCUUGGAGUUGCGGUGGUUGGGGGGUAUUUAUAGCCCUCAACGACCAACAAGCCGUUUGGGAAGGCUGGUGUCGAUGGGCGCACCGGACAGUUCGGUGCGCCACCGGACAGUUCGGUGCGCCACCGGACAGUUCGGUGCGCCACCGGACACUGUCCUGUGCGCCGCCACGUCACCCAACCGUUAGGGUUCGGGAGCUGUUGAGCGUUGGCGCUGUUGUCUUCUUGUGGCACCGGACAGUCUAGUGCCACACCGGAUAGGUCCUGUUCACUGUCUGGUGCGCCUCUGACUCUGCGCUCUAACUCUGUCGCGCAUUGUUCUUCACUGUAGCGUUGUCAGCGCUCUUUUUGCAGUCGACCGUUGCGUUGGAUAGCCGUUGCUCCGCUGGUGCACCGUACAGUCCGGUGACACACCGGACAGUCCGAUGAAUUAUAGCGGAGGUCGCCUGGAGAAACCCGAGAGUGGCUGGUUUGAGUUUUACGGUCCUGGUGCACCGGACACUGUGCGGUGGCACACCGGACUGUCCGGUGCGCUGUUCUUUGGCACACUCUGGUUUCUUUGCUCCUUUGAAUUUGGAUCCCUAACUUGAAUAUUUAUUGGUUUGUGUUGAACCUUUAUGCACCUGUAGAACAUAUAUUCUAGAGCAAACUAGUUAGUCCAUAUAUUUGUGUUGGGCAUUCAACCACCAAAAUUACUUGUGGAAAAGGUUAACCCUAUUUCCCUUUCAAUCUCCCCCUUUUUGGUGAUUGAUGCCAACACAAACCAAAGCAAAUAUAUAAAGUGCAGAAAUGAACUAGUUUGCAUAAGGUUAGUGCAUAGGUUACUUAGAGUUAAACCAAUUUGAUAAUUUCACUAGAUAUAAAUGGAUUGCUUUCUUUUAUUUUACAUUUUGGACCACGUUUGCACCACUUGUUUUAUUUUUGUAAAAUCUUUUCAAAAUCUUUUUGCAAAUAGUCAAAGGCAUAUAAAUAAGAUUGCCAGAAGCAUUUUCAAGAUUUAAAAUUUCUUCCCCUAUUUCAAAUGCUUUUCCUUUGACUUAGCAAAACUCCCCCUGAAUGAGAUUCUCCUCUUAGUUUUCAAGAGGGUUUUAAUAGAUACUAAUUUUGAAAAUCUUCCUUUAAAUAUAUCAAUUAUAUAACAAUUUAGAAAAAAAUUGAAACACAAUUAAAAUUAGGUGGUGGUGCGGUCCUUUUGCUUUGGGCUUAAUACUUUCUCCCCCUUUGGCAUUAAUCGCCAAAAACGGAGACUUUGAGAGCCCUUUUUAUAUUUUCUCCCCAGUGGUACAAGUAGAUAUGAGUGAAGGAUUAUACCAAUUGAGAGUGUUGUGGAGUGACGACGAAGGAUAAAUGAUACCGUUAGAGUGGAGUGGAAGCCUUGUCUUCGUCGAAUACUCCAUUUCCCUUUCAAUCCACGACUUAGUAUAGAAAUAUACUUGGAAACACAUUAGUCGUAGCCUUGGUACAUAAGAAAUAUGCAUUUGUACCAAAUGAAAGAGACAUGAUCAAAUAUAUAUAAAUGAGCUAUGUGUGCAAUGUUUCAGUAAAAUUCUGAGAAUCAAGAAUAUUUAGUUCAUUCCUAAGUUUGGUAAAGGUUUUCUCAUCUAAAGGCUUGGUAAAGAUAUCGGCUAAUUGUUCUUUGGUGCUAACAUAAGCAAUUUCGAUAUCCCCCUUUGUUGGUGAUCUCUCAAAAAGUGAUACCGAAUGUCUAUGUGCUUAGUGCGGCUGUGUUCAACGGGAUUAUCCGCCAUGCGGAUUGCACUCUCAUUGUCACAUAGGAGAGGACUUUGCUCAAUUUGUAGCUAUAGUCCCUGAGGGUUUGCCUCAUCCAAAGUAAUUGCGCACAGCAAUGGCCUGCAACAAUGUACUUGGCUUCGGCCAUGGAAAGAGCUACUGAAUUUUGUUUCUUUGAAGCCCAAGACACCAGAGAUCUCCCUAGAAACUGACAAGUCCCUGAUAUGCUCUUCCUAUCAAUUUUACACCCUGCCCAAUCGGCAUCAGAAUAUCCUAUUAAAUCAAAAGUAGAUCCCUUGGGGUACCAAAGUCCAAACUUAGGAGUGUAAACUAAAUAUCUCAUGAUUCUUUUCACGGCCCUAAGGUGAACUUCCUUAGGAUCGGCUUGGAACCUUGCACACAUGCAUACGGAAAGCAUAAUAUCCGGUCGAGAUGCACAUAAAUAGAGUAAAGAUCCUAUCAUCGAUCGGUAUACCUUUUGAUCUACGGAUUUACUUCCCGUGUCGAGGUCGAGAUGCCCAUUGGUUCCCAUGGGUGUCUUGAUGGGUUUGCCAUCCUUCAUCCCAAACUUCUUAAGUAUGUCUUGAAUGUAUUUUGUUUGGCUGAUGAAGGUGCCCUGUUGGAGUUGCUUGAUUUGAAAUCCUAGGAAAUACUUCAACUCCCCAUCAUCGACAUCUUAAAUUUCUGAAUCAUGAUCCUACUAAACUCUUCACAAGUAGAUUUGUUAGUAGACCCAAAUAUGAUAUCAUCAACAUAAAUUUGGCAUACAAACAAAUCUUUGCAAUAGUUUUAGUAAAGAGUGUAGGAUCGGCUUUUCCGACUUUGAAGCCAUUAGUGAUAAGGAAAUCUCACAGGCAUUCAUACCAUGCUCUUGGGGCUUGCUUGAGCUCAUAAAGCGCCUUUGAGAGUUUAUACACAUGGUUAGGUGUAGCAUCCCAAAAAUUCAAAUCUUGGAAUUUUCUCAAACUCGCUCUAAAUUCAAAAUGAAUUUCAAAUUUCAUUUCAAAAUGUUUGUUUGCGAGUUGAUAUCAGCAAAUAAAAUAUAGUGGUCUAUAUUCUCUCCAAAAUCCUCCUCAAAUAUCCUACAAAUGUUUCUCCAGUGAUCCCCCUCAAAUUCUUUCCAGAAAUACUGCCAGAUAUUUCCCGAGUAAUCCCCUUCAAGUUCUUUCCAGAAAUAUUGCCCAAAUAUUCCACCAAUAUAUCUCCAAGUAUUUUCCUCUUGAGAAAUACCUUCAAAAUCAUUUUCAAGUCCCUACAAAUAUUUUCUUCAUAACUUUCCUCAUGCUCAUACGUAUACGUAUGCCUCCAGUGUCAUACGGUGAGCUCUACAAGCUAAUUACACUCAUAUAAGACAAAUCCAUGCUAAUCUCCCACUAAUCCUCUCAUCCUCCCACUAAUCCUCUCAUCCCUCCCCCUAAUCUCCCACCAUGGCUAUAAAUAGAGGGGCAAGGGCCUCCUCUCAUCCCACCCCAAGCCAUUUCAUGGAAACUCUCUUCCCCCCCACACACACCCACUCCAUGUUCCACACAAGCACACACUAGCACAAGGAUCGUUCGAUCGUUCUUCGAUCGUUCGUCCCCCUGUUCUUAGUUUGUUCGUUCGUUCGUCCGAUCGCUCGAUUGUUCGUUCGUCCGUUCGUCCGAUCGUUCGAUCGUUCAUCCGUUUGUUCGUCCAAAUAAUCUUUUUCCUGCCGUUAUGCUGCCGAAAUUCCGAUCGUUCGUUCGUUCGAUCAUUCGAUCGUUCAUCGUUCGUUCAUAGUUCCUAUUCAUCGUUCACCGUUCGUUCAUAGUCCCUAUUCAUCGUUCUUCUAGAUAAUCUUUGUCCUGCCGUUAUGCUGCCGAAAUUCCGAUCGUUCGUUCGUCCGAUCAUUCGAUCAUUCGUCCGUUCGUUCGUCUAAAUAAUCUUUUUCCUGCCGUUAUGCUGCCGAAAUUCCGAUCGUUCGUUCGUUCGAUCAUUCGAUCGUUCAUAGUUCCUAUUCAUCGUUCAUCGUUCGUUCAUACGAACUAUUUACCAUCACUAUUCACCAUUACUAUUCAUCGUUACUAUUCACCAUUAGUAUUUAUUAUCGUUACAAUUCAUCGAUGAUAUCUAUAAUAACUUUUCGUCGUCGCUAUUCAUCGUUACUAUUCAUCGAUCAUCCGAUCGCCCCAAAUUUCAACUACUCAUCCAUCAUGCUGUCCAGUCCACCUAAGACCAGCCAGACCCAUAUUCCAGUCAUACGAACUCCGGUGACUGUGAUUUUCCUUCCAGUAGGGAACUUCCCAUCUGGUCACUCAUCCCAGGUUUCUCCAAGUUGAGCACGCUUAACUUUGAGAUUCCUUCGAACUAGGCUUCCAAACUUAGAUUCCAAUAAUUCUUUUUCUAAAUUCUUAUCGAAUUAUUCCCUAUCCAACCAUGUCAUCCCUUAAGCAUGGUUCAUAUUCCAGAAAACUUCCAAAAUACUCUUGUCCCAUAUUCUGCCUAUAACUCUCCUGUUCAUACUAAGUCAGACGAUUCAUUCGUCACUAUUCUCACCAACAGUGAACUUCACUGUGCUACACCACAUACACCCAGCUAUAAAUACACCCAGCUACCCUCUCCCUCUCCACACACGCUCAACACCCUCAGCCAAGGAAAACACCCCACCCACUCAGUUACUCCGCUCUACCGGCUACACGCAUAGUGUCGCUUCGCCUCCAGUCCACCCUCCUGGUAAGCACCUCCGCUCCACCACCAGUAAUAUCACAACACCACAUGACACAGAUUCUACUCAAGACUCUACACAUCCAUAUAUCGCUAUUCUAACCGCUAUACUAAAUAUUUGUUGGUAUACUUGCUGGUUUGUAUGUUUGCUUGCUCAUGUUGCAUAGUGUUGGUGACUUGUUCUCAAAUGCUAAGAGUUAAGAACAAGGAAACAUAAAAAGUGUUAAAUGUUAAAAUCCUUCAUCUUUCAAGACAUUAUAUCCCUUCGGAUAUAAUGAAUUCCGGACGAAGCUUAUGAAGGAAGGGACCUUCGUAAGUUUCAUAGAUGACAAAGAGGAAUGCACAUAUAAAAUACGAAUAAUAAUACAGAUAUUAUCAUCAAUUUAUUUUUAUUUGCAUUAUCAUAUUUAUAAUAACAAAUUAUAAAUGUACCUUCGGUUUGAUGGAAAGUAAAGGUACAGCGUGAUGCGAAAAGCGAAUGCCAAGUCAGCGUGAACAGUACGGGAGUACUGUUCAUCUAUUUAUAGGCACGGGACGCAGCCCGUGUAGAAUUACAUUAAUGCCCUUUACAUUUAUCAAUAACUCUAUAGUAAUUCUUCGAGGUCUAAUUUGGCUUUUCAUCUUUAAUUCGGUUCCCCUUUUCUGCUGUCAUGCCAAAGCUUUUCUGCGUAGCUUCGUGAUCAUCUUAUCCUUCGUCAUGAGCGCCCUUCGUCCCAUUCAAGCUUCGUCUUGACCAUACUCUUGUAUACCCGUAACCUGAUUCCGAAGAUACCUGUUCACAUAUCUCACUUGGAAAACAUUGUCAAAUCAUGUUUUUGAGGACCUUCGGAAGCCGAAGGCCCCCAACAGUAGCCCCUCGCAAUAUUAAUUUGCUAGAAUGAUAAAUUCAUAUUGCGACAUGGACGAAGGCUUUAAGCCGAAGGUCCGAAAAAACACCUUCCCUUUGCUAGAAUAGCAACAAUCAUUGACAAGCGGGACCCCCUAGUUUUCAACGCACUAGGCAUAUAAAUAAGAGCUCACCACGAGUUUAUUUGGCACGCUUUCUUGUCAUCUGCUCUUGCUCACUCAACUUUUAGCCUGUGCGCAACAACACUUGCUUGGCUUUUUAAAUUUGUAAGCUUCAGUUUCGAGAGCACGUUCUCAGCGUUUGUGAAGAUGUCUGAGGAUAAGAAAGUUGUUGGUGAUUCGAAGCUGAGCCUUUCUGAGGAGAUGCAUCUGGGCUUUCUUCAAUCGAUGUCAAAGACCAAUACAGAGAAGAUUACUAGGGAGAUUUUGGAGGGUUUAUCUGAAGAUACUGGUGACAGUGACAGUUAUGAUGUGGAUAGUGGUGGUGAAGACUCCGAAGAUCGACCUUGGCGACCAAGCCAUGCGGUUUUUGGUAAAUCGAGUAUUAAAGAAAGUCAUCUUGUCAAUAUGAGGGGCAGGUAUUUUCGGGACUUGUCUGUUGUGAGGGCUGACGAGGGAGAGAAGACUUGUCCGACUCCCGAGGAGAAUGAAGUCGUGAUAUUCUGAAGCUUCUUAAAGGCUGGACUACGAUUUCCCUUGAGCAGUUUUGUUGUGGAAAUACUGAAGAUAUUUGAAAUCUACCUUCAUCAACUUACUCCCGAAGCAAUCAUGAGGAUGGGCAUCUUUGUGUGGGCCGUGAGGAGCCAAGGUUUAGAACCUAAUGCAAAAAGUUUCUGCAACAUACAUGAGCUAUUGUAUGAGACAAAACCCUAGGGUAAAGAGCAGUAUCACAACAAUUUUGGCUGCUGCAGCUUCAACGCCCGGUCUGGGUCAAGCUGCCCCGUGCCAACCUUUCGGAAGAGGUGGCCCGGCGACUAGAUGACGAAAUGGUUUUAUGUGAAGAAUGACUUGAAAACACGGGAAGAUAUUAAAGAUAUCAUUAUGCGCCCUAUCUGGCAACGCUUCGGCCUCCGGAGGCCGAAGGUGGAAAUGAAUGAAGCAGCCGAAGAAUGACAGAGAGCCUUCGGCGUGGUUUGCUCUUUUAUUGGGGCAAGGGAUUUGGUUCAAGAACACAUUGCCUUCAGAAUAUGGCCACUUGUAGAACAGUGGGGAAUGCCGAAGGAGACCGUUAAAGAAACUGAUGAAGGUGGGUUGGUUAGGCUAAAAUACACAUUCCAAUAUGGAGAUAAAUUCGUCGAGCCAGAUGAUGACUGGCUAAAAGGUAUUGAGACCGUAAGUGAUGAAUUGCUUGGAGUGUACUCAAAGGUCGAAGAUACUGCAUUAUCAGCGGCCUUCGGAGGCCGAAAGAAGAAGAGACUCAACCGAGUAUUUGAUGCAAUUGGAUUUGUCUACCCCGACUACCACUAUCCAACGCGGGGUCAAAAAAGAAAGAAUACGUCUUCUGCGAAGGAAACUGCUUCAGCUGCUCCUAGCGAGCCAGCGCCGAAGAGGAAAAGGGUAAAGGUUCUCACACACCGGCCACAUUAUAUUGAACCGGCCACAGUGCCUGAGUUCGCCGGUGAGACCUCUUCGGCCACCGAAGCUAAAGAGCCAACCCCCCUGCCAAAUAUUGAAGGGCUGGCCGAAGUGCCAGCGACGAAAAAAUAGAAGAAUCGAGGGCUGAAGAAACAAAGACAUCAGAAGUUUUAAGUCCUUCAACAAAAAUUGAGGCAGCAAAAAGCCAAAAGGGUCCAGCAGUGACCCCCAAAAGAAAAAGGAUGGUUAACGUGCUGGAUGUUUUGGAGACAAUUAAGUCUUCAAGCACGACUCCGAAGAAAAUUGUUGAAACUUCCGAAGUGCACAUUGAAGCCUUUGUUGCUGAAGCUUCAAAGAACCAAGCAGAAACUAAAGCUGGGCCUUCCGAGCCCGCCAAGGUGAAAUCCUUGGAAGCCGAAGAAACAGAAACAACAGAACAAAUUCUGACUGAAGAAACUGGUACUGCUGCCCCCGAAGCAUCUUCCGCAGUACUUGAUUAUAUUGUACGACAUGCUUCGGGAAAAAGAUUAUCUGAAGAAGAGGUUUUUGAAGCUAAUCACUAUGCCCGAGAACUAAAGUAUCCAAAAGGGGCCUUAGUAUUCAAUGGCACAGACGAAGAUGACUUCUUAUACUGCCUCCCAAACAACAAAGAAUUAUCUGUCUGCCGGGAGAUGACUAGAAGUAUGGGGUUCCCGAAGCUUGAAGCUGGCCUCUGCGCUAUGACAAAGAACGAUCUUGCAGAUAGCCUCGCAUAUAAUAGUCUGAAGGUAUGAAAAUUGUAUAUUUGGAAGUUUAUAAUUUUUGAAUUAUUAUUUUAUUUUUAUACUAAUUCUUUUCAUAUAGGGUUUAAUACUUAGCAACGCUUUGAGAGCGCAAAAGAAUGCUGAAGACGAGAGCUAUAAUAUUGCUUUCAACAACCUACGAACAGAGGUUAUUAAGCUGAGGAACGAAGCUUUGGAAAAAGAUAAAAUUCUGCUUACAUUGGUGGAUAAGAUAAAAGAAGACGAAGCUACUUCUAAAGCUCAAGCCGAGGCUCAGAAGCGCGAAAUUGAGGAUCUUCGGAAACAGUUAGCCAGAGCUAAAGAAGAACACAUACUUGAAGAGACGAAGCGAGAACUUAGUGACCAGUGGGCAAAUCAUUUAGAAAGAAACGUUGAAGAGCUUCGUGCAUCCAAGAAAAGGUGCUAUAACAAAUCUAUAGAAUGCGCUAAGAAAAUAAAAACCAGCUUCGCCAGUGUUGGCGCAUUCUCGAGUGAAGAAAACUUCACAAGGGGUGACCCCGAAGGCCCAAUUGAAUGGAUCAGUCACGAAGCUGAGGCCUUUGAGGAAAUCUUGAAUAGCCACGGAGACAUAUGUGCCUUUUCGGGUGCCAGGGGGAUUGCUACUAUUUUGGAGAGGAAAGGCUGUGAGCAUGUGAAAUCUUUGGCACAAUCCGAAACUGCCUUAUCCUCCGAAGAUAUAAAAGGUCCCUCGGCCGAAGCAAGCCUGGUCGGUGGAAAAUUUUUCACCGACAUCUGGGACAAUGGUGGCCGAGAAAUGGCCCAAGAAAUUAUUCAAAAAAGCAAAAAAGGCAUUCAUGAUGCUAGAAAAGUAGCAGAGGCCGCUGAGAAAAGCGCAGAGCCUGAAGGGCAAAUAGGUAUUAAUUAGUGGUUUUUGACUCUUCGUUGUAAUUUUUUGAUUUCGAACUUGUUCACGGUUUGUAAUAGUAAUAUAUCUGUAUCUUCUCUUCCCUCAGAACCUGCUGAGCUAUCUCUGGGCCCCCACACGAAGGGGGAUGACGAAAUUAGACAAAUGGUCGAAGCCAUCAUGGAUAAAGUUGUUGAUCAGCUACUAAACGAAGCUGCAGAAGUAGUCCUAAAGGAAGAUUAGAUGAUGUUGUAAAAACAUUUAGAAUGUAAUGUUUGUUUGAGAAUCAUGUGUAAUAUUUUGCAACUUUGGAUGUAAUAUAUUAGCUGUUUAUAGUUCUAUUCUUUACGAUGCAUGAAACAUCAUAUACAUACCGUUUUUGAGCCUUCGGCGAAAAAAUACCUUCCCUUCUUUUCAUGCUUCGUAAAUAAUAUCCGUGUUCUCAUAAAAUCAGUAACCAAUCCUCGUAAAAUCAAUAAUCAAUAGAUCUUUCCAUUUCAGAGUUUGACGAAGGUAUAACUCUUCAAUGGCUAUUUUUUGUGCCGUGUCACUAUUUCUUCAAAACAAUCUUCGAAUAUCAAUAUCGAGACCCCUCCUUCUUGCGUUGUUGAUGCACUAUGAUGUAUGAUGUUAUGCUAUGCAAAUGAUGUAAUGAUGUGAUGUUAUGCAAAAUGAUAUUUGCCGAAGGUUGACAUUUAUUUUUCACUGUAAGCCUCCUUUAGGAGCUUCUUCGCCUUUUACUUCAGCGGAAUCAGCGUUUAUUUUUCGUUGUAAGCCUCCCUUAGGAGCUUCUUCGCCUUUUACUUUCAGCGGAAUCAGCGCUUAUUUUUUGCUGUAAGCCUCCCUUAGGAGCUUCUUCACCUUUUACUUUCAGCGGAAUCAGCGUUUAUUUUUCGCUGUAAGCUCUGCAUUCCCUUCGGAACGACUUUUGAGCAGAAAACUUACACUGUGCUCCCUUAGGAACGACUUUUGAGGAGGAAACUUACACUGCGCUCCCUUAGGAACGACUUUUUGCUGCUUCGAAGAAAUUGCACUGCGUUCCUUAGAACAAAUUUUUGAUAAUUCGAAGGUCCUCCGUGCCACCAUGAAUUUUCAUGCUUCGGCAACUCAAGCUUAUGGAGAAGAUAUAUUUUCAUUGUGGUAAAAAGCGAAAUUGUUACAAGAGAUUGAAAAACGAUAAAAAGCACUUAAACUUCCCAUAAUUGUUCCUUAUUAAAAAGAAAGUAAUACUGAAUGCAAAAAUACGAAAGGCUGCUGUCGUGGUAGGAUAUUUGUCAGUAAAUGUGCUUCGACUCUGGCACAGUGCUAUUGACUGUGCGAGCUUCGGACUCCUCUCUGAAGUCCCGCUGGAGGUGAGUGUGCUGACUCCCUUCUGGUUGCUGACCUCGUUGUGUUGGUGGUGGCGGUGGAGGCUGUUGCCAAGAUGCUUGGGGUUGGCUUGCCGAAGCAACAGAAGCUGCAGGGUGAUUGCCUACAUAUUCUGGAAUGUAAGGCGAAUGGUACGAAGCAGUAUGCAUGACCUGCUUCGGCUGACUCUGUUGUGCUGCAGCUUCUGCUAUCUCCUUUUGCUUUUGGAUGGUAACAUGGCACAUCCUGGUGGUAUGGCCUUUGUCUUCACCACAGAAUAGGCAGUAAAUUUUUCUUGGCUGAUCCCCAAAUCUUCCCCCGAAGCCCCUGGCGCCUCUGCCCCUUGGCGCUGGCGGCCGGGAAGAGCUUUGCUGCUGCCCCGAAGCUUGCGAGGAGUACUGUGGCCUUUGCUGUUGACUCCCUCUAUCAUCACUUUGAGCAGAAUUGUGAAUUGACCUGACGUGUCUCGGAUGGAAUCUUCCUCCGAAGCCCCUAGUCAUUUCAGAGAACCUGAAUGCUUCCUCCCUUCUUUGGCGAAAGUCAUUGUCAGCUCGAAUAUACUCGUCCAUCUUCUGGAGCAGCUUCUCCAAAGUUUGAGGAGGCUUCCUGGCAAAGUAUUGAGCUGAAGGUCCCGGCCGAAGUCCCUUAAUCAUGGCCUCAAUGACAAUUUCAUUGGGCACUGUUGGUUCGGGUCUAAAUGACCGUCGUACAUGGGGAGCUGGGGUGGCUUGUAAGACUGGGGCCAUGGUGUAGCCUGCAGUUCUGUUGACAGAGGAGAAGCAUCAUCAAAAGCAAAAUUUCCAUGAUGGAAAUCUUCAUGCCAGUCAUCCUCUUUGUAGAAGCCCUCCUGAUGAAGCUCUCUGCGUGGAGGCCUUCGGUUCUGGUCAUCUUGAGCAAGAUGACGAACUUCUUCCGAAGCUUCAUCUAUCUGCCUCUGUAGGUCAUAUAGACGAGCCAUCUUUUCCUUUUUUUCGUUGAACCUGUUGAUGGAGCAUCUCCAAGUUUUGGAUUUCUUGAUCCAAGUCGUCCUCCGGAGGCGUUGGACUUGUGGCCUUCCUCUUCUGGCUUCGGGCCUCCCUAAGAGAAAGGACAUCCUGAUUGGGGUCCAGCGGCUGCAGAGUGGCAGCCCCUGUUGCUGGAGCUUUCUUUGGUGGCAUGACGAAGGUGAUGCUUGCCAAAGGUGUUCAAAACUCAAAAAAUGGAAGUGAGUUCAUCGGAGGUGGGCGCCAAUGUUGGUGACUUGUUCUCAAAUGCUAAGAGUUAAGAACAAGGCAACAUAAAAAGUGUUAAAUGUUAAAAUCCUUUGUCUUUCAAGACAUUAUAUCCCUUCGGAUAUAAUGAAUUCCGGACGAAGAUUAUGAAGGAAGGGACCUUCGUAAGUUUCAUAGAUGACAAAGAGGAAUGCACAUAUAAAAUACGAAUAAUAAUACAGAUAUUAUCAUCAAUUUAUUUUUAUUUGCAUUAUCAUAUUUAUAAUAACAAAUUAUAAAUGUACCUUCGGUUUGAUGGAAAGUAAAGGUACAGGCAUGAUGAGAAAAGCGAAUGCCAAGUCAGCGUGAACAGUACGGGAGUACUGUUCAUCUAUUUAUAGGCACGGGACGCAGCCCGUGUAGAAUUACAUUAAUGCCCUUUACAUUUAUCAAUAACUCUAUAGUAAUUCUUCGAGGUCUAAUUUGGCUUUUCAUCUUUAAGUCGGUUCCCCUUUUCUGCUGUCAUGCCGAAGCUUUUCUACGCAUAGCUUCGUGAUCAUCUUAUCCUUCGUCAUGAGCGCCCUUCGUCCCAUUCAAGCUUCGUCUUGACCAUACUAUUGUAUACCCGCAACCUGAUUCCGAAGAUACCUGUUGACAUAUCUCACUUGGAAAACAUUGUCAAAUCAUGUUUUUGAGGACCUUCGGAAGCCGAAGGCCCCCAACACAUAGUUAUCGGAGCGUUCGUGUCGUCUCGUGGAGGCCAGAUCUGCAAGUCUACGCCAGGCGAUGGAGCCAGAAGCCAGUUCCGCGAGCUCUCCUUCCCCCUUCACCGGAUAAGCACGGCAAGCUCACUGGAUCCCUUUGAUGCAUAAAUUACCUAUGAUUUUUCAACCACAACCCUUAGCCUGUUAUUUUAUGCAUGAUAUGAUUUUGAGACAAGUUAUUAUGGCCACCCAAGCCGCUUGCCACAAUCAAUCCUUAAUAUAUUUGUUACAAAUGAUUUGAGAAAAGGUGUGAGUUUUUCAAAAGAAAAUGCUUUUCAAAAUGUGUAUGAUGAAGGGUUUUCACCCUUAUCACCUUUGAGUAGGGAUGAUCAGGGACUCCCUGGUUUAGGGGAGGGCCUAAGGUGAUGGCUCAGCUGGUUUAGGCGUGAGCAGAAGGAUUGUCCCCUCAUAUAAGGACCGGUUUGUCAUCCUUCACUACAUGUACUCAUGAUAAGUACAACCACUCGAGACUGUGGGCAGUCACUCAAUCUGAACUCGUACGGUCCAACCCCAGGGUUAUGAAGGCUGGGGAGCACCGAGAGGAUAAGGAGGGGGAAUGUUUUGUCCAGUUUGGACAUGGCGGUGGCCUGACUCCUUCCGGUAUAACCGUUAAGGUUAGGACGUGCGAGGAAGGAAAGGGAUUCGGAUUUGGAUCUCAUUGAUCAUGAGAUCGCAGAGCCGGACUAGUGGGUAAAGUGUACACCUCUGCGCAGAGUUUGAAAACCUAUUCGAAUAGUCUGUGUCCACAGGAUUGGAAGAGUCUGGUGUGGUAUGGCAAUUAGUGUUUUGUUUUUUUUAAAAAAUAGGUGCUUUUGAGAAAAGUGGUUUUUAAAAGGUCCGGCGGUUGAGCCGUGAGCUAUGGUGGACGGGAAGUCCAGUAGCUGUUUUUGAAAAUGAAAACCAGUGGGAAACUACUGAGAUACCUGGAUGGUUUAGUCCAGGGGAUUUUGUUCUAAUAUUGAAAAACUUCCUGCUCCCUUGGGAGAGGAUGCGCUUUGCAAAAUACAAAAUGUUUUACAAAACAACCCUGCAUAAAAUAUUGUUGUUUCUGCAAAAUAUCCUGAGCUCCACAUAUUCCAUGCAUUAUAUAUGAUUUCCCCAUUCCGUGGGUGAAGGUGGGCUGCUGAGUACAUUUGUACUCACCCUUGCUUAUUUGUUGUUUUUUAGAAAAAGGAGAUCGGGUAAGAGCUACGACUGUUCCCAACCUUGCCUGUGGCUGUUGGACCGCUGAUUUGCUUCGCUGCGUAUAUCGGGCUGCUUCAGCCCCACUCUGAUGAUAUGUCCCGAGUUGUGGACCAACUCUUAAAGUUGUUCGCCACCUUUAUAGGUUUGUCUCGUUUAAGCAGAUAUGGAAUCAUCUGAUGUAUAAAUGUGUUUACUAGCCUCCUGGGACUAGUAAUUGUAUCACAUUUGAGUCCCAGAGGAUUGGAGACGCUUCAGGUGGUAUCAGAGCUGUUAGGUUGGCUGUAGGACGUAACCCUUAGCCUGAUCCAAAAGUUUUUGAGUCAAAAAUAUUUUCUUAAAAAAAAUUCUUGCUCUCAUCCCUUCAUUUCAAAAAUUAUUUCCCCCUUUCCUUCUCUCAGAAGUCAAAUGGAGGUCCAUUGCCAAACCAGCUUUUGCCAGAAUGAAGAUGGUUUCCCCAAGUUGCUGAGAGCAUGCACAUUUCGCCUCGGAAUCAGAAGCCAGCCAGAGUAUGAUGGUCGUGAAUUCGUCGAGCAUGGCACAGAGAGGUGUGUCGUGACUAUAUACAUUGGAUCCAGUCUGCACCAUGUGGAAUGGAGUGUCACUGCUGCUGGGCACAGAUUCAAAGACACCUGCCAAGUCGUCGCCUGCAAGGCAUUGAGGGUCCUGUGUCAGAUCUAUGAAGAAGAAGUGGCUGACACCCCGCUUAGAUUCUUUCCGCCCUUUCAGAGAAACCGUCCAGUUUGGAUGGCCAGGAUGCAUGCAUUGGAAGGGCAGCAUCUGCUUGAGGACGACCUCACAGUCGUGUACCUCACUGCAUAUCUGCUCACCCUGGAUGCACAGUAUGAUUUCUUGGCUCGGCACCACCGUCAGAUGAUUGCCCGAGCAGAAGAUGCAGAGAAGCGCAACCGUAAGCUCCAUGUGGAUCUCACUACAGCUCAAGCUCGUGCAACUGCCUUGGAAAGUCGUGAAGUCAUUGCUGUUGAACCUCUGAAGCAAGCCAAGGAUGAGCACGUCCAGAAGUUGAUGGAGGCCUACUUGGUCACCCAUAACCAACGUAGAGCCCUGCGGAUCCAAGAGCCCGCUCCAUCCAACCCAGUUCAACACAUGAGAGUUGAAGAUCCCUAGAUUCUUGAAGGUCACCCGGUCUCUAUCAGAGGAGAUAAGAAGUCUUGGGAACUCCCAGAAGGAGCCAUAGUCUUGGAAGGAAUUCCCAUCUUCCCUCAGGCUAUGAAUAAGCAAGAGCACCCCGAGUCCUCCCAAGAUCCCCCGCCAGAGUUGUUUGAGCCCCUCCCAAGGAGAAGAUUCCAGCACCAUCCCUUGAAGUCAAGGAAGAAGCUGCAAGAACCCCGCCAGCACCGCCACCCUCUGAGGAGCUACAAGAGACAGUCCAGCUUGAAGAAGAGUUCGACCCCGUCUUGCCAUCUCAGUUGCCGCUAGAAGAAGUCAUCAACAUCAGCUCCCUGUUGACCCAUCCAGGAGAUGUCUCAGAUUGAAGUUGUGUGCUAGCCUUGCCAGAAGAGAAGAUGCCUGGUCUGAAGUUAGUUAUGCCGAGUCCUCUGCAUGCAUUGGGUAGUGAAGUUUUUCUUCACUUUGGCCAGAGCCCUGCAUGUAUGAGAGGUAAUCGUGUAGACUCGUGUUUUGCAAAACUCUAAUUGUGUGGCCCCCUAGGGCAUUUCAAAAUGAAUUUUGCUUGAUGUUUUCUCCUCUUUUGAGUGCAUAUGUGAUGCUUUAACAUUAGUGCUCAUAAUUCGCGUUUAGCAUAGUUCUCAAUUCAGGAGCUGAGCAAUAGUAGUUAUGCUUAGCCCCCGAAUCCAGGUAGUUCAUGAUUUGGAAAACUCUAUUCUUCCCUUAUUCAAAACAUUUGAUUUGUUUGUGCUUAUCAUUGCUGAGCUUGUGUGUUUUAUUUCUUUUUAAGAAAGGUUUUCUCUAAAAACAUAGAUCACAAAUUAGAUCCAAUCCUCACCUUAUUCUUCCAUUCUCAUCUUAACCCAUCUCAAGAUAAAAGCACUUUACCCAAGAAGAUACCGGGAAGCUUACCCUUGAAGCCUGGAACAAGCUACAGAAGAAACCAGUCCAGCCGCUCAGUCAAAAGGACUGACCGUGAGAAUCAAAGCACUACCCCUGAGUCAAAGUUAACAGAAAAAGAGGUCAAAAAGAGUUAUUACCAUACAUAGAGGCAAAGAUUCUUGAACUAGAGACCACAAACAUCAGGGUCAUUGACCCCACCACUCACCCAUGCCCCCCGCAUACGUGCCCACCUCCAUGUGCACUACCACCACCCCACGCCCCCUUUGUAGCGCACUACCGCCACCCAUGCCCCCUUUUGUAGCGCACCCACCGCCAUCGUUGCCGGCAAUAGGCCCCCUUCCCCUUAUCGCACCUGCUGCCUCGUGUCACCUGCUCCAUCACCACCACUCCGCAACCGAACACCCCCACUCGCCUAUAAAACCCCCACCAGCUCCCUCAGUUCCCAUCCCAAGCAAAGCACACGCCUGAUAAAUCCCCCCUGCCAAAUCACGAGCAAAUCCAUUUUCCACUCCCUCGCCCCUAAGAUCACAAUGCUUGGUGAUUCUUGGGUUGAAGAAUGUUGUACAUGGUUCAUAGUCUUUGGUUUCCUCCAAUGUAUGAUGGUAAUACUCUUUGAUAUAAUCCUCCAGUGGGAAGAGCAAAGAGAAAGAAAGGGUCAGUGAACAGAAGAUAGCGAAGAUAAGAUAAGAAGAAGGUUUUCCCAGAAUCAACCCCGUGUCAGUCAUCUCUCCACAGCCUGCUCAAGCAGCAACAGCAGCAGAAGGCCCCGUAACACCCUUGUUAUGAGGUACUUCAAGGAGUUCAAAUCCCCAAGAUUCAAUAGAUCUACCCUCAUUAUUUUUAAGUGGGGUAGUGUUCUAGUAAGGUUCCUGCUAUGGAGAAAAAGAAGAAGGCCUGUAGCAAGCUUGUGGAGGACCAGAUCAUCGAAGCUUAUAAGUUUCUAGAUGAGAAGUGGUCACCCAAGUUUCGUUGAUGAAGCACCAGAAGACUAAUCAAGGAAGGAAUCCAUGUGGGAGUUCGCAAGAGAAAGGUUUGCGUCUUGGCAUCGAUGCUUCAUCAAUAAGCUAGGUGCCAAGCGAAAGCUAGAAGCCUGAAGAUGAUCUUUGAGUAGCCAGAAUCAGCGUUUGCAAUCGGCAACCAGAUGCUUCUCAAAGGCCAGAUUUUGUGUAAGCUCCGUCUCCUCGAAGAGUCUGCAAAGUGAAGAUAUGUAGCUGAAGUAAAGCUAUACCCAUAACCCUUCUAAGCUGAAUCUCGAGGACGAGAUUCAUUUUAAGUGGGGUAGAUUUGUAGCAUCCCAAAAAUUCAAAUCUUGGAAUUUUCUCAAACUCGCUCUAAAUUCAAAAUGAAUUUCAAAUUUCAUUUCAAAAUGUUUGUUUGCGAGUUGAUAUCAGCAAAUAAAAUAUAGUGGUCUAUAUUCUCUCCAAAAUCCUCCUCAAAUAUCCUACAAAUGUUUCUCCAGUGAUCCCCCUCAAAUUCUUUCCAGAAAUACUGCCCAGAUAUUUCCUGAGUAAUCCCCUUCAAGUUCUUUCCAGAAAUAUUGCCCAAAUAUUCCACCAAUAUAUCUCCAAGUAUUUUCCUCUUGAGAAAUACCUUCAAAAUCAUUUUUCAAGUCCCUACAAAUAUUUUCUUCAUAACUUUCCUCAUGCUCAUACGUAUAUGUAUGCCUCCGGUGUCAUACGGUGAGCUCUACAAGCUAAUUACACUCAUAUAAGAUGUAUAGUCCACUGAUAGUCGCCUAGAGGGGGGGUGAAUAGGGCGAAACUGAAAUUUACAAAUAUAAACACAACUACAAGCCGGGUUAGCGUUAGUAAUAAAGAAACGAGUCCGCGAGAGAGGGUGGAAAACAAAUCGCAAGCAAAUGAAGAGUGUGACACGCGGAUUUGUUUUACCGAGGUUCGGUUCUUGCAAACCUACUCCCCGUUGAGGAGGCCACAAAGGCCGGGUCUCUUUCAACCCUUCCCUCUCUCAAACGGUCCCUCGGACCGAGUGAGCUUCUCUUCUCAAAUCAAAGCCGGGAACAAAACUUCCCGCAAGGGCCACCACACAAUUGGUGCCUCUUGCCUUGAUUACAAUGGAGUGUUGAUCACAAGAGCACGUGAGAAAGAAAAGAAGCAAUCCAAGCGCAAGAGCUCAAAAGAACACGGCAAAUCUCUCUCUCUAAUCACUAAAGCCUUUUGUGGAACUGGAGAGGAUUUGAUCUCUUUGUUGUGUCUAGAAUUGAAUGCCUAGCUCUUGUAAGUAGUUGAGAAGUGGAAAACUUGGAUGCAAUGAAUGGUGGGGUGGUUGGGGUAUUUAUAGCCCCAACCACCAAAAGUGGCCGUUGGGAGGCUGUCUGUUCGAUGGCGCACCGGACAUGUCCGGUGCCCCCGCCACGUCAUCACUGCCGUUGGAUUCUGACCGUUGGAGCUUCUGACUUCUGGGCCCGCCUUGAUGUCCGGUGCACACCGGACAUCUACUGUUCCUUGUCCGGUGCGCCAGUAUGGGCGCGCCUGACAUCUGCGCGCGCAGAGCGCGCAUUAAUUGCGUCGCAGGUAGCCGUUGGCGCCGAAUAGCCGUUGCUCCGGAGUUGCACCGGACAGUCCGGUGCACAUCGGACAUGUCCGGUGAAUUAUAGUGGACUAGCCGUUGGAGAUUCCCGAAGCUGGCGAGUUCCUGAGACUGCUCUUCCUUGGCGCACUGGACACUGUCCGGUGUACACCGGACAGUCCGGUGAAUUAUAGCGCGAGUGCCUCUAGAAAUUCCCGAAGGUGGCGAGUUCAAGUUGGAGUCCUCUGGUGCACCGGACACUGUCCGGUGUACACCGGACAGUCCGGUGCCUCCAGACCAGAGGUGCCUUCGGUUGCCUCUUUGCUCCUUUGUUGAAUCCAAAACUUGAUCUUUUUAUUGGCUGAGUGUGAACCUUUUACACCUGUAUAAUCUAUACACUUGGGCAAACUAGUUAGUCCAAUUAUUUGUGUUGGGCAAUUCAACCACCAAAAUUAAUUAGGGAGUAGGUGUAAGCCUAAUUCCCUUUCAAUCUCCCCCUUUUUGGUGAUUGAUGCCAACACAAACCAAAGCAAGUAUAGAAAUGCAUAAUUGAACUAGUUUGCAUAAUAUAAGUGCAAAGGUUGCUUGGAAUUGAGCCAAUAUAACUACUUACAAGAUAUGCAUGGAUUGUUUCUUACUUAUAACAUUUUGGACCACGCUUGCACCACAUGUUUUCUUUUUGCAAACUCUUUUGUAAAUCCUUUUCAAAGUUCUUUUGCAAAUAGUCAAAGGUAAAUGAAUAAGUAUUUUGAGAAGCAUUUUCAAGAUUUGAAAUUUUCUCCCCCUGUUUCAAAUGCUUUUCCUUUGACUAAACAAAACUCCCCCUAAAUGAGAUCCUCCUCUUAGUGUUCAAGAGGGUUUUGAUAUAUCAUUUGAAAUACUAUUUUCUCCCCCUUUUGAACACAAUAGGAUACCAAUUGAAAAUAUUCAACACUAAGUUUUUGAAAUUGGUGGUGGUGCCGUCCUUUUGCUUUGGGCUCAUAUUUUCUCCCCCUUUGGCAUGAAUCGCCAAAAACGGAAUUAUUAGAGCCCUCGAAGUACUAUCUUCCCCUUUGGUCAUAAAAAAAUGAGUUAAGAUUAUACCAAAGACGAAGUCCUUUUGUUCUCUCCCCCAAAGAUGGAGAGUGACGUGGAGUGAUGGCGAAGGAUGAGUUACGGAGUGGAAGCCUUUGUCUCCGCCGAAGACUCCAAUUCCCUAUCAAUAUACCUAUGACUUGGUUUGAGAUAGACUUGUAAACACAUUUAGUCAUAGCACAUGAAAGAGAUAUGAUCAAAGGUAUAUAAAUGAGCUAUGUGUGCAAUCUAGCAAAAGAAGUUGCAAGAAUCAAGAAUAUUGAGCUCAUGCCUAAGUUUGGUAAAAGUUUGUUCAUCAAGAGGCUUGGUAAAGAUAUCGGCUAAUUGAUCUUUAGUGUUAAUAUAAGAAAUCUCGAUAUCUCCCUUUUGUUGGUGAUCCCUCAAAAAGUGAUACCGAAUGGCUAUGUGCUUAGUGCGGCUAUGCUCGACGGGAUUGUCGGCCAUUUUGAUUGCACUCUCAUUAUCACAUAGCAAGGGGACUUUGGUUAAUUUGUAACCGUAGUCCCGCAGGGUUUGCCUCAUCCAAAGUAAUUGCGCGCAACAGUGACCUGCGGCAAUGUACUCGGCUUCGGCGGUAGAAAGAGCGACCGAAUUUUGCUUCUUAGAAGCCCAAGACACCAAGGAUCUUCCCAAGAACUGGCAAGUCCCCGAUGUGCUCUUCCUAUUGAUUUUGCACCCCGCCCAAUCGGCAUCCGAAUAACCAAUCAAAUCAAAUGUGGAUCCCCGAGGGUACCAAAGCCCAAACUUAGGAGUAUAAGCCAAAUUUCUCAAGAUUCGUUUUACGGCCGUAAGGAGGGAUUCCUUAGGGUCGGAUUGGAAUCUUGCACACAUGCAUACGGAAAGCAUAAUGUCCGGUCGAGAUGCACAUAAGUAGAGUAAAGAACCUAUCAUCGACCGGUAUACCUUUUGAUCUACGGACUUACCUCCCGUGUCGAGGUCGAGAUGCCCAUUAGUUCCCAUGGGUGUCUUGAUGGGCUUGGCAUCCUUCAUCCCAAACUUGUUUAGAAUGUCUUGAGUGUACUUUGUUUGGCUAAUGAAGGUGCCCUCUUGGAGUUGCUUCACUUGAAAUCCCAAGAAGUACUUCAACUCCCCCAUCAUAGACAUCUCGAACUUUUGUGUCAUGAUCCUACUAAACUCUUCACAUGUAGACUCGUUAGUGGACCCAAAUAUAAUAUCAUCAACAUAAAUUUGGCACACAAACAAGUCAUUUUCAAGAGUUUUAGUAAAGAGUGUAGGAUCGGCCUUUCCGACUUUGAAUCCAUUUGCAGUAAGAAAAUCCCUAAGGCAUUCAUACCAUGCUCUUGGGGCUUGCUUGAGCCCAUAAAGCGCCUUAGAGAGCUUAUAGACAUGGUUAGGGUACUCACUGUCUUCAAAGCCGGGAGGUUGCUCAACAUAGACCUCUUCCUUGAUUGGUCCAUUGAGGAAGGCACUUUUCACGUCCAUUUGAUAAAGCUUAAAGCCAUGGUAAGUAGCAUAGGCUAAUAAUAUACGAAUUGACUCAAGCCUAGCUACGGGUGCAUAGGUUUCACCGAAAUCCAAACCUUCGACUUGAGAGUAUCCUUUGGCCACAAGUCGAGCUUUGUUCCUUGUCACCACACCAUGCUCAUCUUGCUUGUUGCGGAAGACCCAUUUGGUUCCUACAACAUUUUGAUUAGGACGUGGAACUAAAUGCCAUACCUCAUUUCUAGUGAAGUUGUUGAGCUCCUCUUGCAUCGCCAUCACCCAAUCCGAAUCUUGGAGUGCUUCCUCUAUCCUGUGUGGCUCAAUAGAGGAAACAAAAGAGUAAUGUUCACAAAAAUGUGCAACACGAGAUCGAGUAGUUACCCCCUUAUGAAUGUCGCCGAGGAUGGUGUCGACGGGGUGAUCUCGUUGGAUUGCUUGGUGGACUCUUGGGUGUGGCGGCCUUUGCUCUUCAUCCUCCUUGUCUUGGUCAUUUGCAUCUCCCCCUUGAUCUAUGCCGUCAUCUUGAGGUGGCUCAUUUGAUUGAUCUUCUUCUUCAUCAACUUGAGCCUCUUCAUCAUUUUGAGUUGGUGGAGAUGCUUGCAUGGAGGAGGACGGUUGAUCUUGUGCUUUUGGAGGCUCUUUGGAUUCCUUAGGACACACAUCCCCAAUGGACAUGUUCCUUAGCACUAUGCACGGAGCCUCUUCAUCACCUAUCUCAUCAAGAUCAACUUGCUCUACUUGAGAGCCGUUAGUUUCAUCAAACACAACGUCACAUGAGACUUCAACUAGUCCAGUGGACUUGUUAAAGACCCUAUAUGCCCUUGUGUUUGAGUCAUAACCAAGUAAAAAGCCUUCUACAGUUUUAGGAGCAAAUUUAGAUUUUCUACCUCUUUUAACAAGAAUAAAGCAUUUGCUACCAAAAACUCUAAAAUAUGAAAUGUUGGGCUUUUUACCGGUUAGGAGUUCAUAUGAUGUCUUUAUGAGGAUUCGAUGUAGAUACAACCGGUUGAUGGCGUAGCAAGCGGUGUUGACUGCCUCCGCCCAAAACCGAUCCAAAGUCUUGUACUCAUCAAGCAUGGUCCUUGCCAUGUCCAAUAGAGUUCGAUUCUUCCUCUCCACUACACCAUUUUGUUGAGGUGUGUAGGGAGAAGAGAACUCAUGCUUGAUGCCCUCCUCCUCAAGGAAGCCUUCGAUUUGAGAGUUCUUGAACUCCGUCCCGUUGUCGCUUCUAAUUUUCUUGAUCCUUAAGCCGAACUCAUUUUGAGCCCGUCUCAAGAAUCCUUUUAAGGUCUCUUGGGUUUGAGAUUUUUCCUGUAAGAAGAAUACCCAAGUGAAGCGAGAAUAAUCAUCCACUAUUACAAGACAAUACUUACUUCCGCUGAUGCUUAUGUAAGCAAUCGGGCCGAAUAGAUCCAUGUGGAGUAGCUCAAGCGGCCUGUCGGUCGUCAUGAUGUUCUUGUGUGGAUGAUGGGCACCAACUUGCUUUCCUGCCUGGCAUGCGCUACAAAUCCUGUCUUUCUCAAAAUGAACAUUUGUUAGUCCUAAAAUGUGUUCUCCCUUUAGAAGCUUAUGAAGAUUCUUCAUCCCAACAUGGGCUAGUCGGCGGUGCCAGAGCCAACCCAUGUUAGUCUUAGCAAUUAAGCAUGUGUCGAGUUCAGCUCUAUCAAAAUCUACUAAGUAUAGCUGACCCUCUAACACACCCUUAAAUGCUAUUGAAUCAUCACUUCUUCUAAAGACAGUGACACCUAUAUCAGUGAAAAGACAGUUGUAGCCCAUUUUGCAUAAUUGAGAUACAGAAAGCAAAUUGUAAUCUAAUGAAUCUACAAGAAAAACAUUGGAAAUAGAAUGGUCAGGAGAUAUAGCUAUUUUACCAAGACCUUUGACCAAACCUUGAUUUCCAUCCCCGAAUGUGAUAGCUCGUUGGGGAUCUUGGUUUUUCUUAUAUGAGGAGAACAUUUUCUUCUCCCCUGUCAUGUGGUUUGUGCAUCCGCUGUCGAUGAUCCAACUUGAGCCCCCGGAUGCAUAAACCUACAAAACAAGUUUAGUUCUUGACUUUAGGUACCCAAAUGGUUUUGGGUCCUUUGGCAUUAGACACAAGAACUUUGGGUACCCAAACACAAGUCUUUGAUCUCUUGUGCUUGCCCCCAACAUACUUGGCAACUACUUUGCCUGAUUUGUUAGUUAAAACAUAAGAUGCAUCAAAAGUCUUAAAUGAAAUGCUAUGUUCAUUUGAUGCAUUAGGAAUUUUCUUCUUAGGCAACUUAGCAUGGGUUGGUUGCCUAGAGCUAGAUGUCUCACUCUUAUAUAUAAAAGCAUGAUUAGAACCAGAGUGAGACUUCCUAGAAUGAAUUUUCCUAAUUUUGUCCUCGGGAUAACCGGCAGGGUAUAAAAUGUAACCCUCGUUAUCCUGAGGCAUGGGAGCCUUGCCCUUAACAAAGUUAGACAAUCUUUUAGGAGGGGCAUUAAGUUUAACAUUGUCUCCCCUUUGGAAGCCAAUGCCAUCCUUGAUGCCAGGGCGUCUCCCAUUAUAAAGCAUGCUACGAGCAAAUUUAAAAUUUUCAUUUUCUAGGUUAUGCUCGGCAAUUUUAGCAUCUAAUUUAGCUAUAUGAUCAUUUUGUUGUUUAAUUAAAGCCAUGUGAUCAUGAAUAGCAUUAAUAUCAACAUCUCUACAUCUAAUACAAAUAGAAGUGUGCUCAAUGGUAGAUGUAGAGGGUUUGCAAGGUUUUAGUUCUACAACCUUAGCAUGCAAUAUUUCAUUUUUACUUCUAAGGUCGGAAAUAGUAGCAUUGCAAACAUCUAAAUCUUUAGCCUUAGCAAGUAAUUUCUCAUUUUCAUUCCUAAGGCUAGCAAGAGAUAUGUUCAAUUAUUCAAUCUUAGCAAGCAAAUCAUUAUUAUCAUUUCUAAGAUUGGGAAUUGAAACAUUACAAACAUGAGAAUCAACCUUAGCUAAUAAAUUAGCAUUUUCAUUUCUAAGGUUGUCUAUUGUCUCAUGGCAAGUGCUUAGCUCACUAGAUAAUUUUUCACAUUUCUCAAUUUCUAGAGCAUAAGCAUUUUUAACCUUAACAUGUUUCUUGUUUUCUUUAAUUAGAAGGUCCUCUUGGGAAUCCAAAAGGUCAUCCUUUUCAUGAAUAGCACUAAUCAAUUCAUUUAAUUUUUCUUUUUGUUCCAUGUUAAGGUUGGCAAAAAGGGUACGUAAAUUAUUUUCCUCAUCACUAGCAUUAUCAUCACUAGAGGAUUCAUAUUUAGUGGAGGAUUUAGAUUUAACCUUCUUUUUGUCGUCCUUUGCCAUGAGGCACUUGUGGCCAACGUUAGGGAAGAGAAGUCCUUUGGUGACGGCGAUGUUGGCGGCGUCCUCGUCGUCGGAGGAGUCGCUAGAGCUUUCGUCGGAGUCCCACUCCCGACAAACAUGGGCAUCGCCGCCCCUCUUCUUGUAGUACCUCUUCUUUUCUCUCCUCUUGCCCUUCUUGUCGUUAUCCCUGUCACUGUCACUUGAUAAUGGACAUUUAGCAAUAAAGUGACCGGGCUUACCACAUUUGUAGCAAACCUUCUUGGAGCGGGACUUGUAGUCUUUCCCUCUCCUUUGCUUGAGGAUUUGGCGGAAGCUCUUGAUGACGAGCGCCAUUUCCUCAUUGUCGAGCUUGGAGGCGUCGAUUGGUUGUCUACUUGGUGUAGACUCCUCCUUCUUUUCCUCCGUCGCCUUGAAUGCGACGGGUUGAGCUUCGGAUGUGGAGGGAUCAUCAAGCUCGUUGAUCUUCCUCGAGCCUUCGAUCAUGCACUCAAAACUUACAAAAUUCCCGAUAACUUCCUCGGGGGUCAUUUUAGUAUAUCUAGGAUUACCACGAAUUAAUUGAACUUGAGUGGGGUUAAGGAAAAUAAGAGAUCUUAGAAUAACCUUAACCACUUCGUGGUCAUCCCACUUUUUGCUCCCGAGGUUGCGCACUUGGUUCACCAAGGUCUUGAGCCGGUUGUACAUGUGUUGUGGCUCCUCCCCUUUGCGAAGCCGGAACCGACCGAGCUCCCCCUCGAUCGUCUCCCGCUUGGUGAUCUUUGUGAGCUCAUCUCCUUCGUGAGCGGUUUUGAGCACAUCCCAAACCUCCUUGGCGCUCUUCAACCCUUGCACUUUGUUAUACUCCUCUCUACUUAGAGAGGCGAGGAGUAUUGUUGUCGCUUGAGAGUUGAAGUGCUCGAUUUGGGCCACCUCAUCCUCAUCAUAGUCUUUAUCCCCUACGGACGGUACCUGUGCACCAAACUCAACGACAUCCCAUAUACUUUUGUGGAGUGAGGUUAGAUGAAAUCGCAUUAAAUCACUCCACCUAGCAUAAUCUUCACCAUCAAAAGUUGGUGGUUUGCCUAAUGGGACGGAAAGCAAAGGUGCAUGUUUAGAAAUGCGAGGGUAGUGUAGGGGGAUCUUACUAAACUUCUUACGCCCUUGGCGUUUAGAAGUUACGGAGGGCGCAUCGGAGCCGGAGGUCGAUGUUGAUGAAGUGUCGGUCUCGUAGUAGACCACUUUCCUCAUCCUUUUUGGCUUGUCCUCACUCCGAUGCGGCUUGUGGGAAGAAGAUUUUUCCUUCUUCUCUUUGUGGUGAGAAUAAGAUUUCUUCUCCUUCCCUUUGUUGGAGGAGCUCUUCUUCUUCUCCCUCCUCUUGGUGCGGGACUCUUCCGAUGAAGUGCUCCCGUGGCUUGUAGUGGGCUUUUCGCCGGUCUCCAUCUCCUUCUUGGCGUGAUCUCCCGACAUCACUUCGAGCGGUUAGGCUCUAAUGAAGCACCGGGUUCUGAUACCAAUUGAUAGUCGCCUAGAGGGGGGGUGAAUAGGGCGAAACUGAAAUUUACAAAUAUAAACACAACUACAAGCCGGGUUAGCGUUAGUAAUAAAGAAACGAGUCCGCGAGAGAGGGUGGAAAACAAAUCGCAAGCAAAUGAAGAGUGUGACACGCGGAUUUGUUUUACCGAGGUUCGGUUCUUGCAAACCUACUCCCCGUUGAGGAGGCCACAAAGGCCGGGUCUCUUUCAACCCUUCCCUCUCUCAAACGGUCCCUCGGACCGAGUGAGCUUCUCUUCUCAAAUCAAAGCCGGGAACAAAACUUCCCGCAAGGGCCACCACGCAAUUGGUGCCUCUUGCCUUGAUUACAAUGGAGUGUUGAUCACAAGAGCACGUGAGAAAGAAAAGAAGCAAUCCAAGCGCAAGAGCUCAAAAGAACACGGCAAAUCUCUCUCUCUAAUCACUAAAGCCUUUUGUGGAACUGGAGAGGAUUUGAUCUCUUUGUUGUGUCUAGAAUUGAAUGCCUAGCUCUUGUAAGUAGUUGAGAAGUGGAAAACUUGGAUGCAAUGAAUGGUGGGGUGGUUGGGGUAUUUAUAGCCCCAACCACCAAAAGUGGCCGUUGGGAGGCUGUCUGUUCGAUGGCGCACCGGACAGUCCGGUGCACACCGGACAUGUCCGGUGCCCCCGCCACGUCAUCACUGCCGUUGGAUUCUGACCGUUGGAGCUUCUGACUUCUGGGCCCGCCUGGAUGUCCGGUGCACACCGGACAUCUACUGUUCCUUGUCUGGUGCGCCAGUAUGGGCGCGCCUGACUUCUGCGCGCGCAGAGCGCGCAUUAAUUGCGUCGCAGGUAGCCGUUGGCGCCGAAUAGUCGUUGCUCCGGAGUUGCACCGGACAGUCCGGUGCACACCGGACAUGUCCGGUGAAUUAUAGCGGACUAGCCGUUGGAGAUUCCCGAAGCUGGCGAGUUCCUGAGGCUGCUCUUCCUUGGCGCACCGGACACUGUCCGGUGUACACCGGACAGUCCGGUGAAUUAUAGCGCGAGUGCCUCUGGAAAUUCCCGAAGGUGGCGAGUUCAAGUUGGAGUCCUCUGGUGCACCGGACACUGUCCGGUGGUGCACCGGACACUGUCCGGUGUACACCGGACAGUCCGGUGCCUCCAGACCAGAGGUGCCUUCGGUUGCCUCUUUGCUCCUUUGUUGAAUCCAAAACUUGAUCUUUUUAUUGGCUGAGUGUGAACCUUUUACACCUGUAUAAUCUAUACACUUGGGCAAACUAGUUAGUCCAAUUAUUUGUGUUGGGCAAUUCAACCACCAAAAUUAAUUAGGGACUAGGUGUAAGCCUAAUUCCCUUUCAUCCACCUAAGACCAGCCAGACCCAUAUUCCAGUCAUACAAACUCCGGUGACUGUGAUUUUCCUUCCAGUAGGGAACUUCCCAUCUGGUCACCCAUCCCAGGUUUCUCCAAGUUGAGCACGCUUAACUUUAAGAUUCCUUCGAACUAGGCUUCCAAACUCAGAUUCCAAUAAUUCUUUUUCUAAAUUCUUAUCGAAUUAUACCCUAUCCAACCAUGUCAUCCCUUAAGCAUGGUUCAUAUUCCAGAAAACUCCCAAAAUACUCUUGUCCCAUAUUCUGCCUAUAACUCUCCUGUUCAUACUAAGUCAGACGAUUCAUUCGUCACUAUUCUCACCAACAGUGAACUUCAUUGUGCUACACCACAUACACCCAGCUAUAAAUACACCCAGCUACCCUCUCCCUCUCCACACACGCUCAACACCCUCAGCUAAGGAAAACACCCCACCCACUCAGUUACUCCGCUCUACCGGCUACACGCAUAGUGUCGCUUCACCUCCAGUCCACCCUCCUGGUAAGCACCUCCGCUCCACCACCAGUAAUAUCACAACACCACAUGACACAGAUUCUACUCAAGACUCUACCCAUCCAUAUAUCGCUAUUCUGACCACUAUACUAAAUAUUUGUCGGUAUACUUGCUGGUUUGUAUGUUUGCUUGCUCAUGUUGCAUAGUUAUCGGAGCGUUCGUGUCGUCUCGUGGAGGCCAGAUCUGCAAGUCUACGCCAGGCGAUGGAGCCAGAAGCCAGUUCCGCGAGCUCUCCUUCCCCCUUCGCCGGAUAAGCACGACAAGCUCACUGGAUCCCUUUAAUGCAUAAAUUACCUAUGAUUUUUCAACCACAACCCUCAACCUGUUAUUUUAUGCAUGAUAUGAUUUUGAGACAAGUUAUUAUGGCCACCCAAGCCGCUUGCCGCAAUCAAUCCUUAAUAUAUUUGUUACAAAUGAUUUGAGAAAAGGUGUGAGUUUUUCAAAAGAAAAUGCUUUUCAAAAUGUGUAUGAUGAAGGGUUUUCACCCUUAUCACCUUUGAGUAGGGAUGAUCAGGGACUCCCUAGUUUAGGGGAGGGCCUAAGGUGAUGGCUCAGCUGGUUUAGGCGUGAGCAGAAGGAUUGUUCCCUCAUAUAAGGACCGGUUUGUCAUCCUUCACUACAUGUACUCAUGAUAAGUACAACCACUCAAGACUGUGGGCAGUCACUCAAUCUGAACUCGUACGGUUCAACCCCAGGGUUAUGAAGGCUGGGGAGCACCGGGAGGAUAAGGAGGGGGAAUGUUUUGUCCGGUUUGGACAUGGCGGUGGCCUGACUCCUUCCGGUAUAACCGUUAAGGUUAGGAUGUGCGAGGAAGGAAAGGGAUUCAGAUUCGGAUCUCAUUGAUCAUGAGAUCGCAGAGCCGGACUAGUGGGUAAAGUGUACACCUCUGCGCAGAGUUUGAAAACCUAUUCGAAUAGUUUAUGUCCACAGGAAUGGACGAGUCUGGUGUGGUAUGACAAUUAGUGUUUUGUUUUUUAAAAAAAGAGGUGCUUUUGAGAAAAGUGGUUUUUAAAAGGUCCGGCGGUUGAGCCGUGAGCUAUGGUGGACGGGAAGUCCAGUAGCUGUUUUUGAAAAUGAAAACCAGUGGGAAACUGCUGAGAUACCUGGAUGGUUUAGUCCACGGGAUUUUGUUCUAAUAUUGAAAAACUUCCUGCUCCCUUGGGAGAGGAUGCGCUUUGCAAAAUACAAAAUGUUUUACAAAACAACCCUGCAUAAAAUAUUGUUGUUUCUGCAAAAUAUCCUGAGCUCCACUUAUUCCAUGCAUUAUAUCUGAUUUCCCCAUUCCGUGGGUGAAGGUGGGCUGCUGAGUACGUUUGUACUCACCCUUGCUUAUUUGUUGUUUUUCAGAAAAAGGAGAUCGGGUAAGAGUUACGACUGUUCCCAACCUUGCCUGUGGCUGUUGGACCACUGAUUUGCUUCGCUGCGUAUAUCGAGCUGCUUCAGCCCCACUCUGAUGAUAUGUCCCGAGUUGUGGACCAACUCUUAAAGUUGUUCGCCACCUUUAUAGGUUUGUCUCGUUUAAGCAGAUCUGGAAUCAUCUGAUGUAUAAAUGUGUUUACUAGCCUCCUGGGACUAGUAAUUGUAUCACAUUUGAGUCCCAGAGGAUUGGGGACGCUUCAUUAGGGUACUCACUAUCUUCAAAGCCAGGAGGUUGCUUAACAUAGACCUCUUCCUUGAUUGGUCCAUUGAGGAAGGAACUUUUCACAUCCAUUUGAUAAAGCUUAAAUCUAUGGUAAGUAGCAUAGGCAAGUCAUAUACGAAUUGACUCAAGCCUAGCUACGGGUGCAUAAGUUUCACUAAAGUCCAAACCUUCGACUUGUGAAUAACCUUUGGCCACAAGUCGGGCUUUGUUCCUUGUCACCACACCAUGCUCAUCUUGCUUGUUGCGGAAUACCCACUUGGUACCUACAACAUUUUGGUUAGGACGUGGAACUAAAUGCCAUACCUCAUUCCGCAUGAAGUUGUUGAGCUCUUCUUGCAUUGCCAGCACCCAAUCCGAGUCUCUUAGUGCAUCCUCUACCCUGUAUGGCUCAAUAGAGGAAACAAAAUAGUAAUGCUCACAGAAAUGUGCAACUCGAGAUCUAGUGGUUACCCCCUUAUGAAUGUCACCGAGGAUGGAGUUGACGGGGUGAUCUCGUUGAAUUGGUGGACUCUUGGGUGUGGCGGUCUUUGGCCCUGAGUUUCUUGAUCAUCUUCCUUAUCUUCAUUUUCUUCAUCUCCCCCUUGAUCAUUGUCCUCCUCUUGAGGUGGCUCAUCCUCUUGAUCUUCAUUUUCAUCUUAAGCCUGAUCCUCAUCUUGAGUUGGUGGAGAUGCUUGAUUGUAGGAUGACGGUUGAUCUUGUGCUUGUGUGGGCUCUUUGGAUUCCUUAGGACACACAUCCCCAAUGGACAUGUUCCUUAGCGCGACGCACGAAGCCUCUUCAUCAUCUAAUUCAUCAAGAUCAACUUGCUCCACCUGGGAGCCAUUAGUCUCAUCAAACACAAUGUCACAAGAAACCUCAACUAAUCUAGUGGAUUUGUUGAAGACUCUAUAUACCCUUGUGUUUGAGUCAUAUCCUAGUAAAAAGCCUUCUACAGCCUUAGGAGCAAAUUUAGAUUUUCUACCUCUUUUAACAAGAAUAAAACAUUUGCUUCCAAAGACUCUAAAAUAUGAAACAUUAGGAUUUUUACCGGUAAGGAGUUUAUAAGAUGUCUUCUUGAGGAUUCGGUGAUGGUAGAGCCGGUUGAUGGAGUAGCAAACAGUGAUGAUUGCUUCCACCCAAAACUGGUCUGGUGUCUUGUACUCAUCAAGCAUGGUUCUUGCCAUGUCCAGUAGAGUUCUAUUCUUCCUCUCCACUACACCAUUUUGUUGAGGUGUGUAGGGAGAAGAGAACUCAUGCUUGAUGCCCUCAUCCUCAAGAAAACCUUCGAUUUGAGAGUUCUUGAACUCCGUCCCAUUGUCGCUUCUUAUCUUUUUUUAUUCUUAAUCUGAACUCAUUUUGAGCUUGUCUUAAGAAUCUCUUUAAGGUCUCUUGGGUUUGUGAUUUUUCCUGCAAAAAGAAUACCCAAGUGAAGCGAGAAUAGCAUCCAUAAUUAUAAGACAAUACUUACUCCUGUCGAUGCUUAUGUAAGCGAUCGGGCCGAAUAAAUCCAUGUGGAGUAGCUCAAACGACCUGUCGGUCAUCAUGAUAUUCUUGUGUGGAUGGUGGGCACCAACUUUCUUUCCUGCUUGACAUGCACUACAAACCCUUUCUUUCUCAAAAUGAACAUUUGUUAGUCCCAAAAUAUGUUCUCCCUUUAGAAGCUUGUGAAGAUUCUUCAUUCCAACAUGGGCUAGUCGGCGAUGCUAGAGCCAACCUAUAUUAGUCUAAGCAAUUAAACAAGUGUUGAGUUCAGCUAUGUUCUCAUUAAAAAUAACUAAAUAUAGCUGACCCUCUAACACUCCCUAAAAUACUAUUGAAUCGUCACUUCUUCUAAAGACAGUAACACCUACAUCUGUAAAAAGACAGUUGUAGCCCAUUUUGCAUACUUGAGAAACAAAAGGCAAAUUGUAAUCUAAAGAAUCUACAAGAAAACAUUUGAAAUUGAAUGGUCAGGGGAUAUAGCAAUUUUACCCAAACCUUUGACCAAUCCUUGAUUUCCAUCCCCGAAUGUGGUAGCUCGUUGGGGAUCUUGGUUUUCUCGUAGGAGGAGAACAUUCUUUUCUCCCCUGUCAUGUGGUUUGUGCAUCCGCUAUCAAUUAUCCAACUUGAACCUCCGGAUGCAUAAACCUGCAAAACAAUUUAGGCCUUGUUCUUAGGUACCCAAACAGUCUUGGGUCCUUUGAUGUUAGAAACAAGCACCUUGGGUACCCAAAUACAAGUCUUGAACUCUUGUGCUUGCCCCCAACAUAUUUGGCAACUACUUUGCCUAAUUUGUUAGUAAGCACAUAUCAUGCAUCAAAAGUCUUAAAUGAAAUGUUAUGUUCAUUUGAUGCAGCAUGAGUUUUCUUUUUAGGCAUUUUAACAUGUGUAGAAUGCCUAGAGCUAGAAGCCUCAUUUUUAUACUUAAAUGCAUGAUGAGAAGUAGUGUGGGGUUUUCUAGCAUGAAUUCUCCUAAUUUUGUGCUCAGGAUAAUUAGCAGGAUAUAAAAUGUAACCCUCAUUAUCCUGAACCAUGGGAGCUUUGCCCUUUACAAAGUUGGACAAUCUCUUAGGGGCAUUAAGCUUGACAUUGCUUCCCUGUUGGAAACCAAUGUCAUCCUUAAUGCCAGGGCGUCUCCCAUUAUAGAGCACGCUUCUAGCAAAUUUAAACUUUUCAAUUUCAUGCUCAUUGAUUUUAGCAGUUAAUUGAGCUAUAUGAUCAUUUUGUUGUUUAAUUAGAGCAAGGUGAUCAUUUAUAGCAUCAACAUUAAUAUCUCUACAUCUAGUUCAAAUUGAAACAUGCUCGACAGUAGAUGUAGAGGGUUUGCAAAUAUUUAAUUCCUCUAUCUUAGAUUUUAGCAUGACAUUUUCAUCUCUCAGACAGGAAAUAGAAUCAUUGCAAACAUUUAACUCUCUAACCUUUGAAAUUAAACUAGCAAUUUUAGUCUUAAGGCUAGAAAUCGAUUCAUUCAAUUUAUCAAUCUUAGCAUUUAAAAUAGCAUUUUCAUUUCUAAGACUGGUAAUUGAAUCAUGGCAAAUGAUAAGCUCUUUAGUUAGGUUUUCACAUUUCUCUACUUCCUGAGCAUAAGCAUUUUUCACUUUAACAUGUUUUUUAUUUUCUUUAAUGAGGAAUUCCUCUUGGUUGUCCAAGAGUUCAUCCUUCUCAUGGAUGGAUCCUAUCAAUUCAUUCAAUUUUCUUUUUGUUCCAUGUUGAGGUUAGCAAAAAGAGUAAGUAAAUCAUCUUCGUCUUCAUUAGAACUACCCUCAUCACUAGAUGUUGUAUACUUGGAGGUGGUUCUAGAUUGUACCUUCUUUUUUUUGCCGUCCUUGGCCAUGAAACAUUUGUGACCGACGUUGGGGAAGAGGAGACCCUUAUUGAUGGCGAUGUUGGCGGUGUCCUCGUCGGAGGAGUCGGUGGAGCUCUCGUCGGAGUUCCAUUCCCGACACACGUGGGCAUCGCUGCCCUUCUUCUUGUAGUACCUCUUCUUUUCUUUCUUCUUCCCCUUCUUGUCGUCAUCCCUGUCACUUUCACUAGACAUUGGACAUUUAGCAAUGAAAUGACCGGGCUUACCACAUUUGUAGCACACCCUUUUGGAGCGGGGUUUGUAGUCCUUCCCCCUCCUAUGCUUGAGGAUUUGAUGGAAGCUCUUGAUGAUGAGCGCCAUCUCCUUGUUGUCGAGCUUGGAGGCGUCGAUUGGAAGUCUACUUGAUGUAGACUCCCUCUUCUCUUCUUUUGUUGCCUUGAAUGCGACGGGUUGCACCUCGGGUGUGGAGGUGGCUCCUUGCUCCAAGUUGACGAUGUGUUUGGAAUCUUUGAUCAUUAGCUCAAAGCUCACAAACUUUCCAAUAACCUCCUCGAGAUAAAUUAGCUUGUAUCUAGGAUCCCCAUGUAUUAAUUGAACUUUUGUAGGAUUACGAAAUACAAGGGAUCUAAGAAUAACCUUGACCAUUUCAUGGUCAUCCCAUUUUGUGCUCCCGAUGUUGCGCAGUUGGUUCACCAAGGUCUUGAGUCGGUUGUACAUUGCUUGUGGCUCCUCUCCCUUGUUGAGGACGAAUCGACCGAGUUCUCCCUCAAUCGUUUCACACUUGGUGAUCUUGGUCACCUCGUCCCCUUCGUGCGCCGUCUUCAGCACGUCCCAAAUUUCGUUGGCAAUCUUUAACCCUUGCACCUUUUUAUACUCCUCUCGACACAAGGAGGCGAGGAGUAUAGUUGUGGCUUGGGAGUUAAAGUGCCUAAUUUGGGCGACCUCGUCCGAGUCGUAGCCUUCGUCCACCACCUUAGGUACCUGCGCUCCGAACUCAACAAUGUCCCAAAUGCUUGCAUGGAGUGAGGUUAGGUGAUGCCUCAUUUUAUCACUCCACAUACAAUAAUCCUCACCAUCAAAAUAUGGUGGUUUGCCUAAGGGAACGGAAAGUAGAGGAGCAUGCUUAGAAAUACGAGGAUAGCGAAGGGGCAUCUUACUAUACUUCUUACGCUCAUGGCGCUUAGAAGCGACGGACGAGUCGGAGCUCGAAGAAGUGGAGGGUGACGAAGAGUCGGUCUCGUAGUAGACCACCUUCUUCAUAUUCUUCUUCUUGUCACCCUUGCGACGCGUCAUGGUGGAGGAAGAGGAUUCCUCCUUAUGCUUGUGGCCGGACUCUCGAAAGAGUUCUCCCCGAGCUUGCGGGCUUGUCGCCGGUCAUGAUCUCCCUCUUGGCGUGUUCUCCCGACAUCACUUCGAGUUGUUAGACUCUUAAUGAAGUAUCGGGCUCUGAUACCAAUUGAAAGUCGCCUAGAAGGGGGGUGAAUAGGCGUAAUCUAAAAUUUACAACUUUAAACACACACUACAAGUCGGGGUUAGCGUUAGAAUUAAAUCCGAGUCCGUUAGAGAGGGGGAAAACAAAUCAACCAAGAAAUAAAGCAGAUGAACAUGGUGAUUUGUUUAACCGAGGUUUGGUUCUAAAGAACCUAGUCCCCGUUGAGGUGCUCACAAAAACCGGGUCUCUUUCAACCCUUUCCCUCUCUCAAACGGUCACUUAGACCGAGUGAGCUUUCUUCUUAAUCAAACGGGUCACUUAGACCCUGCAAGGACCACCACACACUUAGGUGUCUCUUGCUUUGAUUACAAGUCACUUGGGAACAAGAAUGAGGAAGGAAGAAAGUGAUCCAAGCAACAAGAGCGCAAGAACACGAACAAACACUCUCUCAAGUCCUAGGUGGUUGGAAUGAGUUUGGGACUUGGAGAGGCUUUGAUCUUUUGGUUUGUGUCUAGGAGUGAAUGCACUAGCUCUUGUAUUGAAUGAAAACUUUAGAAGACUUGGAUGCUUGGAGUUGUGGUGGUUGGGGGGUUUUUAUAGCCCUCAACCACCAACAAGUCCUUGGGGAAGGUUGUUGUCGAUGGGCGCACCGGACACUGUCCGGUGCGCCGCCAUGUCACCCAACCGUUAGGGUUCGGGAGCAGUCGACCGUUGGCACCGUUGUCUUCUUGUGGCACCGGACAGUCCGGUACCACACCGGAUAGGUCCUAUUCACUGUCCGGUGCGCCUCUGACUCUGUGCUCUGACUCUAUCGCGCACUGUUCUUCAUUAUAGCGCUGUUAGCGCUCUUUUUGUAGUCGACCGUUGCGCUGGAUAGUCGUUGCUCCGCUGGUGCAUCGGACAGUCCUGUGACACACCGGACAGUCCGGUGAAUUAUAGCGGAGCUCGCCUGGAGAAACCUGAGAGUGGCUGGUUUGAGUUGUACGGUCCUGGUGCACCGGACACUGUCUGGUGGCACACCAGACUGUCUGGUGCGCCGUUCCUCAGCACACUCUGGUUUCUUUGCUACUUUGAAUUUGGAUCCCUAACUUGAAUAUUUAUUGGUUUGUGUUGAACCUUUAUGCGCCUAUAGAACAUAUAUUCUAGAGCAAACUAGUUAGUCCAUAUAUUUGUGUUGGGCAUUCAACCACCAAAAUUACUUGUGGAAAAAGGUUAACCCUAUUUCCCUUUCAUCCCCCACCUGUGGUACCUGCUCUCCAAACUCAACUAUGUCCCAUAUGCUUUCGUGGAGUGAGGUUAGAUGAUGCCUCAUUUUAUCACUCCACAUACAAUAAUCUUCACCAUCAAAAUAUAGUGGUUUUCCUAGGGGAACGGAAAGUAAUGAAGCACGCUUAGAAAUGCGGGGAUAACGAAGAGGCAUCUUACUAUACUUCUUGCGAUCAUGGCGCUUAGAAGUGACGGACGACUCGGAGCUCGAUGUGGAGGGUGAAAAAGAGUCGGUCUCGUAGUAGACCACCUUCUUCAUCUUCUUCUUCUUGUCACCUCUCCAAAGCGACUUGAUCGAGGAAUAGGAUUCCUCCUUGUUCUUGUUGUCGGACUCACUUGAAAGAGUCCUCCUCGAGCUUGCGGCUUUUUCGCCGGUCAUAAUCUCUCUCUUGGCGUGAUCUCCCAACAUCACUUCGAGUUGUUAGACUCUAAUGAAGCACCGACUUUGAUACCAAUUGAAAGUCGCCUAGAGGGGGGUGAAUAGGCGAAAAGUGAAAUUUAUAAACUUAAACACGCACUAAGGUCGGGGGUUAGCGUUAGAGUUAAACUCAAGUCGCAAAGAGAGGGAAAACAAAUCAACCAAAAAAUAAGGCAAGUGAACACGGUGAUUUGUUUUACCGAGGUUUGGUUCCAAAGAACCUAGUCCCUGUUGAGGAGGUCACAAAGACCAGGUCUAUUUCAACCCUUUCCUUCUCUCAAACGGUCACUUAGACCGAGUGAGUUUUCUUCCAUAAUCUCACGGGUCACUAAGACCCCGCAAGGACCACCACACACUUGGUGUCUCUUGCCUCGCUUACAAAGCACUUGAGAAUAAGAAUGGGAAAAGAAGAAAGGCAAUCCAAGCAACAAGAACUCAAAUGAACACAAAAAUCUCUCUCUCACAAGCCACUAAGUGUUUAGGGUGAAUUUGGGACUCGGAGAGGAUUUGAUCUUUUGUAUUGUGUCUUGGAGUGAAUGAUAGAGCUCUUGUAUUGAAUGUGAUGUUAAGAAAACUUGGAUGCUUGAAGUUGUGGUGGUUGGGGGUAUUUAUAGCCCCCAACCACCAAGGUAGUCGUUGGGGAGGCUGAUGUCGAUGGGCGCAACGGACAGUCCGGUGCGACACCGGACACUCACUGUUCAGUGUCCGGUGCGCCGCCAUGUCACCCAACCGUUAGGGUUCUCGAGCAGUUGAACGUUGGCACCUUUGUCAUCUUGUAGCACCGGACAGUCUGGUGGUGCACUGGACAGUCCGAUGCCCCUCUGACCCACUGCUCUGACCUCUGCCGCGGUACUGUGCUGCAUUGUUCAUCUGUCAGAGUCAACCGUUGACGUGAGUUAGUCGUUGCUCUGCUGGCACACUGGACAGUCUGGUGAAUUAUAGUGGAGCGCGCCUGCGUUUUCCCGAGAGUGGCUGGUUUAACCCUAUACAGGCCUGGUGCACCGGACACUGUCUGGUGCGCCAGUCCACAGCACACUCAAGUUCUUUGCUCCGGUUAAAUUUAGUCCCUAACUUGAAUCUUUUAUUGGUUUGUGUUGAACCUUAUGCACCUGUAAUACAUGAGUUCUAGAGCAAACUAGUUAGUCCAUUUGUUUGUGUUGGACAUUCAACCUCCAAAAUUAAUUGUAGGAAAAGGUUAACCCUAUUUCCCUUUCAGAGCUCAUGCUCGGCAAUUUUAGCACUUAAUUGAGCUAUGUGGUCAUUUUAUUUCUUAAUCAUGGCAAGAUGAUCAUCUAUAGCUUCAACAUUAAUAUCUCUACAUCUAGUACAAAUAGAAACAUGAUCAACAGUAGAUGUAGAUGGUUUGCAUGCAUUUAAUUCCUCAAUCUUAGCAUUUAAUUUAAUAUUCUCAUUUCUAAGACAGGAAAUAGAAUCAUUGCAAACAUUCAAUUCUUUAACCUUAGAAACUAAACUAGCAUUUUCAUUUCUAAGACUAGAAAUUGAAUCAUGACAAAUGUUAAGCUCCUUAGUUAAGUUUUCACAUUUUUCUACAUCCUGAGCAUAAGCAUUUUUCAACUUAACAAAUUUUUUGUUUUCUUUAAUGAGGAAGUCCUCUUGGCUAUACAAGAGUUCAUCCUUCUCAUUAAUGGCUUCAAUCAAUUCAUUUAAUUUUUUUCUUUUGGUCCAUGCUAAGGUUGGCAAAAAGAGACAUUAAAUUAUCUUCAUUAUCGCUAGAGCUACCCUCAACACUUGAGAAUAAGAAUAGGAAAAGAAGAAAGGCAAUCCAAGCGACAAGAGCGCAAAUGAACACAAAAAUCUCUCUCUCUCACAAGCCACUAAGUGUUUGGAAUGAAUUUGGGACUUGGAGGGGAUUUGAUCUUUUGUAUUGUGUCUUGGAAUGAAUGCUAGAGCUCUUGUAUUGAAUGUGAUCUUCAGAAAACUUGGAUGCCAAAAGGUUGUGGUGGUUGGGGGUAUUUAUAGCCCCCAACCACUUUGGUAGCCAUUGGGGAGGCUGCUAGCGAUGGGCGCACCGGACAGUCCAAUGCGCCACCGGACAAACACUGUUUAGUGUCCGGUGCGCCGCCACGUCACCCAACCGUUAGGGUUCGGAGCCGAGUCGACCGUUGGAGCUUUGUCCUCUUGCGGCACCGGACAGUCCGGUGCCACACCAGACAGUCCGGUGCCCUCUCACUUUCUGCUCUGACUUCUGUGUGGAACUGUUGCUCAUUGUAGCUGCUGUCAGAGUCGACCAUUGGCGCAGAUAGUCGUUGCUCCGUUGGCACACCGGACAGUCCGGUGAAUUAUAGCGGAGAGCGUCGUUGAAUUCCCGAGAGUGGCUGCUUCGAAGUGUACGGCCCUGGUGCACCGGACACUGUUCGGUGCGCCAUUUUUCCACACACUCAAGUUCUUUGCUCCGUUUUAAAUUGAGUCCCUAACAUGAUUCUAUUAUUGGUUUGUGUUGAACUUUAUGUAACUGUAAUGCACGAGUUCUAGAGCAAACUAGUUAGUCCAUGUGUUUGUGUUGACUAUCAACCACCAAAAUUAAUUAUAGGAAAAAGUUAACCCUAUUUCCCUUUCAAUAGGUCCAUUGAGGAAGGCACUUUUCACGUCCAUUUGAUAAAGCUUAAAGCCAUGGUAAGUAGCAUAGGAAAGUAAUAUACGAAUUGACUCAAGCCUAGCUACGGGUGCAUAGGUUUCAUCGAAAUCCAAACCUUCGACUUGUGAAUAUCCCUUUGCCACAAGUCGGGCUUUGUUCCUCGUCACCACACCGUGCUUAUCUUGCUUGUUGCGGAAUACCCACUUGGUACCUACAACAUUUUGAUUAGGACGUGGAACUACAUGUCAUACCUCAUUACUCGUGAAGUUGUUGAGCUCCUCUUGCAUAGCCACCACCCAAUCCGGAUCUCUUAGUGCAUCCUCCACCCUGUAUGGCUCAACAGAGGACACAAAAGAGUAAUGUUCACAUAAAUGAGCAACUCGAGAUCUAGUGGUUACCCCCUUGUGAAUGUCACCAAAAAUGGAGUUCACGGGGUGAUCUCUUUGAAUUGCUUGGUGGACUCUUGGGUGUGGCGGUCUUUGAUCCCUUAUUUCUUGAUCAUCUUCCUUGUCUUGAUCAUCUUCAUCUCCCCCUUGAUCCAUGUCCUCCUCUUGAGGUGGAUCAUCCUCUUGAUCUUCAUCUUCAUCAUCUUGAGCCUGAUCCUCGUCUUGAGUUAAUGGAGAUGCUUGCAUGGAAGAUGAUGGUUGAUCUUGUGCUUGUGGAGGCUCUUCGGAUUCCUUAGGACACACAUCUCCAAUGGAAAUGUUCCUUAGCGCAACGCAUGGAGCCUCUUCAUCAUCUAGUUCAUCAAGACAAACUUGCUCCACUUGGGAGCCAUUAGUCUCAUCAAACACAAUGUCACAAGAAACCUCAACUAAUCCAGUGGAUUUGUUGAAGACUCUAUAUGCCCUUGUGUUUGAGUCAUACCCUAGUAAAAAGCCUUCUACAACCUUAGGAGAAAAUUUAGAACUUCUACCUCUUUUAAUAAGAACAAAGCAUUUACUCCCAAAACUCUAAAAUAUGAAACAUUGUGCUUUUUACUAGUGAGGAGUUCAUAUGAUGUUUUCUUGAGGAUUCGGUGAAGGUAGAGCCGGUUGAUGGAGUAGCAAGCGAUGUUGAUUGCUUCCGCCCAAAACCGGUCUGGAGUCUUGUAUUCAUCAAGCAUGGUCCUUGCCAUGUCCAGUAGAGUUCUAUUAUUCCUCUCUACUACACCAUUUUGUUGAGCUGUGUAGGGAGAAGAGAACUCAUGAUUUAUGCCCUCCUCUUCAAGAAAUCCUUCAAUUUGAGAGUUCUUGAACUCCAUCCCAUUGUCGCUUCUUAUCUUUUUGAUCCUUAAUCCGAACUCAUUUUGAGCCCGUCUUAAGAAUCUCUUUAAAGUCUCUUGGGUUUGAGAUUUUUCCUGCAAAAAUAAUACCCAAGUGAAGCGAGAAUAAUCAUCCACAACAACUAGACAAUACUUACUCCCGCCGAUGCUUAUGUGUCACACCCGGGUUUUGGGGGUACCAAGACCCGGGCGCAAAAUAAUCACCAAGUGUGCUGGGACCAAGUCUCACACAUAUGAUGAAUCAUGGUACAGAAACAAAUGUCACAUCUUUACUAUAUAAUAGGAGUUCUAUACAAAAUAAAUAAAUAAAUACAUCAUAAGGAGACAACGAUCCAGCAACCCAAAGUUGACUGGGAGACGACGACCUAGACCUCUCACGAACUCAUCACAUCAUCCUCCAUGUGCCUCAUCCUGCGGUACCUGUUCUUGACAUGUGGGGGUGUGAGACAGCAAGAGUGAGCUCACAUACGUCCAUCGCUCAACAAGUUGUGGGCAAUAAUGUGCAUGAACUCGCCAAAGGUGGGAAAUCAUGUGAAGUGUAAGGCUUACCAAAGUGGAUGGUUAAAGCUGAGCAUUGUUUUUAAAGUUGGUCAAAAUUUUAUUAGCAGAUACUAAGUAUAAGUAGAUACCAACCCAAUUAAGUAGUAGAACAAAAGUGAUAACAACACCCUCAAUGCAAUGCAUAUGACAAAUUGAAUUUAAUUCCAUAAAUUAAUCAUGUGAGUGUCUGAGCUGCUCAUGACCGUGAGCACGGCUGAUAUACCAGUUUUACACUCUGCAGAGGUUGCACAUCUUUACCCACAAAUCAUGUUACCCAUCUGCCAAGGGAUCGUGACUUCCCAUACACUCUACUGAGGAGGCGAGGCAGGGUAACACUACGAGGCCUUUACAAAGUUCCACUAGCUUUAGAAAACCCGCUACAGUUUCUGGGAAGCUCUAUUGCAAGGAUCCCUCGCCUGACCGCCAUCGCAGCAAAAUCAACCCCAGGACCUCCCUACACUGACCACUCCCCUACUGCCCUUGCCCCUUUUGGGUAAGGUAGUACUCCACUAGCUUUCCUAAUUAGUCAGCCAAGGGCGUCCCAUACCACCCUUGUGGUAGCACUGUUUUCCCGGGUGGAUCUCCAUGUUCCAAUUAACAUAAUGUUCUUAUCAUGAACAGUAAUUAACAAAUUGAUAACAAAAGUAUGAAUAAUGUGUAUCUCAAUGCCCAAAUCCACAUAAAGCACUAGCAAGUACUACCCAGAAGUUCAGUGGUAAACAAUGCAUAAAGAUAGACAAACUAGGGUAACCUAUUGGGUCCCAUCAAAAUUAGCAUAUGCAGAUCAUUAUGAUAAUAAGAACAUGAGUGGGUAAAAAGAAGUGAUCAAGGGCAUAACUUGCCUGGGACUCAAGAUUCCAGGUACCAACAUGCUCUUUAGAUUCUCGUGACCUCACUGCUAAUCGUAGCAAUACAAACAAAAAAUGGCAUAGGCAAAAUUAACAUCACAUCAAACAUAAGUACAAACUGAAUAAUAAGGAUCUACGCGAAGCUACGAGAUCGUGGGAACGAGAAUCACUAAAUUCGGAGUUACGGUUAAGGAGUUAUGAUUUAUGUAAGAUAAAUGUGAUUUAAAUAUUAAACUAUAUUACAAAUUGGUUAAUGUAUAUAAUAUGAGAGACUAUUCUAUAAAUAAUUAAUUCAACCUUAUUCUGAGUCAUUACUUGAUUAUAAAUCAUCUUUUAAGGCAAAGAUAACCAUAAGAUCAGGAUAUUAUAUUAAUAUUAGAAUAAGCAAAUCUAGAAAACAUCAAAUUAGUUACCUAAUUAUAAAAGUAUGGGAUAUCAUAUCAUCAAUGUUGCUAAUGUGUAGACAAUAUUUUUAUGAAGCUAACGCAAUUUGAAGCUAAACAAAGGUACUAGGUGAUAAACAAUAUUAAAACAAAAUUAAUGCAACUGGAACAGAUCAAUUUGGAGUUAAAACGGAUGAGAUAUGCACUAAACAAUAUUCUAGGUUAUUUAGAAUUAAUUUUAUACCUAAAAUGACUUCCAGGGGUUUACAUGCAAAGUCUCCAUUUAAUUCUAUUUUCUUUCCACUGGAAAUGGACGGUGGGUUCUAUUCUAAAGGAAGGUGGGGUUUCUUUUGCAAAUUGGCGGUCGAAGGGAUAUUGUUGGGUCAUGACCGUAGGAUCACCCGCAUACGGUCAGGAUUAGAACGGGUCCCAGAUUUAUAAUAUCGACGUGCGAGACUCAACCGUUGGAUCAAGGAUCAAGAGUCCAACAUGGUUCAGCCGAGGCGUUAACCCUCCAUUUAAUCUAGGCCACCGGUGGACAGAUCAAUGGCUAGCAUCAGCCCCGGCUGAUGAUCAAAUCUCCACUAUUAAACGCAACAUCAACGGUACUUGGCCAACCCCCCAUCUCCGGUCCCAAGCCCAACGGCGCACAGAGCGCAGCCACCGGGAUACGCUGAUACGGCACCUCGGCCAUAAUGGACGCACGGAAGGCAGAAGGGGCGGUAAGCGAUCUCACCUUACGACGAUGCGUAGCAAGGGAAAGCGCAAGCAACAACUCGCGGGGCCUGGGCGUGGUGCUCGGUUGCUCGACGACCGGAGGUGCGGUGGUUAGCAGCACGACACGACUGCGAGAGAAACGACCAGAGCGCGAGAGCAGGGAAGGCUUUAUACUGCGGCGUGGGCGCGAUCGCGACGGUGGUUGCCGAGAUCCCCGGCGCGGCCUCGGUGUUCUGUUUCGCAGGAGAAGACGACCACCGCGCAGGGCCCACACGUAAGCGACGCAAGCGCGCGUAGACGCGAGGACGCAGCCUGGCGCACGAUCUCGUUCGCCAAAGACGUGGUGUCCAUAUGCGCGCGCUGGCGAGCGGCUUCAUCGCGACGGAUUUGCAUGCUAUCGUCACACUUGACGUAAGUGCAUUCCUAGCCGGUAGAGAAAAAAAACAGCAGCCUGGGUGAAAUAUGCUCCUGGGCUAAGGUAGGCGGCCCAUCCAGGUGAGGUCGGCUUCUUCUUUUUAAUUUCCUAUCAGUUUCUUUUCUUUUGUGUUUUUUCUAGUUUUAUUUUCUACUUCAAUUCACAAAUUUUAAACUUAAAUCUAAAUUGAAUUUUUCAGAUCCAAGUUAAUAUGAAUGACCAAAAAUAUCCAGCAUGAUAUGCAAGUCACAUCUACAUAUAUUGUUUUAUCCAUUUAAGCGGAUGAAAUUUAGUAGGAAUAAUUCAUGUAAGAUGUUUUACAAUAUUGAUUAUAAAAAAAUUCAAACAUAUAGCCACAUUUUAUAAGUACAAUAAAAUAAAUCUAUAAUCUUCACAUAUUUAUUUGAAAGGAUAUAAUUUCUUAUGUAAACUCUACGAUGAGUUUCCUAAUUUAUUCCGAAUGUGAUUUUAGAGUGUUACAUUAUGUAAGCUAUCAGGUCGAAUAGAUACAUGUGGAGUAGCUCGAGCGGCCUGUCAGUCGUCAUGAUGUUCUUGUGUGGAUGGUGGACUCCAACUUGCUUCCCUGCUUGACACGCGCUACAAAUCCUGUCUUUCUCAAAAUAAACAUUUGUUAGUCCUAAAAUGUGUUCUCCCUUUAAAAGCUUAUGAAGAUUCUUCAUUCCAACAUGGGCAAGUCGGCGAUGCCAGAGCCAACCCAUGUUAGUCUUAGCAAUUAAGCAAGUGUCUAGUUCAGCUUGGUUAUCAUUAAAAUCAACUAAGUUGACCAUCCAGCACUCCCUUAAAUGCUAUUGAAUCAUCACUUCUUCUAAAGACAGUAACACCUACGUCAGUAAAUAGACAGUUGUAUCCCAUUUUGCAUAAUUGAGAAACAGAAAGCAAAUUGUAAUCUAAAGAAUCUACGAGAAAAACAUUGGAAAUGGAAUGGUUAGGGGAUAUAGCUAUUUUACCCAAACCUUUGACCAAACCUUGAUUUCCAUCCCCGAAUGUGAUAGCUCUUUGGGGACCUUCAAUUUUUUCUUUUGUUCCAUGCUAAGAUUGGCAAAAAGAGCAAGUAAAUCAUCUUCAUUAUGUUAAGGCUCUAGAGUGUACCUUCUUCUUCUUGUCGUCCUUAGACAUGAGACAUUUGUGGCCGACGUUGGGGAAGAGGAGGCCUUUGUUUAUGGCGAUGUUGGCGGCAUCCUCGUCGUCGGAGGAGUCAGUGGAGCUCUCGUCGGAGUCCCAUUCUCGGCAUAUGUGUGCAUCGCCGCCCUUCUUCUUGUAGUAUCUCUUCUUCUCCUUCUUCUUCCCCUUCUUGUUUCGUUCCUGUCACUUUCACUAGAAAUUGGACAUUUAGCUAUGAAAUGACCGGACUUACCACACCGGUAGCACACCCUCUUGGAGCGGGGCUUGUAAUCAUUCCCCCUCCUUUGCUUGAGGAUUUGGCGGAAGCUUUUGAUGAUGAGCGCCAUCUCCUCAUUGUCGAGCUUGGAGGCGUCAAUUGGAAGCCUACUUGGUGUAGACUCCUUCUUUUCUUCUGUCGCUUUGAAUGCGGCGGGUUGCACCUCGGUGUAGAGGUGGCGCCUUGCUCCGAGUUGACAAUGUGUUUGGAGUCUUUGAUCAUAAGUUCAAAGCUCACAAACUUGCUGAUAACUUCCUCGGGAGACAUUAGCUUGUAUCUAAGAUCCCCACGUAUUAAUUGUACUUCAGUAGGAUUACGAAAUACGAGGGAUCUAAGAAUAACCUUGACCAUUUCAUGGUCAUCCCAUUUGGUGCUCCCAAGGUUGCACACUUGAUUCACCAUGGUCUUGAGCCGGUUGUACAUGGCUUGCGGCUCUUCUCCUUUGUUGAGGACGAAUCGACCGACUUCUCCCUCGAUCGUCUCGCGCUUCGUGAUCUUGGUCACCUCGUCCCCUUCGUGCGCCGUUUUGAGGAUGUGCAGUACUAGACAAAACGAAUAAAAAUGUUGCCUCAGCUAUGUCCAUGUCUGCUUCAUAGGUCGAAUUCUCUAUUUGUUUUCGAGACAAGACAUAUUCUCCUCUACUUUAAAUAUACAAAAGAUUUUCUCUUCUAUAACUUCGAUGGUGUACCUCCAGGGAUUACCUUUUUGUUUUUGCUGUAACGAAAUUGUGUUUUGAUUUAAAAAAAUGGCUUUCACAUUUUUUAAAAUUUAGCAACCGGAUAUACCAAAAACCGGAGCGAGAACUGCUGCUUGUACGUGAGCAAUAACAAUAAAUUUACCCACAAACCGUACUUCUCGUUCGGUAAAUAAAUCCAUGUGUGACUCCUAUAAAUAUAGUGAUUUUUUCAUCAUAUUAUAUACAGAGAAACUCUAUCUCUCCUCUCCUCUAUCUAUCUUUACGCUUUACACGAUUGAGACCAAGAAAAGCCAAUACCUUUAGCUCUUGCCAUCAGGAUUAUUAUAGGCUAACUCUACGGUGCAUCCUACCAACAUGGGACCAAGGGCUGACCACCCAACAUAUCGAAACCUUAAAAACGCUCUUAUCGGGUAUCGUAAUUAGGGGUAACUGGAUCACACACCUAAACGCGCUUAACCCCUAGAGUACCGUCAUACAUAUUCCCUCAGGUCAAGAAAGUAUGAGCCAUGAUUCGUCCGAGCCCUCACUCGGGGGUCACUCGAAACUCCGCCUCGCUCGAGCUCACCCUCAGGCAAGGGCAGCGCUCGAGGAAAUCCUCGUCCCAUCCGAGGUCCCCUCUCCACGGAACCGUCGUUUCAAUGUUAUGAAAGGCAUGCCCGAGAACUUGAGCAUUCAAUGUGUAUACCUACCCCACGUGACAUCGUGUCAAACAGGGGCGAUAGGACUGCAGUCCCGUCCACUUUCACCAACUACGAUGACGCAUGCCCGAGAAUAACGACUACUGCUCCCCCAUGUCGUUUGCCAACUCUGAAUGGGACCCUCGUACGUCAAAGCAUGGUCUGGCCCUCGAGAGGAAAUUACGCUUCACCCGAAGCCGGCCUCAGCCUCGGAGCAAACUCUGCCUCGCCUCGAAGCAAACUCUGCCUCAGCCACCUACCACCACCACCACCCCCCAUGAAUACCGCAGAAGGCCGCUCCUUCAACUGUUCCCUGCGUGACUGCAAGCCCCAGAGUAGGCUCGAACAUGGCCUCGGGAAGACUUCCGCCUCGCCCAAGCGUGGCUUCGGCCUUGAUAAUAUAGACAAAAGGAUACCCAACGUCACCAAAAAACUAUAGAGCUGACGCCAGAUACCCUACGUAUUGCCAAGAGCUUUUUGCCAUACUUACCACUGCUCCAACCACUACGACUCGGAUAGCUCCUCCAUCGGACAGGUUCGGGUACGUGUCCGAGCCCCGGACCUUGGCCUCGGCUCUCUGCUCGGUGAAAGAUAUAAAUACAGGAACCAGAUUAACUGUUGUAGCUGCAAUGACAUUAACUGUUGUAGCUGCAAUGACAUUAACUCUGGGUGGUUAUCGAUCCAUAUAUUAUAUGUAUUGAAGUGAUAUCCUCAUCAAUGAGUCAUCAGAGGCCGAGUGCCUUAGACCAUUACUUGCAGACUGCUUCUCCUAGGUGCGGGAGUGUCCUUGGGUUUCUUCAUUCAUGCUUUGUAAAUAUAGAGAGCAAAAUGACUUUGUAAAUCAUAAUUCAAAGAGUGGGUUUCUUCAUUCAUGCUAUGUUGUACUCAGCUCGACCCAUCGAUGAAGUCAUAAGCAUUUCACAUGCCGAUGGAAGAUUAUUGCUAUUCACCUAUUCAUGCCACACACAAUGCACUAGUAUGUGGAAAUCAGAUUCAAAAUUGCGUGCGAAAUUGUUUGAAAACGGAUGGAGGAAAUCCAUAGUGUUUGGUUUGGUGUGAGAGGGGCCAAAUUUAUCAUCGGAUUGGGGGCACAAGAGGAUCAGAUCAUCAGACCCAAGAUUCAGUAUUCGUUCCUCUGAGCCCAGCCAAAGCCAACACGACGUCGUUCGUUCCCAGGAUCCAAAUCCUCGGUGUUUACUACUACUAAUAAUAACAUAAAAAUGGAACCAAAUUCCUGAAGAUUUCUACAGCAUUUGGUUGAAGUUGGAACACACGAGCAUUUACGCAACCAGUCCUUUUUCCUUUUCAUCAAUCACUGAGCCUCUUCUUCAGCUUCGGCGGCGGCAAUCUCUGAAUCCAAGAGGGAGAUGAACUGCUGGCUCACAUGCUUGGCGACAGAUAUCAUGUCGAAGAUGACGCUUGGAUCCAGCCCUGCCCCUCCCCUCUUGGUAAGCCCGCAUAUCUGGCCAUGCCUGUUGACUGACACCGACACUGCAGAACUCAUCUGGGAUUCUUCCUCUGAGGUGGCAUCAACGAUGUAGUGCCGACCCACCUGAAAUAUGAAACAUGCGUGUACAGGGCACUGACCUGAAUUUUCGUAGAUACUGCAGCAGGAGAAAAAGCAUAAAAUAGGGCAUUUUUUUUGUUGCCGGUGGUGGCCAAUUGUUUCCUGGGUAGUGUUCUUCACGUGUCAAUGCAUGCAGGGGCACUCUCAACUGAUAAGUCUAGUGUGACAUGAAUAGUAUUGAAGCUACUCAAUAUUUUGUAUCUCAAAACUCUCAAGAUACAUACGCUAGAGGUUGGACCACUUUUUAACACUUUGCACGCGAACAUCAUGCAAUCAAUAAUGCGUAUGUCUACUCAUACUCAAGUACUCAACACCAAAGAAUAAAUAGUUCGGUAAGGAACACAUUACCUUGGUUAAUGUAAUAAUAAUAGGCACACCGGAUGUGUCAAACUGCAGAAAUUCCUCAUCACUUACAUCAACUUCAGGUUCCUCAUCAGAUGCAGCACUAACAGAAACAUUAACUUUUGGUAUACCUGUAUCACUCAAAGCAACCUGCAUGUACAUGGAAUGUUAGCACCCUACAAAUGUGCUAAUUGCAUCGUAUUGUGUCCAACUAAUGCACUGCCCAUCAGUCAUAGCAUGGAUUUUUUGUGUUUUACAUAAAGGAAAAAAAACACUUUAUCUCGAAUAGAAUGGUCUGAGGAUAUGCCAAGGGUUGUCAUGUCACUUGACCAGACUCUUAAACAACAAAGUGGGAUUCACAGAAGAAAUGAAUCGGUGAAUUUUGGGGUAGUAACUCAAUCAUAUACACAGCUCACUGGGUAUUGUUAAGCUAGCACAAACUAAAAGUAGAAAUUAUAGGCUCCAUUCAAACAGUUGCAAGAAAAUACGAAAUUUAAAACUGCAAGUAACAAGCAAUACAAGUCAAAAAGUCACCUUUAUCGCAACAGCUAGCGCAUCUAGCAAAUUACCAUCAGAACUGACCACAAGCCCAUCAAUGUACAGAUCCCAGCAGACCUUUCCAUCAACAACAAUUAGGGAUGACAGAUCAAUUGCAGCACCUGAAAUGAGAAUGUUGUUACUUGAUGCUGACAGAUGUGUUAUCAAUUCAAUGCAGCAUAGUCAAUUAAAUGGCAACAAAAUAUUGUUGGUAUAAGUUUAAAUUGAAAGAAAAGUGUAUACACACAAACAGUUGGAUACCAACAUGAGAAUCAAUUUCUCAUUAAAGAUUUCUUGACUAUAAGUCUGGAUCAAAGAAUAACUGGUUAACACGCUAAUCUCUAAAUGAAAUCUCCCCAAAAACCUGGAAAUUUGAAGGACAGUAACAGAUAUGAAAGUUCAACAACUACAGCGCACUAAAAUCACCUUUAUAUGAAAUGUAGUAUGACUGGCAGAAAUAAUGGCACUAAUUAAUUAAUUAUUUUUUUGUAUAUGUCAUCCAUAAUAACACUUGCAACAUUAUUAUGUACGCCUGCAAUUAAACAGGCAUGGCAAUGGCAAACGGUACUGAUAUGUGAUGCCGCUCUAGUUUGCGUAUCCAAGCAAACAUGCUUAAUAAAUGAUAACGUACAUCCAAAUUGAUAGGUAUAAUUCACUGCUUAGCAAAAGUUUAACCUAAGGAAAAUACAUCUAAUCAAUUGUACUACCAGUCGUAACGACACAAAUAAUGAUGACACUCAUGUCCAAGUAGUAGUUAUAACUGAUGAUAAAUAUAAACAAUAAAGACAUUAGGAAUAUCAAACUAAAGGAGAUCACCGUACGCAGACCACGUCAAAUACAAGGAUUUUAGGGAGGCAAUGAAGUUAUAUCUUACCAGCACCACUUUUACCACCCAACAAGCAUCUUUGCAGGGAAACAGAGAGCUCAGCAGACAAUUCUUCAGAGCCUCUACCCUAGAAAAUUCCAAAUAAAGGAAAUAAGAUAUGCAUACAGAAGUAAAGUCCAGACUACAGUGCCAAACAUUGGGUAUAUGAUGAACACAAGUAAUAUAUUAGACUGUUGGUUAUUUUCAUCCGAUCCAGCCACAGCAAAUCGCCAACCUCAAACAGAGGCUCAGCGGUUGGACUACAGUCGACAAAAAUGUCAACUUUUCCUUUGUCAGGGUGAAGAAUGCUUGGUUUUCCUAGUUCAGCCUGCAGAUGCCAAGCCAUCGAAAACAUAGAAAGUCAAAUAAAAUGACACCAUGGAAGAGAUACAACACUCUAUUUGCAAUGAGUUUAUUUUAUCGAGUUUAUCUAAGUAGUAACAAUAUCAGUAGACAGAUAGACACCAACUUGUUGACUCUCUAACAUAAUGUUUAUUGCCACUGAGAUGGAUCAAACAAAACUUGCAUUGAGAUUUCAGGGUUAACAGAUUUACAUAACAAAAUCGAGUUAAAGCAUUAUCUUUGCAACAUACGUGUCUAAUGCUUAUUAACAAUCAAUAACUGACAACCUCACUGUCUUGGGAACAUCAGAGAGGACUGAACUAGACAUGAAAAGAAAAUACUUGCCUUGCCCUAUUUGCAGCAAAAUGCAAGCGGAGGCAGGCUCUUACCUUGACACUAGCGAUUAUUUCAGUGGCCCCCAACCUAACACGCGCUGAGCCAUUCGCCUGUAACAAUCACCAAUCCGAAGCAGCAUAAACGCGCAGGCACAGGGGCAUUCCAGAAAAAAAAAAGGAAAAGAGAGAGGCUUGUGGGUGCCUGCCCCAAAACAAGUUGUGAAACCUAACUGUGGAAUGACUCCGGUUUCGACGGAAAGGGACCGGAACUGCAGCCGCCUACGUCCAUCAGUGCGAAAGUCCUGUGCAAUGCCGCGCGGAUGAAGUGUUUCUCCCCUUCAGAGAGGCCCACCAUCGUCCUGGACACUGCGGGACAGAAAUGAACACAACCGGUGCCAGAGGCAUUCCGUCGAACACCUAGAGUGCUACUCAGUUAUGUCUCGUAACUGGAUCACAGCCCAGUACGAAAGCCAAAUAGCGGGAACUCGAGGGAAGGGGUGUGCGUACUUAGUGGAUACUCGUCACCGGUAAUUUGAAGGGAGUGAGAAUGAGCACUGAGACCUGGCCUAGCUACAGGAGGCGAGAGAGCGGGAGAAGAGAGCGGCAGGGGUGAACGCAGCGUUGGGAAAUUUUAUAGUCUGCCACCUACCCAACAGAAACAGUCAUGGCACAAUGGCCAUCCUGCUAAAACUAAUAAAUAACUUCACAGAAUUGCAAACCGGUGCCCUAAAUUUCUUCUAAAUUUGCCACUAUGUGUAUACUUUAAAUAAGUGCCAAAUCAACCUGCUUUUGCUCUUGAACCUUGAGGGCAAUGGCAUUAUUGGCAUAUGUUGAGCUGAAUUCGCUAAUACUCCGUUCAGAGAUGCAGAUAUUGGAGCAUGAAAUUGGAAAUUAGAAUCAGCUUUAUAAAAUUCUAUGUCCUCCAAUAUCAACAUCCAAAUAUCAAAGGGACAUAAGAUUAAUCAGAUUAAUUAAUAGUAUGCGUCUAAGCUUCUUUUCAAAAGAUGAAAUACAGACUUGAACAAAGGCACAGGGCCAAGACACAGAACACUCAGCUUCAGAACUACACCAACAAGGGGAUCUAUAGUUUAAUCAACUUCGUCGCCGGAAUAGAAAAUUGACAAGGAACAAAAAAAAGAAUUGUCCAAGAACAUCUUGUAACCAAGGAAGCAAGCAUUCGAUUAUUCUAAGUAUAAAUGUGUGAUCCAGCAAGAAUCCAUUAUUGCAAGCUCGGGCUUAACAGCAAGAGCGCCCGAUUCCUUAUACACACACACAUACAACCAGGUGUCUGUCUACACGGUGAGUUCCGUCCUGGAGACAAGAAUGCCAUCGGGAUCGGCGUAGAGCCACUCGCCGUCGCAAAUCCUGGUUCCAGCGAUGUUGACGGGGACGUGCUUCUCGCCCAU